CUCAGUAACGCGGGCUUGUGAUCCAAGUGGAGACUACAGGGUGAUGGAACGUUCGAUCGAUCCACUGGGCCGGGUUCGGGCGGGCUUUAAUCUGGCCUGCCCAUUCCAAGUUGGGAGUUGAGGCAUGGGAUUUGAGCGAAGGCUUGGAUCAUAUGCCUCUUAGAGUGGGGGAGAUUGCGUAAGGCUGGUUUCACAGAGCAGCGUCAACCUCCCGCUCUCGACGGUGGAAGGAUAACGGGCCGUUGCCUUUCGAGCCCACUAUGACCCAGUAGGCUGAUCUAAUUGAACCAUCACUUUUUGAUUUUUAAUUUGGUUGGAAUUGUUUUUUAGUAAUAAAUGCAAAAAAAAUGGCAUUAAACUUAUUUCUUUGAAUGAUUUAUCACAUAUAAAUACUAAUUGUGCCACCUCAUUGACGACUUCUUUCAAUUAUAUGGGAAUAAUUGGUUCGUUGUGGAAGUGUCAUUUAUUCUGGUAGUUUUAAAAAUAUAUCACAAUUUGCAUGAUAAACAAGGAUUUGGGUCGGUUCAAUAUAAAACAUUCGGGUCGGAUCUGGAUCUUUUCAAGCUCAGUAUUUAUUGGUUGAACACUGAUGUGUCGCCUAACGCUCUCCUAGCUGGCCAGAAAGAGACGCGGCUGGUGCAAAGUCUUAACACUUGGCAACAUCUUAUUGGUUAAAAGAGCCCCCCGUGUGGCACGUGUGGAGUUUUAUUUCAUAUUUCUCUUCCUUCACCGUAAGCUUCACCCACUGGAUCUUCCCAAUGGUUUCUCUGCAGGCAUAUCAAUAUUGGUUGCGAGUUUAAGAGAGAUAAAAGUGUUUUAGAAUGGCGAUGCCUUUGGAAAUGGCGAUGCAUCUGACCAAAACGGUGUGGUUUGCUCUCAGCGGCUGGAUUUUCACAUGUUUAACUAUCGCCGACGAAAUCGCCGGUUCUCUCCGAAACCGAGAAAUUGGCCCUUUCCAUGUUGGAUGAUCGAUUAAAAGAUUCUACAUUCCUUUAGUGUGUUUUCACCAUCUCCUAUCCUUGAUUUAAGAGAACUGUUUCUUUUUUCAAUUUUUUUUCCCUGAUGAGAAUCGUCUCUAAAUCACUCCAAUCCCUUAAACUGAAGAGCUUGGAUUUAUAUAUACAUAUAUAGAGGUCGUUUGGUCGAUGUAAAGAGGAAUUGAUUUUAUAUAAUACGUUUCAAUUUGUGUGAGUUUCUGUUGAUUUGAGAAAAUAAUGUUGUGUUUCUGGUAUAUUGUUACGGGAGUUCUUGAUAUUGAUGCUUCUUUCUUGUUACUUCAAACUUCAAAGUGUGAUAUCAAGAACUCCCUUUUGGUUACAUUGCCUGAUAUUAAGCUUUGUAGAGAAUUAUUCAGAUGUCUAUAGAAUUACAAAACAAAAUGUAGUUGCAGUUGUAAUGAGUAAGGAUUUAUGUCAGAAAUACAUUCUAAUGUAUAUCUUAAGCAAAUAGAGCAACCAAGAUCACAUUUUUUUGUAUAACUCAAAUGUUCUAACCGAAAACUUGAAAUAUUAUUCUAAACAAAUUUAGCGCGUUAGGGAUCUUUUUCUUUACGGAUAAGUUAUUAAGCUUUACUUCUUUUUAUAGAAAAACAAAUUAAGUUUCUUCUUUUGCCCAUCUUGCUUUCUCUUUUAUUUUAAUUGUUAUUUUAUUUUAAAUUUAAUAAUACUUUUGCUUCAUCAUUAGAAAAGGCAAAGGCAAAGGCAAAAGUACCAAAGGAAUCGUCAAUGAGUGUGCCUUGUGCAAUUCAGUUUCGUUUUUAUUCUCAUAUAACAUAGAAUAUCAGUGCAGAGCUCAAUUUCUCUACAGCUCAUUAUCUUUUUGGAUUGGAGACUAAGGCAUGUUAAAUUAAUUUUUCCAUAAUCGGUGUUAACGUUUUCAACUUUUAAUAUUUUUGUUUGCUAAAUUUCUGUUAAGUUUAAUCCAUAAUUAGAAGUAACUAGCAGAGUAUCACUCCUGUCUAGAACUAUUAAGUUAAAUAAACAGGUUUAUGAGUGAAAAUUCUUUUAAGUUUUAUAUAAAGUUUGUGUAGGUUAUACCGUGUUGUCCACAUUUCUCCAAAAAAUAUUUUAGUGGAAGUAUUUGGCUAAGUUCAAAUUUAGAAGUUAUAUGCAGUUUUUAAGGAUCUUGACAUUUUAUUUACUUAUUGCAACACAGUUUACUUUGUUUUGAUUUAUGAUUAAGCUCUAAAUAUAGGGUCAAAUUAAAUAAAGACUUUCCUUAAUUAUCCAAUAAAAUCAAAUUUUGAUAUCGUAAAAUCAACAUUACCAUCGUCUUCUUUAGUGUUUCACCAUCUUCCACCUCCAACUUACCUAGACAGCUCCUUUCCACCUGUUUUCUUUCUCUCUCUUCUCCUUUAUAUUCUCCGACAAAGGAACAGCACAAGAAACCCAGAAAGAAAGAAAGAAAGAUUGUUCGAAACUUUAAAACAACGACGCCAUUUGUUCUUCUUUCCCCUGCUGAUUCGAAAUUAUGGGUUCCUCUGCUUCGAAAACAGUUUCUUCUUCUUCUUCUUCUUCUUCUUCUUCUUCUUCUUCUUCGUCUUUCUCGGCGUCAUAUUCACCUCCGGAAACAGUUUCUUCUUCCCGAUUCCCGUCGUCAUCUACGACGGUCCCCAGAGCUUUCUCAUUUCCGAUGCCGUCGAUUCAUCAUCCACCGGUUAAAAAAGGCGACACGCACCACCUUGUCUCCCUCACAUCCACCACUUACGGUUCUCUUCUACUCGUCGAUCUCGAUGGACAAGCAUUGCCCCAUAUCUCCGUUUCCGGGGAGAAUCAUAAGACGACGCCUGAACCGGAGGAGUCACGCGACUCGUUGUCUCCUGACUCAGUCAUUAACACAUGGGAGCUCAUGAACGAUCUCGACGACGAACUCGGUUUUGAGAAUUCCGUUACCGGUAAGCGUAAUUCCGCCGUAAAGUUGGAGUCUUUCUCUAAACCCAUCGCGAAACGAGACGAGGGUGUGAACGGGUCUCCGUUGAAACUGGACGAAUCUUACGAGAUCGUGAGAAUCGAAGAAGAUGAGGAAGACUGGAUUCCAUUGCCUUCUAAACCCAAGCAACCUCUGUGGAAACAUUUGUCUGAAGAGUCUUUUCUCUCUGAUUUAGAUCCUAAUAUCAUCUCGUCUUACAAGAAAGCAUUGUCUUCCAAACAACUUGGCAAAAACUCUAAAUCAGUCUCUUGCAGCCAGUCAAAUCAAUCGACUUUAAUCAGUUUACCAGAAUCUGUAUCCUCGAGUUCACUAAGUGCUCAGACAUUGGAAGAGCAAGAGAAACCAAGAUUGCCAGAAACAGAAGACAACAAGAACAAGAUAGUAUUGUACUUCACUAGCCUGAGAGGAAUUCGAAAGACUUAUGAGGAUUGCUGUUGCGUAAGAACGAUAUUGAGAGGGUUUCAGGUUGCGGUAGAGGAACGCGACAUCUCAAUGGACUCCAGAUACAGAAAAGAGCUUCAGAAUGCACUUGGCGAAGAGAAGCCGGUUUGUUUGCCAAAUGUGUUUAUAAGAGGCACACACAUUGGUGGUAUGGAGGAGAUCAAGAAACUCAACGAUGGAGGUGAAUUGAGAGAGAUGUUGAAAGGGUUUCCUGUUUGUGAAUCCGUAGGAGCUUGCGAAAGCUGCGGGGAUGCAAGGUUUGUGCUGUGUACUAAUUGUGGUGGUAGUACUAAAGUGUUUGAGGAACAAGAAGAUGUGUUUAAGAGAUGCAAUGGAUGCAAUGAGAAUGGAUUGGUACGUUGUAACAAGUGUUGUGUCUAGUGAUUAGAUUUGUUUCAUAGAUGUUCUUGUGAAAGGGAGGAAGAAAAAUUAGAGAUAUACUGUGUUUUAAAGAUGUGUGUUUGAUCCGUUGUGUUCCAUUGAUGUUCUUGUGAAGCGAGGAAGAGAAAUUAGAGAUAUACCUUGUUUUAAAGAUAUGUUUGAUCGAAUAUGUUUGAACAUUGGUCUAAAGCACAGUAGGAGUCCAAUGUUCUUCUUAAUUAUACAAUGAAAUACAGAGGCUGACGUAUUUGAAGAAGUAAAAUUCGUUAUAUUGCCUUUCAACAGAUAAGCUUUUCCUUUGGGAAAAGCCUGACCUUACUUUAUCUGACGGGCUUUUACAGAAUCUUGGCGCAGCUAGAAGACGAUGUAGUCCCUUGUGAAUCACAAAUGGAGAAUUGUAAAACAAAUUUGGAAGUAAUGGCAGAAGAUGAUGUAGUCUCAUUGUUUUAACCCCUUUACUUAAGCAAUAGUAAAGUCAGAAGAUAAAAAUUUGGUACUGAAGUAACGCAGUCGCAAAUUCCUAUUGAUCAGCAAAUUCUAUUCCAUGAUUAUUAUCAGUUUACUAAUGACGUAGGUUGUAAAGAAACAACUAGAUCUUUAUAGUUUUUAAUCCUUUUAUAUCAUAUUUUUUCCCUUUCUUCAGAUCCCGAUCUCUUCUUGGCGUGCCUUUGGUUUCACCAUCAAACCAUGGCAGAGUUCACCAGAUAGUAAGUAUCACUAGAAGCAGAAGCAAAACCUAAGGUGGCAAAGUUGAUAGUCUCAUUUCUACCAAAAAAAAGAAACACAAGUUAGUGUCAAAUAUGAAUUUAUGAGCUUCUAACUUAAAAUUAACUGGCAAUAAAUGGAUUGGCAUUUACCCGUUAUAUAUUAUUUUACAAAUUCUCCAACUAUCGAUAUAGAAGUUUUACAAUAAUUAGAUUUCAAUUUUGUAACAAGCAAUAAAAUUAUAUAUCAUAGUGGCUUACUAUCGUAAAGGCAAAACAAAAGUUUUUCCACCCUCAACUUUUUCAUAAACUACGCCAGCUCUCAGUCCCCAUGAUUUUCCAGUUUUGUCAAGCAGCUGACUUAACUUGUUCAUCUCCGAAGCUAUCAAAAUCUCGGUCUACACCCAGUCUGGUAAUCUCUUAGAAUCAUACAUAUUGGACCUUAUAUCAAUUGUACCUGUCAGUUGUUGCAUUGUUUUACAUUUGUCAACUUUAAAAGCUUCAAAUUGUUUUCAGAUAGAUAUGCAAAAUUAUAAACGUUUAUAAGUAGUAGAUUAACGAUUUUUUUAGCGUGCACCAUUUGGUCUUUAUAGUGUUUUCAACUACGUUAGAUUUAAAAUUUUAAAUUAAAAAUAUAUUUGAAAAAAUUAAACUCAUUUGGAAUUAUUGAAAAUUUUAUAUUAUCAAGUCACCAUAAUAGUAUUUUGAAUCUUAAUUAGAACGUUUUAACAUUUAAGAGCUUCAAAUUGUUUUCAGAUAGAUAUGCAAAUAAAAAAAUAUAUAUAUUUGGCAUUUUGGUCUUAUGCUAAUCAUCUUGAAUUUCGGACUAUCAUGUUUGAGUUUCCCAAAAACCAGUGCCACUAAAUAAACAGCUAAAUCGCUCACCUGCUUGGCCAUUGGCUACCAUUAAAGUCUGUUACCAUUACUUUAGUAUAGAUCUGUGACAAGAAUGUUGAAAUGUAGUACAUAAGGCCUAAGACAUUGUUGAAGAACUCUUCAAAGAUGUUGUUUUGUUUGAAAGACACCUUUUUUAUUUGUUGUAAUCACUGUAUUGUCAAGAAAUUUCUCUAAUUUGAAUUUCAGAUAGCGGUAUUGUUCUGCCAAAGUGGUAUAGUUAAAGUCAAUGCGGUGCGUGGCAUUGCAGCACACAUACUUAGCCGAGAAAGUAUAACCGGACUGAUUUUGGUCCUGCAAAGUCAUAUAACAAAUCAAGCUUGGAACUCCUUUGAACUCUUCUCGUUCAAGGUCGAGUUAUUUCAGGUAUAUAUAUAUAUAUAUAUAUAUAUAUAUGUAUAUAUAUAUAUAUAUCUUUAUCUUUAUCUUGAUUACCUUGGUAGAGUAUGAGUUGUUUCGACUUAAUUCUCAGUAGGUUGAUAACAUCUUUGUUGCUGCCUUGUUGUAUUGUUAGAUAACCGAUUUGCUGGUUAACAUAACCAAACAUGUCUUAAGGCCAAAACAUCAGGUUUUAAAUGAUAAAGAGAAGAAAUCACUUCUCAAGAAGUUCAGUAUUGAGGAGAAACAAGUAAGCAAGUUUUUUGUACUUGGAUCAUUGCUAGGAACUCUGAGCCAGCUUUCUCUAAGCUAAUUUUUUUUUAUAAUAUAUAUGUAUUUAUGUUUCCCUUUUGGUUAGCUUCCUCGGUUAUCGAAGCAAGACCCGACUGUGCGAUACUACGGGCUAGAGGAAGGGCAAGUCGUGAAGGUCACAUACAAAGACGACCUCACUGAGUCGAAUGUUACGUACCGAUGCGUCUGGUAAUUAAGAUCGUUCUGUUUAUUUAGCUUUCUUGUGUGUAGGAAUCAGUAUAUCAUGUAUUGAUGUCAAAACCUGUUAAGUUUUUGUUUCUUUUGUGGUCUUUAAACCAAACAACUUUAAUAAUUAUAAGUUUGUGUUUCAUACUUUCAUAUAGAACAUAGAUAUACAAAAUUAUGCAUGAGCCUUAUAAAGAAGGCUUGGUCAACUAUGGACGAUGGUCGAAUCUGGCUGAAUCUUGUUUGACCCAUGUGUUGACUUUCUCGGCUUCACGGCUAAGUCUUUGCUCCUCCAAUCUCGCUGCCUUAAGCUGAUGCUCUUGCUCCUUCACGGAAAACGUUCUUGUGUCCGAUAGAAAUUUGUCGUCGCCGGUUGGCCAGCUCUGGUCACCGGUGUUGCCCGUAGUACUUUCCGUGGUAUCUGGAUCACGAGAGCAGCACAAGUUUGAGCCCAUGUGGAUCAAACUAUAUCUUUGAUAGAAAGAAUUAAUCGGAUAUGAAGGAAAAAUAAAUUUUUUAUUGAAGAUUGAAAUUCAAGAACAAAUACGAGAGAGGGAUUGGUUUAGUGUUGGACCAGAAUGUGUUAUUUGCUGAAUAUUAGUGGUUUGAAAGAAAGGAAAAAAUGCUUCAUUUUCAUAUAAAUGUUUAUUGGAGUAUGACAUCAAUAAUAAAACAAAACAAUUUUUUAUUGCUAACUAUUAUUGUCAUUGACUAUUCUUUUGAGACUUGAAAAUUAGAAGAAGAAAAAGUUACAAAUCAAUUACUUGCACUAUAUGGAACGAACUAACGGAGCAUCCCUAACAUGAUUGAACACUUUGAAUUGUUAUUCUUGGUAUGUUUUGUCCGUUCCAAUUCAUAUAACACAACCAUUCGAAGCCUACGAGUUAAGACCAAUUUUUUUUAAUGCUAAUUUGAUAACAUGCAAAAUUAACUUAGUUUAAUUUUCCUCUAUUUUUUUAUGCUAAUUGAGAACAUAGAGGAUAAGGUUGCUCAACCACAUGCGUAAAAUGUUAGAAGAAUCUUUAACCUAAAAAAGAAAAAAAUUAGAAGAAUUUUAUGAAUUUAUCGUACAGUAUAUGGAUAAAUUUUCUACAAACAUUUUUUUUUGUCGAAAUUUCUUUUAAUUUCCAGACUAGUCACGUGGGCGGCCAAAUAGCACUCCAUGUGUCGGCUCCUGGAACGCUACAGCCCAUAUGUGAAUUCCGCAGUAGCCGGGGCUCAAACUCGUGAUGGUGAGUACCUCAGCUGAGGGUCCUCUACAAACAUGAUAAAAUGCACUCGAAAUUUUUGUAAUUUUUUGGUUAGUGGGUGAAGUUGUAAGCGUGUAUAUUAUGAUGGUCAGUAUCUCUUGAUUUUUUCCAUCUUCAUUUUUCAAAUACUUUACUGUUAACACUGCUCCGACACGAAUAACCUCUCUUUCCCAAAAUUGGAAAAUCUAGGGUUUCGGCGAACUUGAACGUGAUCGCAUUCGCAUCACCCAAAUCACCCAAAGUUUCGAGCUGUUAACUGGUUUCAAUUGCUCUCUUCCUUGUUUGAUCCGAAACAGUGUGCGAAUUUUUCCCACAUUUGGAAGAGAAGAGAGACGAUGAGCGACGUCAAUGGUGAUCCCGCGGCAGUGAGCGAAGCCAAGGGAGGUUCUGACGCCGCACGGAUCGCGGAAGUGAAGGCGUGGCUCAUAUCCCAGUUUGAAGCCGCCGGCAGAGAAGUCCCCAAUUUCGACUACACUCAUCGAAGCAUCGCCCAUUUGUAUAAUCUCGCCACCGCUUCUCAAGCCAAGUCCCAGGCUGCAAGCAUUGUCGCCAACGAUUUUCGUCAAAAGGCUUCGGAAUAUCGUGCUCAAGGUAUUUGCUUCUACUCCCUAAUUCGAUUUGCUUGUCUGCUUCGAUUAUGACUCUUGUUGUAAUCAUCAUGAGUUUCUCAUCUGUAUUGCUGUUCUGGAUCACGCUAUAUAUACUGUUUGAGAAAAAAAAUGGGUUUUUUUUUCUUGGGGAUUAUGUUUCUCUGUUUACUGGCUGUGUGAUUUGUAAGAUCUCUGGGUGGAAAUUUGUUGAUGUAGCGGCUAGGAUUAGAGAGAUAUUGGAGAGUGCGGGAAUGGCUCAAGAGAGCUUACCUUCGAAUGUGGUCUCUUCAGCUCAAGUUCUUGCAAAUGUUGCAAAUUUGUUGAACAUCAGGGACACUGAACUGAGCAGGUGAGUUCACUGCUAGCCCUCUUAUUAGGCGUGGUGUUUCUAUCUCGAAAUGGGGAAACUUAUGCAGAAGAAAUGUGUCUAGUUUCCUUGUUGCAAUGGGAGACAUUUCUUUGAGGAAAACUGGAGUGGAGGAGAAAAGGGCGAAAGCACAGAAAGAGUCCAAUGUUCUUCUUGAUUAUACAAGGAAAGCGAUACAGAGGCUGACGUAUUUGAAGAAGUAAGAUUCUCGAUAUUGAAACAUGGAUAUUGCACUUUUGAAAAAAGAUAAGCUUUUCCUUUGGGAAGAGACUGAUCUUACUUUAUCUGCAUGGGCUUUUACAGAAUCCUUGCGCAGCUAGAAGACGAUGUAGUCCCUUGUGAAUCACAAAUGGAGAAUUGGAAAACAAAUUUGGAAGUAAUGGCAGCAAAGGAGGAACAGUACAUACAGCAGUACAAGAAGUAUGAGGUAGACGCCUUCUUCUCCUUUCAGUUUUUACAUACUCCUUUGGUAAUAGGUAAACUGAGGAUCAGAUACCUUUCUGCAAUUAGAUCUGUUGGGGGCUAUUUGAGAAUCAAAUACCUUUAUGUAAAAACUGGAACAAACUCUUAGCACGCCGAAACAGGACGGAUUAGUUUAGUAAUGGUCAAACUAUAUUCUUGCUAGUAAUUAAAGGAUAUAAGUUACUUUUGAAUUUGUUAACUGUUAUAUCAUAACAUACAUUCUGAUAAAGAUCCAGAUCGUAUAAGAACUACUUUGAUGAUGUUGGCUAGCAAAGUAUUAUAAUCGUACCUUUUCCCUUAUGUAUUUUCUGGGGAGCAGAUGUUGCUCAACCGUGUUGGCUACACUUCUAAGAUCAGCCACAGAGAGCUGGUGGAAAUGGCAGAACACAGGAAGGAAUUGGAGAAGAUGACAAAACCUGUCCUUGAUACUCUAAGAAGCUACCAGGACUUGCCUCCGGUAAUUUUCUUACUUCUUUUUCACUGAGUCUAAGAAAAUGAUGCAUCUCUCUGGUUCUUCCAAAUCUUGAUUAAACUCUCUCAUUGAUCUACAUUGUCAAUCUCCUCUUUGUCAUUAGUCGUUGCUAGACACUACUUGACAGUAAAUUUCUUGCUCAUUUCACUAAACAGGACAAAGCUCUGGCUGCACUAGCAAUCGAAGACAAGAAAAGGCAGUUUGCAGCCGCAGAAAAGUAUUUAGAAGAAGUAUUACAAUCUGCCCUUGAGACAAGCGACGAGUGAUCGAUAUACAAUCUCCACCUGAUUUUGGCGACUAAGUGAGAGCAAGUGGUCUACAAUUUAUUUUUAUUUUUUUCGUUCAAUGGUCCAUAAUGUAUUAAUAUUCACUUUUAGCUCAAAUAAUAGUUUGUCUAUCAUAUGAACAUAUUAUUCUGAUUAUUAGUAUUAAAUACUGCCAGAAUUUGUGGCGUAGUUUGAACUUGCUGCCAAGUACUGCUGUUCUGGGAGAUUUGGAAACCCUGUAUUCCAUAUAAUAUGAGUCUCCUUAACCAAAGCCAGAGAGGCAUAAACCUCAAAAGUCGAGCGAACAGACUUAAGGUCUUGUAAGACUAGUUCACGUUUUUGACAUUCUUCAGUUAAAACAGUCUCUAUACAAUAUUCGCACAAAACAAAAUAUAUAUCUAUGUAUGUAUGAAUUAAUUGUUUUGUUACAAAAACUCUUCAAAGAUACUAAAAGAUUAAGCAAAACAUAAAAACAUUUGAGAUGUUUCGCAACUUUAUAUUUUAUUAUUUUUAAAAAAUUUCUGUAAAUAUGGAUUAAUCAAACAUAGUUGGGGGACCAAAAAAGAAGAAAUAAUACUAUAGAGUUUAGGAAUAUCUCAAAAUUUAGGGGUAUUAUUUCAGAAGGAAGAAUAUUUUUCUGGGCUUGGGCCUGAAGUGUCUCUUUCUCGUGCUUACUUAAAGAAUUAAGAAACUCGGCGUUUGAACCAUAAUUGGAUCGGCUCAAUGGAUUCUAAAAUUGGAAAUUUCUUCGACUCCGUCGGUUCCUUCUUCACCGGCGGUGAUAAGAUCCCAUGGUGCGACCGAGAUGUCAUCACUGUAAGUUUUCUCUUUCUUUCCCCCUCUUUUUCGCCUUUCUCUUCUGGUGGUUUUGAUAAAAAAAACGAUCGUGUAAACGAACAAAUAUCACCAUAAAUUUUUCUGGGUUUUGUUGGUGAUAUUGUUAUAUUAAAAUUAGUUUAAUUUCUCGAUGAUUGAUUGUAAGUUUCUGAACUGAGCUCCAGGAAUCUUAUUAAAACUAGUUUAAUUUCUCGAUGAUUGGAUCAUAAGUCAAAUUUCGUAAUCAACAAUCGUAUCCGUCCACAUCUUUUCAAGUGAAAACGCAAUUGCUAUGAAAUUUGUUAAAACUUUGCAUAACUCGGAUUAUUAGUCAAAGCAUGAUCUCUGUGGUAUGUCUUAGGUAUGUCUUAGCUUAACGCCGUAACGGUUUAGCUCUUAUUGCUUAAUGUCUUUCUAAUGUUUUCCUUACACACCAAGUAACCUCUGAUGCUUGCUUUCAGGAGUGUGAGAGAGAAGUUAAGGCAGCCACUGAUCAUGACCCCGAAGAUCGGAAGAAAGAGAGCAUAAUGCGAUUAUCAUGGGCUCUUGUUCAUUCUCGACAAGCGGAAGAUAUACAGCGUGGAAUAGCCAUGCUUGAAGGUAUUAGUCUUUUCACUGAACUAUAAGUCCUUGAAACUCUGCUCUGUGCCUAACUAAUGGCCCAACUAUUACCGGAUUUUCUUCCACAAGGCUUAAAGUUUUUCCCUUUCAUGGUUGUGCGAACCAGAAUUUGACAAAAAAGCUCUUUGGUUGCAGCGUCUCUAGCAAGCAGUAGCCCUCCUUUGCAGGAUCGAGAGAAGCUUUAUCUUCUUGCUGUUGGAUAUUACCGUACUGGAGAAUACUCAAACAGCAGACAGCUCGUGGAACGUUGCAUCGAGGUUCAUACUUUUCUUCACGACCUGAUAAUAUUGGUUCAUGGUGUUAAAUCCUAUUCUACGUCUUACUCUUAUUAUGAUUGGUUUCCACAGAUUCAACCUGAUUGGAGGCAAGCUUUGGUCUUAAAGAAAACCAUUGAAGACAAAAUUGCAAAGGGUAAUUAAAAGCGAUUGUUGAAUAAUUUAUCACCAAUCUGAACAAUUGAUCUCUGUUGUGAAACUUUGUCUCUCCUGAUUGCAGAUGGUGUUAUUGGGAUAGGCAUCACGGCUACAGCCGUUGGACUCAUAGCCGGUGGAAUCGCUGCAGCUUUGGCUCGCAAGAAGUGACCAACCACAUUUACAGAUUCUGUAUGCAUAGAAUAAAUAACUAGAUGCUUGUUUUUCUUAUAAGUUUUUGUUCUUUCAGCCUUGAAUUCGGUUUUCAGUUAUUCCAUCAAAUAUUUCGUAAUUAUUACCUUAUUUUAUCUGCUCUGCUAAAAUAAUGAUUCUCCCACGCACAUGUACAUCCCAAAGCUGUGAUUUGAACCCUUUUUGGUGGUAAGAAUUAUGAUAUGGUCUUCUUUGGUGGUGAAAACAAAACAGGACAGAAUAUGUUGUUCCAGUACAUUGCAAUCUUUUCUACAUAUCUUAAAAUUAUUAUGCAUAUUUUGAUCUUCAUAUAGAUAAUAUUAAUGACUACAAAAUAAUUGUAAACUGUCAUAAUUGUGUUUAUGGUAUAUUAUUGAUAUCUUCAAAUUUGUAUUUACUGCAUAAGUACAAAAUACAAUAGAAAAAUCUCCCAGAAAGAGGUUAGAAAUUACUCUUUGAACCAUAUUUUAAAUUGUUUUAAUUAUAAAUAUACUUUUGACAUUUAUGGUUAUUACUUUUUCAAUUCUUAUAUGCAAAUUUAGUCCGGCAAAAAGAAACUGAUUUUUGGUGAAUAAAAAAAGUUGGGGUAAAAAUAAUAUAGCCAAAAAAAUGAUUUAUUUGCGAUGAAAGCGAAGUAUAGAACGAACACUGACCGAAGACACCAGAUCGGAUUUGAUUGGGCUCUACAUUGUAGAGAUGACGUUGACACUCCCAUAAAUAUUGGCUUUUCUACUUUUUAUUUUUCUCUCUCUUUUUUUUUCUCCUUCAAAAUUGUAUAAAUUUAUAUAUGUGUGUGUGUAUUAGUGUAUAUAUCUGUGUGUUGUUAUAUGAUCAAAGGUGUUUCGUCAUGUAAUGUCCCAAUCUCAUCGUGUUAAUCUUUACACGACAAUAGAUUUGAUGUUUCAAUUUUUAAGUUAGAGAUGAAAAACUGAUUGCUUCCAUUCUAAGUUUCCCAAUCAAUUCACAUACCAAUUAUUAAAGUUCCUAAAUCUCUCUUUUAUUUAUCAAAGGAUAUUAACAAAAUGUUUUUUCGACAAAAAUGUUGGAUAUCUCCUUGUAAUCUUCCCUAAUUGAACUUUCAAUAUUCACUUUUUGUUUGUCAAAUGGAUAAAAUAACAGCAAAAAAUAUGAUCAACGAGAGUCGAACUACGAACUAAAACAAAUAUUGAACUAAUUGUUAAUCGAUGGAACUUAGAAGACCAAUGUUUUUUUAGUUGGACUAAAUGUUUGAUUUAUCAGUUGUUUUAUCUAGUACAUAUGUAUAAAGCAUGAUGAUGCCUGUGACAGUCCCUGGUUCCCUCUAGAAUCUGGAAUGCAAUUAGAUCAACCAAGCUAGAAGUUCCCUGGUUCCCUCUAGUCUGGCAUAAAAGAGCAACUCCUAGGCACUCAACUAAUGCUUGGCUGUUUACUCUUAACCGCAAUCCUACACUAGAUCGCAUGUCGAGUUGGAAUUUGGAUGUCGAGACGUCUUGUUUGCGUUGUGGUACCUGUAAUGAGACUAGAAACCAUCUGUUUUUUUAGUGCAGCUACUCGCAGGAAGUGUGGAAAGCAAUCUGCUUGAAACUUGGCGUGAAUGGCCCUCCAGCGCAAUAGGAUGCCGUUCAAACAUGGUUGCUAAACUAUGUCGGAAAUGCAACCCUUUCUAUGGCCCUUUCCCAAGGGUGGAGUGCUUGCCUUUACGAAGUAUGGCGCGAACGAAAUAGAAGGACUCAUCACGGACUUACCCUUCCUCAUUCUCGGAUCACCAGUUUGGUUUUCUUCCACCUCAGGGAUAAGUGCUCGGCUUUGUCUCUUUUAGGGUCAAAGCUUGGUCCUUCUCUACUGGCUUUGUGGCAAAACUGAUUCUCUCUCUGUGUAUUGAGCAAUCUUUUUGCUAGUCUUUCUUCUUCUCCUUUUAGUUCCUUUUUAAUGCUGUAUCCUAUUCUAUUUAUUAUAUAAUGAAGGUCUUAAAAAAAAAAAUAUAUAUAUAUAUAAAGCAUGAUGAAAUAUUUAAGUUAUAUAAUCUUGACCCUCUUAAAAAAAUUAGGGAUAAUAUUUCAAAAAAAUAACGAUUCCAUAUGUUGACAAAUUUAUGAUGACUUUUCAUGACUUGUCGUAUAUAUAAUCAAUAGAACAAUUGCUUUUUUUUACCACAUCUUACCAUAGUCGACAAUUAGUAACUGACAACAUAUUUACCUCUAAUGUUGUUUAAAACGUAUAGUUAUCGACCGAUCGUAUCAUGAUAUAUAGUAAAUAUAUUUAUAUUAUUUUUUUAAAUAAGUUAAAAAGUAAAAACAAAACAAAAUGUUAUUGACCAACGAUAACAUUUGGUUCAACCGGUUGAAGAUCCCAAGUUUUUUUUUGUUACAACAGAAGAUCCCAAGUUUACUGAAAGAAUUACAGUUUAAAUCUCCAUUAUAACUUGUGUAAACUAUAAGACAAAAGCUGUAAUGAUAUCAUAUCAUAUUCCUACUUUUGAAAAUAUGAUUAGAUGAAAACUUGUGGAUAGCUUUAUCAAUAAUUGAUUUUCUAAUGAAACAAAUAAUUAUCCUAUAUUCAUUCUUUAUUUUUAUGAUCAACACGUCCGAAAUAGUAUAGACGUGAAAAUUUGUAUUUGUGAAGACACUUAUAUUCCAUGUGGAAUUGCAUAUACCGUCUCAUACGAUGUGGAUAAUAAUCAGCCACACAACAAAUAUUUAAAUGCUAUCGAAACUUUUCAAAGGACAGAAAACAAAUUUUUUAUAUGUGCUGAGUUGUGUAUAUAUACAGAAAUUAUUAUAUUUAUAUACCCGGUAAGACAAUGCUGAUGCAAAUACAUACAAAAAUUUCAAUUAACGGACAGUUCUCGAAUCACGAAAAAAACAAACUAAUGUGGAAUUAUUAUCGUGAUAGGUUUAAUUCCUUAACCAGACAGAACAUCUUAUUGUACUAGUAAAGUAACUCUGUUAAUUGUUAAAAGUCCCUACAAUACAUUCUUAACAUGCAUACACACACAAAGGCUGGAAUUAGAGAGACAUUAGGGUAGUAAAAUAAGGAAGUAAGAUAAGGAAUUAAUAGAUGGCAAAAUUAAUCAAACGACUAAUCAAUACAACUCUAGAGAACAAGAAAAAACCUAAGUCUUUUAAUUAUAUAAGACAUGUUCUUAAAUUCCUCCAUGCCCUCAUAUCUUCGUACCCUUCUUAGAUGUCCUCAUUUCCAUAUACAAAAAUAUAUAUAGAAGAUAUAAGAACUAAAUUAAUAAAUAUAUUUUGAGUCUUAAUGGUCUAGAUAUAUAUAUAGACCGAUAAAGAACUAGAAGUGAUGUUGAUGAUGGUGAUGAUACAUAGUAGAUGGGUCAUGAUGAUGAUGAUGAUGAUGCCGACUCAUACCUUCCCUUUGACUGUUAUGAUCAUCUCCUUGAUCCCUACUAAGACCCAUCUGACCCGUACCCGCUCCAAGAUUGAGAUACACCAGUCUUGAAUCCAAAUUGUUAUUACUCCCUCCACUACUUCCACUAUUGUGCUCCUCAUUCAUCUGAGGGUAAAUUGUGUUGUUGUGGUCAUUAUUGUUAUUAUUGCUAUUGUUUCCUUCUUCUCGAGAGAUCACCAUUGCAGCGGAUUGAACAAGCUCAAGGCAAAGCCUGAGCUUAUUUGGUUCAAUAUGAGUCAAUCCAGGAACUGCCCCCUUGAACAAGAAAUCCGAAGUUAACGUUCUAAGGAUAUCAAGAGGCGUGAUUCCACCGACUGUACGUACAUUUGGAUCGGCGUGAUGGUCUAACAGGACAGCCACCAUGUCGGGAGAGACCAUCUCAGCCGCGAUGUGUAACGGUGUCUUCCCUGCUGGACCCGCUGGAUAGUUCACAUCGGCUGCUCCAAGUUCAAGCAAUGCCUUCACAACUUCUCUACUACAGCUUUCAACAGCGUAAUGCAAUGCUAAUGACUCAUCAAGAUUGAGUCCUUCUCCCAUUACCAUUAGUUUCACUAGCUCCACGUCUGAUGAAUCCAAAGCUCGUCUCAUCCUUCUAAUCUUUUGAUCUUCAAGGUCUUGUGCCACGGUGAGAUCAUGGUGGUGAUGAUGUGGCAUUAGGGAACGUCGAGCUAUGGAAGAUUUGAGACGAAGCUCUUCGAUUUUGGCGACUACAUCUAUGGUGAGAUGUUUGGCUAGAAUCUCCGGUGGGAGACCUGAUUUGGCGACUAAGUGAGAGCAAGUGGUCCAUAACUGGUGCAUGUCUUGCUUCCUUGAUGCUAUUAACACUUUCAUCACAUCUUCUAUUGAGGCUUUCUCCACCAUGCUUGCCAAUUGUUUCUGACAAUAAUACAAACAUUUUUAUUGAUUAGUGCUAUAUCUAAAGAACCGACAUAUUUUUGUGAGCAAGUGGGUUUAAUUUCCCUUUUUAGGUUAUGGUUUGGGUUUUUUCUUUUUAAAAAAAAAUCUUCAUUUUAGUUGGAUGUUUUUAUGGAGUAGGUUUCAUUCGUUAUCUAUGACUUAUUAUCGAAAUCUCAAAAAAGGAAAAUCGAGAGUAUAGUGGGAUUGGAUAAGAAAUUAAGACUUAAUAAGUGAAUAGAUCCAACUACAUAAUAUAGCUCUUCAAAGUUUCUACUUUUGGGAAUAUGCUCUUCCGUGCAACAAAACCAACGUUAUCUAGUUUCAGAAAAUUUUCCGACGAAGAUGGUUCCUUUGCAAGAAAAUAAAUUACACAUGAAAUCAAGACAACAACAAAAAUUAUUUGCCAUAUACGUAUAUAUGUAUAUACAUAAUAUUAUCGAAAAUGGUUUUGAAAUUUCAGCAAAUUUAAGCUAAACCAAUAUAUUAAAGAAGCCAAUCAAUAUCAACCAAAAUCAAGAGGGUUUUGAACAUUUAACAAAUUUAAGCCAAACUAUGAAAGAAAAACAAUCAAAAUCAAAAGGGUUUUGAUAUUAAGCAAUUCUAAGCAAAACCCAUGAAAAGAAAAACAAAAACAAAAGGAAGCAGAACAACAAAGAAGUUGAAAAUUUUAAUUUUGUUUGCUCUGGAUGUGCAUGGAGAGGUAAAGCAAGUGAAGAAAGAGAGAAAGAAACCUGAGUGAGCAAUGCGAGCUGCUCGACGCCGAAGUAACGAGAGGCGGCUAAAGUAUCGAGAGCAAGAUCGACGGCGGCUGAGCAAUGCGUGUGCCAACAACCUCUCUCGCCACAAUUCGGCCUUGGCUCGUGUUUCUGCGGCACGAUCGAGACUUGUCCGCUAUAAAGAAACUGAAGCAGCAGCAGAAACACCUCGUAACCGACUGAGUUCACUGGUAUGACUCCAGAUGGGGCCGGGGAGCCUCUUGUUGGGCUAGCGGGUACUGACCCAUGUCGGGUCGGGUCGAUGCCUGUGCCGGAUUGUGGUGUGUCGGUCCCACAAAAGAAUUUGCGGAAGAAGAGGCUCCGAGCGGCGAGGAUGCAACGGUGGGCGUGGACUAGACGGCCUUCGACGCUGAAAGUUACGUCGGAGAAAGCUUGACCGUUGAUUAGAAGGUUUAAGAAAUCCAACGACAGAGAUCUCAGGGAUUCCUCGAGGCUGCUCAUUCUUUUCUUUUCUUGUGGUUCUUGAAUUUAUCUCCAGAAGAAAAAAAACUAGGGUUUAGCAAGGAGUCUUCCGAAAAAUUAAAUAAAGUAAUAGGUUCCUCCUUUGAUUGAAUUUGUUGGCUAACUAGAUGUUAUGGAUUUUUAAAAAGUAGAAUAAUUUUUUCCGGGGAGAAAAGCUUAAGGUUUGAUCUUUUGAAGCUUCUUGCUCUUCUAUGAGAGAAUAAAAAAGAGAGAAGAGAGAGACAGAGAGAAGGAUUCUUUAUUGCUUUGUGGUGUUAGAUAUUUUUUGUCCUGAUAAGAGAGAGAGAGAUUGAAUGAGAGAAAGAGUGAGAUAUUUGAAUGGAUGAACCGGGCUGUUCAGAUAUUUAAACUUAAAUGGUUAAAAAAAAAAACAAAUCGUUUGUCUUUAUGACGAUUAUAAAAUGUUAUAGCAUUAAUCAAUUGGAAAUUUAGUGAUCUGGUUACCCAAAGAGGAAAAUAAUAAUUAACAAGAAAAUAAUACAGGGUGGGCUAAAUCUACUUAUGGAAAUGAAAAGAAUUGGAAUGAGAAAACUAUAAUAUAAAUAAUGAGAAAGUGUUAAUUAAGAAAUAAUAAACAUCAUUAGCAUCUGCCUAAUCAAAAUUCUACUCAAUCUCAUCAAACAUUAAAUUUCCAAAACUAGACGUAUUUAUUGAGUAGGAUAAUAUAAUAAAACCAAGAUCCUCGGCAAUUGUCUUUUUGGCUUGGUACCGAACAUGUGAAAGCCUGAACAGCACCAUGGGUACAUACACAUAUAUGUAUCGUGUAUGUAUAUAUGUAAGGUUGUGUCAUGCAUGUGUGCAUGGUAAUGAGAUAAAAUGGUAAAACUGAGAGGAAGGUGAUGGAUAAGAACAUAGGCCUAAUUAAGUUAAAAGACAGAAGGAGUGAAAUAAAUUUCCUAACUGUAGUGAAUUCUGAUUUGAUGGUUUUCUGUUUGACCGUUGGACCAAUCCUCACCAUCCUUCCUUUCCCUUCUCUACCUUUUCUUUUUCUUAUUUAAAGUUUCAUUAAAUUUGUUUUAUUUUUUGCUAAAUUAUUUCUUUUUUAAUCGGAUUCAAUUUGUAAUAUAAUACUAAGAGUUAUUUUAGAGAUAGUCAUAAAUAAAUAGAUUGAUGGAAUCGCUUUUGAUACUUUUUUAACAUUAUCUGUGAAAAGAAAAUAAUACGCUUAUAAUACCAUUGAUUAACCAUCUUUGUGAAUGGUAAUUAUAAUAUCAACAAUGAUUUAACGAAGUAACAUUAGUAUGUUUAUAGACAGAAAUACUAAAUGAAUGUAAUUUCAACAUAUGAUUAAUAUAAUUAGUCGCUAAAGUUAUUAUUUUUAGCACUCUUUUCAUUCUAUCAUACCAAAUUACCAACAUAGUAGAGUCUCAUUUAGUAAACAUACAAUCUCAUUUCUUUUCUUAUCAAAAAUUAUAAAUAUACCCACGUACGUUAACUCUGGAUGCUGUUUUGUAAAUAUGAAGAUUCAUCCGAAUACUAUUUGUAGUAAAUUAUAGAAAUUCAAGGUAUUUAUUAGCCAAAAAAACAUAUAGUACUAAUCAUAAAAACAUAGCUAUUAUUCAUGUAAAAUACCAAAAUCAAAUCAAUCAGGCAGAUAACGAAAUUAAUAUGAAACAUCCAACCACAGAAGUCAAGACGUGGCUCUGAUAAUGGCGCAGUCGUGGUCCGAACCCAUAUAUUCACCAGUUAAGAAAGAGAAAGCUGAAUUUUCCAAGUUGGAGCAAUCAAAAUUAAAAUCAUUCUGCUUUAACAAAAACAAAAUAUAUUUUCUUUCCACAAGAAAUUAUAAAUGGAUGGGAGAGAGUGGGAAGGGCAUGGAGAAGCGUGUCGGCCGGAUCGAUAGGGUCCGUCUGUUGGAUGUUUUCUUCUUUUGUUAAUACAUUGACCAAUUUUAUUUAAUUUUUCUAUCAACGAAUUUAGAUAAAUUAAAAUCAAACUGAAUGUAUAAGAGUUACACCAGGAUCCCAAAUAGGUUCGAUUUGAAGAUUAAAACCAACAAUAACCAGGUUUACCGGAGAAACAAACCAAAAACAGAACAGAACUCUUCAAAAUACUGUCACAUCGCCUCAGUCAUCUUCUGUCGAUUAACCCUAACUAAUUUUCACAUAACCAAACUGGUAUAAAAUUAAAUUAAUAUACUAAACUACAUCGGAUUUAUCUAUAAUUUUUUAAUUAAGAUGGUUGUUAUAUAUAAUUAAGAUGGAUUUGCAUUAUCUAGUUCAAAAGGGUGAUUUAUGACAAAAAAUUCUUACCGAAAAAAAAAUUAGUUGUUGCUAAGAAUGUAGUACAGCUGAAAAAUUUUGUUUGUUUUUGUUACGUAUAUCAUCGUAAUUCAACCAGAAAAAAAAAUUGUCAUGCAAGAGAUGAUUGGAUGAUUUUUUCUACUUGUACGAACUAUUUUUCGAUAGUAUUUCCACCUCGUGUGCUCAGGGGCGCACGAGCGAGAGGAUUUUUGAAUUCUUUUCCCGUUCAUUUUUUUACUUCGAAUCAAAAUAUCAAAAUGUAGCUCCGUCUUUAUUUGUUUGGUAAUUUAGGGUAAAAGAAAGUGAGAAAAAAUAAGAGAAAAAGAAUGACAACACAGAAGGGCACUGACAGUCGUAUGAUAAGGAAGUGGUUCGAUUUGACGUUUGACUUGUCUUUUCAUUCUCUCUCUCUUCUUUUUAAUUUUUACGUUUUCCUUUUUUUCUUCAACCUACCUUACAUCAAAAUGUAGGUUGUUUUUUUUUGAGAACAUAUGAAAUGUUGUUUUUUUUAACACAAUUAAUGCAAUGAUUCUUAUGCACAUCGAAUUUAAUUUAUAUUCUCAGGUUUUCUAUUUUAUUUUGGACAUUAUACAUCAAUAUAGUGCCUUUUUAUUUAUUUUGCACCAUAAUACAUAUAUGCAUAUAUAGGUAAAAGUUUGAAACAUUUCAUCGUUGUGAUUGGCCUAGUUUGCAUAAGUCUUGAGUUUUGAUUUUCCUCACUCGUCUUAGGUGAAUCAUGAUAUUCAUUCAAUGGGUUAUUACAAGCUAUGAGUACUAUUUUAUAAAAAGACAUUAUUAAGAUGGUUGUUAUAUAUGCUUAUUUUUGUCUUAAACAGAAUAGUUAGGGAUAGAAAACGUGUAAAUGUAAAAAAUUUGGAUGCUACCGAAACCUAGUUAACAUUCUAUGUACAUGUCCUUCAAUCAGCUCUAAUGCUAGUUUCGUCAAAAACCCUAGCUAACACGAUUAGUUCACAACUUAGUUUUUAAGAAAACCGGUCUUGUUAAUUUUUAAAAUUUGAUUACUGGUAAGUCUUUCAUAUUUUCUGCUGGUUGCAGGAAGUUGAGAGUGAUCAUUAAACCAAUAACGUUGAAAAUAAAAUAAAAUAAUUGUUUAAGAUUUUGGUAACCAAUGUAUUUUCUUAACCAAUGUAUUCAAAUAUACUGCAAUUUGCAAUUUGUGUGUAACCAAUUUGAAGUUGAGAGUAACCAAUAUCGACUUGGAAACAUUUUGACGUUUAAGAAAAUACAUUGGUUACAAAAUUUUAAAUAUUAUUUUAUUUUAUUUUCAACGUUAUUGGUAAAAGUCUAAAAGAUUGCGUUGUCAUCUCAAUCAGUUAUUAAAGAGUAAAUGGGAAAGCGGGUCCUGGUUUGACGGGAUCCUAAGGUUUUUGCUACAAACUAUUUGUUGUAUUUACCAACAUUCAUUUUAUAUUUUACCUUUUUCAAUUUUUAAGAAUAAAUAGUUUUUGUAGCUGAUUUUAAGAAUAAGUAUACUUCUAAUAAUAAAUAUGUCAGUCAUUUUUAUUUUUAUGUUUGCAUUUUUAUGUUUUAAAAAGAAAGAUGUCAAAAAAAAAAUCCAUAGUGCAAGAAGAAGUAUGGAUGUGUUGUGGUUUGAAGAUUACCGACGCUUACCAAACAAAAAAAAAGUUAUAAGAAAAUAUUAAAAUAAAAACAAAUAGUUAGUAAUCAAUUCAAAGUUUCACAGAAAACAUACUAUGAGAGGAAGAUCUAUACUCCAGUAGUACAGCAAUAGGAAUUAGACACAAAGGAAGACUCCAGAAAGUGAGUUUAACUGGGAUUAGUCUUUAAUCUAUGCUAGAGUUUGUUUUGGGAUCAUACCUUCUACCUUUCUUUUAGUUGUUUGAGCUGAUUACAUCUUUAUACUAAGUGUACGAAAUUCAAUCUUUUUUAGGUGUACUCAGUAGUCACUAAUUCUAUAAAUUUAAUUACCUUUUUUUUUUACCUCCAAUAUAUUGAUGCAGGUUAUUCCGUAAAAUCUGUAACAAAAAAAUUAUGAUCAAUGUGCAUGAUUAUUGUUUCAAAUAAUAACUAAUCCAACGAUUUUUAAUUAACAAUGGCAUGGUGCCCACAUCUUGCAUUUUAUAUCCCAUAUAUGCCACUUUCUUAAUAUAUUCCCCACCCCUUUUCUUCACCUUUCUCUUUUCUUAUUUUAAGAAAUAUUUUUUUUUUCUGUCAUUUGCUUGCUUUUUGUUUUUCAUUUCCCGACAGCGCUAAUUUUUAUAUUAUAUUUACAAGAUUGAGGGAAAAGUUAAAAAGAUGCCACCUAAAUACUUAAAUAUUAAAUAAUUAUGAUUGGUACGUGGAGGAAUACUGGUCACUACAUUUCUAAACCACUUAAUUAUCAUCCAUGACUACACUCAGAUUUUUGGAAACGCUUAAAAGCUUCUUCUAUUCUUCAUUUUUCUUUCACAAACUCAAAUAUAAAUAUGAUUUCCGAAGGGGACCAGAGCACAUAGAAGUAUGUGUGGAUUACGUAUAUUAAUAGUUAGAUAAAAAUUGGACUAAUAAAUUUUAAAUUAUAAGAACACAAAGAAACAAGUGAAACUAUUCACAUGGCUAAUUAAUCCUGUACUAAUUUGGCAUUUUCCACUGUUCUUCAACAGUGAACAACUAACGAAGUGUUAUGAACUAUAUAGUAAUACACUUUUAAAAGCAUUACCAAUUUUUGAGUCUUUGACGCACCAAACUUAUAUAUACAUUAAUUUGUUGAUAUAACAUGUGAGGCAAUGAUAUGCGAAGAUUAUGUAUGCAGAAUAUACUGAAUACAUAACAUUUACAAUACAUGUAUGUAGAAUAUAUAUAUAUAUAUAUAUAUAUAUAUAUAUCUUAGAGUAAUUUCGUAGUUUUCUAGAGUCAGUAGAAAGUUUGCAAUGGUCAAAAUGUACAACCAAUAAGAAAGAAUAAAUAUAAAGCCAUCAUUUUCCUAACAUCAUAGCAUGCUCUGUAAGUCUAGGAAGGUGAAGAAGUAUAAUAGUUUGAACAAGAUUUGAAUUAGCUAACUUAGACUUUGUUGGAAAAUACAAGCAUAUGUACACCUAAGUGUGGUUGUGUGUAUAUCCCAUCUCUAUGUGUAGAUGUAUGUAUGUAUAAUGUGUUAAAUCGUUUCCCAAAAAAAGAUGACGACAGGCGACAGCUUUGAAUGCAGCCGAAAAUAACAUGAACCCCAAGAUGUUCCAGUCUUCAAAGUCGUCUUCAAGUGAAACUCCUGACCUGAGGUUGAUACAUCAAAUUUAGAAACUUAUAUAGAUACCAAAUAAUUCGUGUAUAGGUGUCCACCAAUAACCCAUGUCUAUGCUUUGAGUGCAAGCCCAUUGGCUGAGGUUGAUUGACUUUUUCACUAAAAGUUGUAGGGUUCUUGGGUAUAUAAUAUAGGUAUAAAUAUGUGGGUAUGUAUAUAUUUAUAGAAAGAGAGAGGAGGAAUUUAAGUGGAACCCAACUGAAUGUUGUGAGCUGGGAUUCAAAUGUUGAUGGAAAAUCCGUAGAAAAUUAUAAGUGGAUGAGCAUAAAAAUUAGGUUCUCGUGGAAGGAGUUGGGUCAAUACACAACUUAAAUUCUCUUUUAAGUGGUUAUGGUGAUGAUAUUGUCUCUCUUAAUGUUUGUGUUGGGGAAAGUCACCAACUAUGCCUUCCAUCUCUACCAUCCAUUCGACUACUCCAAAGAUCAAUAAAAUUGAAUACAAUUUGAAGUAAAUAAUCAAGAUAAAAUUGAAGUAAUAAUCAAGAUAAAAACGGUAAAUAUAUUGAAUACAAAUUUCGAAAAAUUAUAUGGUUUUAUAAUGCAAUUAACAUGACAUAUCUUAAAUUCUUGUAUCAUUAUAUAUAGUCAAAUAUACCCGAAUUUAUAUCUUGAUAUAGAAAAGAUAAUGAUAUAUAUGGGUCGUAUACACUAACUGAGUUUUUCUUUUCUUAAUCCAAUUACAAAUUAAGAUUAUUUUUAGGGAUUCAAAUAUCAAAAUACAUGUAGUCUCGCACCAGUUUGUUAACUUCAUCCAAUAAAAGGAUGACAAAAGUUUCACUUCUUAUUUUUUUUCUCUAAAUUUGACUUGCUAUUGUGGUGAUAGCCUGAUAGGAUAUUUUUAGAUUCUCGGUUGAACAAAAAAAAAAAAAAAGAUUUCUCGAAGAAACUUUUAAAGUUGACAAAUGUCACUUUGAAACAUUUGACCAAAAUAUUUAUACUGGCGGCAUGAUUAUAUAUAACGGGGAUAUUGUAGUUUGUAGAAAGGCGAAUAUGCUUCAGUUGUUGCAAUGUACUCACAUGGUCUUUGCCCUAAAUCAUUGGCAUUUGAUAUUUACAAGUAAUUUCCAUUUAUCAAUUUGUCUUUUGUCUUCAUAGCUAUCACAUCGACCGGUCUGUAUUACUGUAUAUUCUGUGCACCCUCCUCCACAUAUUAGGAUUGGUUAUAUAAUUUUUUUUUUCGUAAUGCAAUUAGAAUGGAUCAUACGUCUCCAUUAGAUGAAAACAGUUUACUAAAUAACCUCCACGACACUUCGAACCGAGUACCUUCAGAUUAGCUUAAUUAUGUAGCAGUCAAGCCAGUCAUAAGAGCCGACAACAGUGUGUAUACGAAGGUGAUUCUGAUUUCCAGUUAUGAAUAUUAUGUAAAUCUUUUUAUCAAAAAACCAAAAAAAAAUCUGUAAAUUUAUCAUAACACUAGCCACUGGAGAAGCAAAAAACAGAGGUAUGAGAAUAUAUUAAAGAAAAUUAUCCGCAUUAUAAUCUUGCAGACUACGAUUUAUGAGCAUGAGAAAUAAACGAAUUCAUUGCCGCCUCUCGGUAUCACCAUUUGCAUUCGAAAAUCAUCUAUCUUUUGAAAGAGUUUCUUAGAAAGAGUUUUUUUGCUUCUUAAAUUUUGUAAGGUCUAAAUAAAAGUAUUAGAUAUAAAUGGUGGUGACUGGUGAGUGAUAGAAAUUAAAGAAAUAAGAAGAAUAAUGAUAAGUUAAAAAAAAGUGAAAUUAAAUUUUCUGUUUUUUUUUUAUUUUUUUAUAAUUUUUUUUAUUAUACUUCAUCCGUUUCACAAAGAGUGUCGUUCUGACAUUUUUCACACAAAUUAAGAAAUAAGAUAAAAAGUCUCUUAUACCCUUAUUAAUUUGCAGAAAUGACUUUUAGAAUUACAUUUAUAACUAAUUUUCUGAAUUUAGUUUGAGGUUAAAAAUAAUAUUUUAUGUCAAAAUUUACAUUAAAAUUCUAAAAUAACAUUCUUUUUUAAACAAAAAAAAGUGUCAGAACGACACUCUUUGUAAAACAGAGGUAGUAUUCUUUUUUUUUUUUCUCUAAUGUGUCAAACCAUUUGCAUUUACUAUAUUUAUUGAAUUUCUUUUUUAUCCAAAUCCCUCAUAAAAAUAGUAAUAAUAUGUACAGUUUAUUAAUUUCAGAGGUAAUUUGACUCUUUCUAUAUACACACAAAAAUGUAAUAUAUAUAUAUAUAUAUCUUAUAAGCCUUGUUUAUAUAUGACCUCUAAAUAAUAUGUACUAUAAUAUAUAUAUAUAUUAUAAGCCUUAUGCACUAACUUCAUGAUAUGCAUACGACAAAGUAGUGAUACAUAUGUAUUGUAUUAUUGGGCACAAGAAUAGACCCUCGCUCUUAAUGUCAUCCAGAUGGUGAUAAGGACAUACUAAUCUAUCAUUUCUAAAUGUCUUUAAGCUUUUAAUUUCAUUGCUAUCUCACAUUCGAAAUAUAACUAUACAACCAAACUUUUAUAAAUGAAUAAUGUCAGAUUAAUAUUUUUAUAAUGUAUCAACAUAAUAAUAUAUUGAGGUAUUAUUUGGUAGAUAAACUAAUUUUAGAACUUAAAAAUAUUAAUUAAUUCAUCAUAUAUCAAUUUAUAAAGGUUUUGCUACAUUUCAGUUUUUAAAAGUAGUUUUAUACGGGAGAAAAAAACGUUACGGGAAAUUAUGUAAAGAAAAAACAUAUUAUUGGGAUAUUAAUGGAACAAAAAUAAUUGUAUAAAUAUUUUUUUUUUGGUCAAACAAAAUAAUUGUAUAAAUUAAAACUUGAAAAUUAGGGAGAUUAGGCGUAUCUUUUCUUAUAAUGGGAAAGGGACUUGACAGGAGAAAGCAGAGGAAAAUUAAAGAAGAGCACACACUUCACACUUGAUGAAAGAAGAAAGUAGCAAUUUUGGAAAAAAUUAAACAUUUAGUUAUUAGUAUUACGGGUCAAGUGGAAAUUCUUUUGUGUUAAUUUGAUAUAAUCUGGGUCCCAUUCGCCACAAAAAGUUACAGCUAUCAAAUAAAAGGAAAAUAAAGUUGGAAUCGAGGGUUAAAAGCAUUUAUAUCCAUAUUUGGUUCACCAUCACUAAAUUUUUAUUUCAUGGAUCCCACAUUAUAUUUUCCCUCAAAUCAUCUAAGAGGAAAAUCUUUGGCAAACGUAGAGAAUCAGAUGCAAUAACAGAGACAUAAAAGAUCUGAAAACCAUCAUACCAUUAUAUAUAUAUAUAUAUUUCUCUAAAUAUAAUAUAUAUUGUUGACAAGAAUUUAUAUGUGAAUGAUUUGGGGCCAGAAAAAAGGUAGAUGAUACAAAAAAAAAAAUAGGUGCUUGAGUUAUCAUAUGGCAAGCCUUUAGGAGACAAGUAACCAGUUUGUAUAAAUUAACACGGAAUGCUAAAAGUGCUAAUUAUUACUUUCUUAACUACAAUUGUUUACAACAGACAAUCUUUAUUAACAAUUAAAAAUUAUCAUAUUCAUUUUGUUUGAUUAUAAAUAUCCUAUUGACACUUUUUUACACAAAUGAAUAAACAUAUUAAAAUUGAAUUAUACCCCAAAACAGGUUAAAUUUUGGAAUUAUGUCCUAUUAAUUUUUAUUUUUAGUUUUGAAUUGAUGCUAUAUAUUAGGGACUUCAUGAUAAAAUUUACAUUAAAACGCCAAAAUAUAUUUAUUUUUUGAAUCAGGAAAAAAACUAAAAGACAUUUAGUUCGUUUGCAAUUUCACACACAGAUAUAUAUAUAUAUAUAUAUAUAUAUAUGUAUGUAAAAGUGGGCGAGAAAAGCUGAAAUUUACUAGGUAAUGGGUGCUAUUCUGAAGUCUUUGUGGCAUACGACAGAAGGGGUGUUUGUUACGGAUUGCAGGUGAUUUAACAUAUGCAGAAGAAAGAAAUUGUAGAAGAGAUAAAAUUUAAACAAAAACUGAAGGUGAAGCAGUAAACAUGAGUUGCUCUUUUAAUAGUUGAAACAAAAUUUGAGCAGAUAUUUAGUAUGUAUGAUCCGUGAUUAGGGAUGUUCAAUCCAAAAUAAACCAAAUAAAAAAUUAUAUUCGAAAAUCGGGUAGAAUGGUAAAAAAAUUCUACAUUUAACAUUUGAACUUUAAGAUUGACAUUUAAAACAUUUGAACUUUUAAGAAAUUAGUUUUAAAACCAAAAAAUAACAUUUUUUACAUUUUACAUGUGAACUUUUAAGAUUAGUACAACUUAAAAUGAAGGAGAUUAAAAGCACAAAAAGCAAUCUUCAAAAACUUAUCUUUAGGAUUUGUGUUCCACUUCAAUCUGCAUGGUCGAGAUGCAAACCAAAUUGCAUGCCUUCUUCAUAAUGUUAAAACCAAUAUAACCUUAAAACAAAAAAUAUAUCCAAUUAAAUAAAUGAGUACUGUCAUAGUGUUAUAUAUUAUUAUAGGGUUGAUUAGUCAAAUGUAGUCGUGUUUUUUAAUACUGUUUGCUAGAUUAAAUCAUUAAAUUACUAAGAAAACAUUGCUUUAAGAAAUAUUAAACACGAAUGCGAACUGCAUGCAAACAAUAUUUGUCCAUAUUGCAUUCCAGUUUUCACAUUUAUGUGUAAAUCUCGUCUAAAAUGAUGUUUGGUAAAAGUACAGUAGUUACAGUAUUAAGUUUGUCUAAGAAUUGAAAUUCUACUGAAAUUUAAUUUUCUAAAAAUAAUAAGCAUGAACGAAAACAAAACCAAAUACAUACGGUUUUAAUUCUUAAGACAGGUUGUUAAGUUUUCUAAUAUAUCUUUAAUUUUUACAUCUAAAAGCUUACGGUUACAAACUUACAUUUCUAUUUUAUGGUCAACUAAAAGCUUACAAGUUACAACUAUGUUUCUUACCAAUUGCAUGCCAAAAAAAUAACGACGGAUGAUCAAGAACAAAUAUUAUUAUAAAAAAAAAAACUUAACAAACGAAUUUAUGGAAAUUCGAUAUACAUGUAAGUCCACAGGUUUCUGACUGUCCUACAACAUAGUCCAAGAUUUACAGUACUGGUAUUUUUCUUUAACUAUUGUCUAUAAAAAAAAAACUUUUUAGCAAUAUAGAAUAAGAAUUCAUAGAAAUGUCACACAUAGAAUGUUUUUUGGAUUAUUUUAACGCAUAAUUUUUUUUUUCUUUUGACAAUUUUUUUUUCUUUCUAUUAAGGGUUUUUAAUACAUAUUUCAGAAUUUGCAAGUUUAAUUGAUCAGCACAACUAAACCGUUGAAAAGUAUGAAAUAAUUUACGUACGUAGAAUUAUACAUCAAAUGAAUUGAAAUUUUCUGCUAAGUAAAUGGUAGAUUUUCCUUUUGUUUAUCGUUUCAAUAUGCAUAAUUUGAACUAAUCUUUAUUUAUGUAACCACUGCGAACUGUUAAUUAAAAAUAGUUUUACAGCAUCAGUAGGGUAUAUAAACUAUGCUAGCAAAGAAUCAUGUACUGAGUCAUAAAGCCCCCGAAAGAGUGUUGCGUUGAAAGAUCUAAAGGUAUCCAGAUGAAAUUUGAAGACCAUAUCUAAAAUAAAUUAAACAUGAGAGAUGAAAACAUGAAUGAAUAGAGAUUAUUUAAGUAUGUGAUUAACACUUUGUUGGGAUGCAAAAUGAUAUAUGACAAGACAAGACAACGGUGUGUGUUAUUGCAUGUGAAGAGUGAUGUUGACUUCUAUGACGUGACCUCUCAAUCUCUUCCUCUCUCUGUUCCUCCUCUUAUUUUUUUUUCUUCUUACAUGUUUUUUUAUACUUGUGCACUAACUAGAAAAACUAGAAUGAAGGUAGCAAAAAGUCCGUCGUUUAAUCCUCCUUUUAACAAAUUAUUAAUCAAAACGUACCAAAAUCAGCAUACAUAUAGGUACACUAUAUGCAUGAAAUUAAAAUGAGAUUCCUUUACGUUUACACAACAACUUAUUUUUUGUUACUUUUGUCGACAAUUUAUAUUAUAUAGGGAGAAUUUUCAGUACCAUACUACCAUUGACUUAAUUUCUCUAAAUCUACCUAGAAUAAUAUAAUUAGUUAUUCGCUAUUUCUUUUGAUGUCAAUUUUUUUUUAAUAGGAAAUAAUUACAUGAACUGUUAAUCUACCGCAUGAGAGGUCUCUUCCUAGUUAUACGAUUUUGCCAAAAUAGCGGCUUUCAACAGAACGGUACAACCGCAGCGUUACUUUAAACGGGCUUCGUUUAGUUCAAGUAUGUCUGAACGUUCGACACGUGUCCUGAACUUACUAUCACUUCACUAGCUUCUGCUGCCACAAGCCCCUAUUAACUAAAACUUAAAAUCCAAUUAAUUAAAAAUAUGAAAUCCAAGAAUCGAAUAGUGUUCUAUUACUAGGCUCUGAAUGGUACACAAAUUAGAAUAAAAAGGUGGAAAGAAAAAGUGAAGGAAAAAUGUAUAGGUUCACCAAAACUAAAGUUAAUCUUUCUUCAUGCAUCUUUAAAGUAGAGUUUAAUUUUCAGUUGGAAAAAAACACUUGGUUAAUACUCUGAUAAAUAGUGGGUCCAUAUUGAUUUGUUAACUCCAAUUAACUAUAAUUUGUUUACCGAUCAGAGCCUAAAUAAAAAAAGUUUGACAAAAGUGUAUUGUGUAUUAUUUUACAUUUCCAAUAUAAUUUGUUAGACAAAUUUUUAUAUUUAACCCAUAUCAAUGUAGACUCAUGAUAAAAAAAAAAGUAUUUAAAUAACCUCACGGUCUGGCAUCUACAUCAGAUUUUCUUCGCAAUGACCUAAUUAAUCUUUCUUUUUUUAAUAUCAAAAUGACAUAAGAAACCAAAUCGAACUUUUAGUCGUAUUUGAAAGCGUUCAUGUUCAAAUCUAAGUACCAAAGCUCUCCAAGCCGAGUUAAUUAAUAAUGUGUGUUGUAGGAGCACUGACUUCCACAUGCCAUGAUUGUGGCCUAGAGCUUAAGUCUCAGUCUCCUUUUCAUGAGUCUCUCUCACUCAAUGAAAUGUUCAGUAGUAUUAAAUGCACAAUGAUGUGAGCCUUUGCAUAAAACCAGAGAGUGAGAGACCUUUGGGUUGAACCAAAAGCUCUCACAAAAUUCCUUUUGUUUCAGAGUAUAGAGAGAGAAAGAGAGAGAGAAAGAGAGAGAGACGAUAGCAGUUGAAACUUGGGAGUUGUAGUUAAGACAUACCUGAAACUUUCUGUCUCAGUGAUGACUGUGACCAUUGGGCUUCGCUCUUCUUCUCUAUCAUCUCUGUUUUCAGGGGCUUUCAUGUCUUUUCUUCAUCUUUAGUAUAAUUCUCAUUUUACUAAUUAUUUGUUUUUAUCAUCAUUUACAGUGUGUAUUGCAUAAAAGAAGAUUUGGAUUCGACUUAAAAUCUAAGGUAAAACAAUGUAGAACAUCUCAAUUUUUUUCUUAUAUAUAUUUUGCAAACUUCUUUUCGUUCAUUUCCUUAUCGGAUUUCUUUUUCUUUCGUAUCUUCAACAUAUUUGUUUGACAAGACAUGUACUUGUGUGAUUGGAAAUCAUAAUAAGAAACGCGUACUUGUGUGAUUGAUUUCUCCGUUAACAGAUUAUUUCGAUCUUCAUUUAACAUAUGCAAAGACAUUCUUCUAGCUAACUGUGCUUUUUAAAUGAAACAAUGGUCUAGAAAAAAUAUAUUAACAAAGGCCAAACAAUAUUCAAAGAGAUUUUGAAAUCAAAACGAAGAAAGUUUAUUAUUUGAUAUAUAUUUUUUUUUGACCACAUUUAUUAUUUGAUAUUAAAGAAAUUAUAUUUGUAAUCAGCUAAUAUUUAAUGGAUAUUAACUAAUUGAUACUCCCUCCAUUUUUUUAUACAUGUCGUUUUAGUAAACUCACGCAAAUUAAAAAAAGUUUUAAAAUACUUAUUAUGACCUUAUUUAUUAUUAAAUUCACCUAAUACGAAUUAUUACAUAGCUUAUUAAAAAAGGGUAUAUAAAGUCAUUUUCUACUAGUAACUCUCUAGAUUGACGAGAACGUCAAUUAUUUUGGUAUAAAAAAAAAUCUUAAAACGUCAGGUAAUAAAAUACAGAGAGAGGGAAUAUAAGUCAUUUUAGUUCCAAAAAAACAAACUGAAACUUGGAAGGGGAAAACAUAUUUUCAUUACUCUAGAAGUAAACUAAACAUUUGAGAGGCAAAAAAUGCCGUUUAAUUGUUUAUGUCACAGCAUGGAGAAAAAAGAUUAAUGUUCGUCUUUGACAAACACAUUAGUUAAAUUAUAUACCAUCGUACCUAUAAUUACUUCACCCUUUUUUUAGUGACUAAAAUGGUAUACUAAAUUUUGCUGCCUAAAAAGUAGUUUGUUAUAUACAACAAUUCUUCGCACCGUAUGGUUCACGUGUUUUAAAGAUAUUUUUGAUACUGAGUAUGCUGUCGAUCAAUCUAGAAUGCCUAUGUAAAAAAAAAAAAAAACACUUCAUGAAUUUAAUCAAACAAAAAUAUCAAUCAUAAGCAUUCUUCUUUGAUAAUAUAGGCUUCUUCUUUGAUAAUAUAGGCUUUAUAUGGUAACUUGAGUUUGUGGACAUGACUCGAAAAUAAUUUUUCGAUAGGUAAAAUCAAAUAACUGAGUCAAUGGUGAAACAAGUUGGCAAUAAUUAACUUUCGUUUUUAAUCAAGGGGCCAAAGAAAGGUAAAAUAAUAAUGGCCCGACAAAUGAAAUUCGACAUGAUUUAAUGCGGAUUUACCAUUAAAUUUAGUUGUCACUUUCAUAGACUUUUUUCACCAAUUUCCAGAUCUCUCACUUUACCAUUCCAGUUUUGGGAAUUUCAUUAUUCUAAAGCUCUAUCAGUUUAAAUGAUUUACUAAUGGCAUAUUUAUUUUAACUAUUUACCACCUACCUACUGAUAUUUGAGUGAUAUUUUUAUAGUAGUUAUAAAUGUAUCAAGAAAAAAGAAAGGGGUAAUGUAAUAUCCACUUGAGGGAAAAAAAUAAAAGAAAGAAGAGAAAUCUCCAAUACUUUUCAUUCUCUGAAGUAUGGGCCUACUGAGUUUAUUACAUUAUGCCAAAUUGCCAAGCAGAGUCCAUCAAAUAUUCAAAUCCCAUUCAUACUGUUUCCAUAAACGACAUUCUGUUCUAGCGGCUAGUCUUUUAAGUUUUUCUUGUUCUUAAUUUGUGUUGCUUACUGUGUAGAUGUCUCUCCCUCUUACACGAGAAAAUUUUGUUGGUUCACCACCAGCUUCUGAAAGUCAGCUUGCUAUAUAUAUAUAUAUAUAUAUAUAUAUAUACAUAUAUAUAUAUAUAUAUGUUCAACGAGAGAGAUGUCUUCGAAAUUCAAACUUUAGUCGUUCUCCAAACACCAUCUUUGUCUCCACGACCAUUGAUGCUCAAUGUGAAGAGUUAGUAGUCUCAUCCAUUACACAGAUUCGCAACAAGCUCUUCCUCUCUUCUCUCUUCUUUAGAUCUACAUACAGUACAUUCUCUCUACCUCUUAUCUUGGAAUGCAAGAAACCUUGUUUUCCAAACUACAAUUAUAUGGGCUUACUUUGUAAAAGGCCCAAAUGACAUUAAUUCUACUUGGGCUAAUCUCACAGUCAAUAAAUCCAUUACAAAACAAUGGGACCUUCGCAUGAAUUGAAAGUGGGCGUCGUUUUCACUGCCUUAGACUCAAUCAGCAUUCUAUGAUGAAUUCAAGUUUGACUCGUUUCUCUCAAACAAUAGAUCCAUCGGAAAGUUAAAGCUUUCUAUGUGUUGAGAGUAGAAGAAACAAAGGAAAACACUUGGAAACAAAAAUAAGAGUAGAAGAAAUGGCAAAGUUAUUCAUAAAGCAAGCGGAGCAAUACGCGGCAGCCCGACCCAAUUACCCGAUCAAACUCUUCGAGUUCAUCGCGUCCAAAACACCGUGCCACGACCUUGCCUGGGACGUCGGUGCCGGAAGUGGCCAAGCCUCACGAUCGGUAACAAUCUUCUCUAAUUAUUUCACAAUUUUCAAUCUUUCUUGUAAAAAUCUUCAAUUUUGAUUUAGUGAGUGGAUUAGUGGUUCAAUUUUCAAUCUUUCUUGUAAAGGUUCAAUUUUGAUUUUUAGAUUUGUGAUGCCUAACAUCUUCCAAUUCAAUUUUCUUCUCGAUGUUUGAUUUUCAGUUAGCAGGAAUCUACAAGAAGGUGAUUGCUACCGAUACGAGCUCCAAGCAACUCGAGUUUGCUGCAAAGCUUCCCAAUAUCCGUUACGAGGUAACUCCACCGGUGAUGUCUUCGUCGGAGAUCGAGCAGCUGGUGGCGGCGGAAUCAUCGGUCGAUUUAGUCACCGUCGCUCAAGCCCUCCACUGGUUUGAUCUCACGACUUUUUACAGCAACGUGAAACACGUGCUCAAGAAACCCGACGGAGUAAUCGCCGCCUGGUGCUACACUAAUCCGGUGGUUAACGCCGCCGUCGAUGAGGUUUUCCGGCGGUUUUACGAGGAGAGGCUUGGACCGUAUUGGGAUAAAGCGAGGCGGCUUGUGGAGGAUGGUUACAGGGGAAUUGAGUUUCCGUUCGAGAAGAUCAUGGAUGAUGAGUCAACGGAAAGUCAACGUUUUCCGGUUAGGUUUGUGGCGGAGAGAGAAAUGGGGGUUGAAGAUUACCUGACGUAUCUGAGGUCGUCUUCGGCGUAUCAGACGGCUAAGGAGAAAGGGUUGGAGCUUUUGACGGAGGAGAUGGAAGGAGAGUUUGCUGGUUCGUGGAAGAAAGACGGAGAAGAGAAGAAAGUUGUUAGGUUUCCGAUCUAUUUGUUGAUCGGUAGAGUCGGAGGAGAUCGUUUAUGAAGAUUGUGUCCUCUCGCUUUGAUGAAUUGUAAAACAGUGUUCCAAACACUUGUAGAAACUUGAUGUAUCUCUCUCUUACUUGAAUACUUAUUUUAAAAAUUAAUAAAAUAAGUGGGACCAUGAGUUAGGACAAGUCGACUUUAAUUGAGAGACCAUGUUUUGUAGCUCCAGCUUCCUCGGGGUUCGAUUCUUUCGCUAAGCCAAACGAUAUGUUUGUCCUCUUUCUCUCUGAACGCACGCGCAAUAUUUAAUUAUCUAUGGUUAAAUAUGAAGUAACUUAGAGCAUAUAUAUCACGGGAUUAAGAGACGUUCAUGACACAGUUUUUAAGACAAAAAAGUUUAUGUAACAUCCCGAUCCGUCCUCUCUUUAGGAACCGAACGCGGACUGGUGAUAUCAAUUCUAACUCCCCCCAACCGCCCCUCCCAGUGAGCCCAACGCCUUCUCUAGGCACGUGGGCCCAUCGUUGGCCCAACGCCCUCUCUAGGCCCAUUAGCCCACCACUGUCCGACGGUCGGGAGUCGUUAGUUCGGAAGGCUCAUAAGACUUGUCUACUGUCUCUGCAAUCACCACAUAAUCUUUCUCCGUUCUUUAUCCUCACUCGCACGAUACCGCAUAGUAUUUCCCGGUAGGUCACCCAUUCUGAGAGAAGUCUCAGCACACUUGACCGGAAAAGAUAAGUGCACUUUGUUGACAUAGGUAGUCAAAUCAAUUCUUAUAAGCUUUUUCACAUAUACUGGAAAUCGGGAUGUUACAGCUUAGUAUUGAAGAGACAGUAUCAUCCCGACGAACCUGAAGAGACAGUAUCAUCCCGAAAUGGAGCAUCUUGAUUGGUCGAAAAUUAUAAUUUUUGAAUUAAAAUAAAAAAGAAAAACUAAAACCAAAAAAAAUAUAUUAUUAUAUUAUGGUGAACCCUUUUUAUAUUUAGACCAUCCACAACCCUGAAUCCCAUCAUGGGGUUCAUCAGCGUAUUUUAAUAAUUUUUGGAAGAGAGAGAAUAUGGAAAAACCUUGGGUGAACCUGGGGUGAAAAAAGGGUGUCCAACCCUGAUACCCAUUUUGGGGUUCAACAAAAUAAAAUAAUAUUUUUUUUAACUAUUUUAAACAUUUAAAUAAAAUAAAAUGAAAAGAGUGAAAAUUGAGAAAACCAAAGGUAGAGGUUCUUAAAUUGAGAAAACAGAAGUGAAAAUAAAACUAGUAAUCUUCUAGAUGUCCAAAUUUAUGCCAAAGGUAGAGGGUAUUUUUUCUAAGCAGUAGCGUGCUCUAGAGUACAUUCUCGUGCUUUUCAUCGAAACCCGCAUUGUCUUCUUUGUAUAGCUUCGCUUUGGCUUCAUCAAAGUAGUCCCCUCCACCUAUUUCGGGGUUUGUCAGCAUCUCAUGAAGAUUAAUGAACAUCUUAUGGAUGGUGUGACUAGGCGAGAAGUAGUCCGUUGUCAGCAUCCUUAGGAAGAUAUGACCACGAUCUCCUACAUUGGGAUGAAAGAUUUUGGUUCUGAAGGAGACCUGCAGAAAAUAAAUAUUCAGCAAGCGAUUACUACAAAACCCUGAACCGUUUAAGGCGUCAUACCUUUGGUGGCUUGAACGGGUAUUCCGGAGGAAAGUCUAUGCUGAUUUUGAAGACUCCGUUUUCGUACGGCGAUCCUGCUGGUCCGAACAGCUCACCCUCCCAAUAAAACAGCUUUCCAUCUACGGGACCUGCCUUGUAGAGCGGGCUCUUAACCCUCGCAAUCUCUUUUUUCUGCUUGGUUAUGGUUCUCGCCCAGUACGGGCCAUCCUCAUAACUUUGCAUACUCUGUCCAUAGUAAACGAUUUGAUCAUUUGAGUUACAUAAAUAUCCGAACCAAAUGAGAAAAACAAAACUUGAAAACAAACCUAAACUCAUGUAACUGCUUAAACCUAAUCAUUCGAUAUAACCAGAACACGAUUACAAUACGAUGUCCCUAAACAUUCGAUACUCCUAAACACACAAUGAACCAUUUCAACCUAAACAUUUGAUAUGACCUAAACAUUCAAUACUUGAAAACACACAAUGAACCAUUUCAACUCACACAAGCGAUUCACACAAGCGAUCAACAAUUCGAUUAACUCACACAAGCGAUUAACUUACACAAUUCGAUUAACUAACACAAGCGAUUAACUCACACAAGCGAUUAACUCACACAAGCGAACCAAAAUUUAUAAAAGCCCCAAGCGAAUUAGAAGCCAAUUGCAAUCCCAAAUGAAAGCCCCAAAAUUUAUAAACAUUUUCGAAAACCCUAAAUUCAAAACAUCAAAUUUUAAAACCCUAAUACGCGAAAUCCGGAAACCGAUUGAAUAUAAAAACAAUGAAUCGCAAACAACCCUAAACCCUAAACCUAAAAGCCCCCAAAAAAACUUUCCGAAGAACCCUAAUUUUCCCCCAAUUUUGAAAACCCUAAAUUUUCCCCCAAUUUUGAAAACCCCAAUUUUCCCCCAAUUUUAAAAGACUUCUAAAGGAUAUAAACGACUUACCAUACUGAUCGACCGAAGGGGAAACGACGAUUCACCGGAGAUUCAAUCGGAGGGGAAGAUUGGAUUCGAAGUCGCGAUUGUCGAGAGAGAAAAAGUUUCUCGAUGGAAGAAGAGAAAAAUGAAAAAUUGUCGACCAAAAUCGAUUUCCAACCAAAAAAAAAAUUCUCAACCACGGGCCAAUACGAACACGACAUAUGGCCGAUGAACCUUAAUGAUACGGGUUCAGCACACUGAUCUUGAAGAUACGGUAUCGUUCGAAUAUUGGAGUUCAACAAUUAAAAAAAACUAAAAAAAUUGCUUUGGGUUCUACGGAUGAACCCCAUCCAUACUGCGUUGUGGAUGGUCUUAGGGGUUCACUGAUGUACAUACUCUUAGUAGCAUUGCCACAACAUCAUUUUGAACCCUAACUUUUGACUAACAAAUUAACCAUUAUUUGUAAUGGGGGGAUUCGGGAUGAACCACACUAUACUAUAUUUAUAGACUAUGAUACCUUUGUUUUACUAAAAAAAUUACACAAAGAUUUUUGUUAGAGUUGGUAUGAUUUUGGAGUUUUAGUAACGAUUUCAACAUAAAUCUGGCGUGUUUAUUUGGGUGUAUAUCUUUGAUGUCAGUGAUGGACAAUAUCGAUGAUUUUAAAUGGGUUUGUUUCGUCGAUGUUAAAUCAUUUACAAAAAAAAUCUAGCGGAGGACGAGACUUAAAUGGUAAUGCUUUAAUUUUUUCGUUAUUCUAGGUUUUACCUCCCUAACAAUUUUUAACAUUGUCUAUUUCUUUGAUACCAAAAACAGUGCAACAAACGUAUCUCUCUAUUUAUCUACCUAUCAUGAUUUUGAUGAUGUUUUGAAGGAUGGAUUUUUCUGUCCAACAAAAUGACAAACAGUCAAAACGUUCACAACUUCAGAAUUUGGAAGAUAUCAUAAGCGGCCAUAUAUACAAAUGUGUGUAGUGUAUACUUGCGUGUGAAGGCUAAUGAAAAUCACAAGAACUUUCAAACCUAUAGCCAUAUGAAAUGUCAUACCCAAUGUCGACAUAUCGAUAUGUCCAAAACACCACUAUGAUUGGGGAGGUGGAAACAAUAAUUAAAAUACGAUAUUAUCUUGUUUUGAAACCUCCGGUUAACAAAAAAUUAAUUAAAUCUUGUUAUAAACUUUUAAAGUAGAAAAAUAAAGUAUUUAAAAAUGUAAUAUUUUUACUGUUUUAGUAAAAUAAAAAAAUUAAUUAAUUUAAGCUGAUUUAAAUAUACAAAAAAAUAAGUUUUGUUGUAAUUUAUGUAAGACUCAAGUCCAUACUAAACUUUAAAAUUUAUAACCGCUAUAUUAGAUUAUACAAUGGCCAAAUUAAUAAAAACAUAAAUGAGAAUGCAAUCAUUAACCUCGACCAAUAAUAAAAUGAUUACCAAAUGAUCAGCAUUUUAAUAUGUUUAUGCAUUUCUCUACGUCUACACUUAAUUAACUCUAUAUUCUUAACAAAAACAAAAUUCUGUAUUAAUGAAUCAAACAAGUAUAUCUGCUUUUUUCAGGCAUAAUUCGAGUUCGGGAAUCCUUAACGAAAGUUAUAAUCUCUCAUUUACCAUUAGGAGUACCAUUUGGAGUAUAUUUUAAUCAAUAGAAUCUCAUGAAAACUUCAUAAACUGAGCUGCUUCAGCUUAUAUCUGUCGUCCAAUAACCUUAAUAUAAGUUUUAGACAGCAUUUAUACUUCCGGCAGGGUUUUGAUUCUCUAGCACAAUCAUUCAUCUACGCGUUGCUAAUGAUAAAUUUAAUGCAAUAAUAAAGUCCGCUUACUAACCAACUAAUCCCUAAAAAAAAUCUUGUGCUGUUACGAAUAUUCUACGCCUCUAUGUGUGGUGAGGACUUGAGAAGCGGCGCAAAUGCCUUUUUUUUAUCUCACAAAAAUUCAACUGAGACUCGGCUUUUGUUGUGGACGUUAAUUUGUGGUGCAUGCAUCUUUCGUUUACUUCCUUCCAAUUUAGACUUCGGCGUAAUCUAUAACAAAUUUAAAAAUGUUAAUAAGAGUAAAAACUCUUCAAAAGUAAAUUAGAUUCCGCGUUGGAGAAUGGGGAGGGUCCAUUUUCCAUAGGCCACGGGUCGAGUGGAGGACAGUUGGUCGGCGCAUUUGCUUGGACAAUGCUUGUGGACAUUGUCCCUCCACUUUUUUUUUCUUUUUUUGUUCUUUCCUUCUUUUUAUCUUUAAUCUGAAGAAUCAAAAUAAAAAUCAAAGAAGAAUUAAUUGAAUCAAUGAAAUGUUGCUUGGUUUGCACUGAGAACUUCUGUAGUUAUUGAUUAAUACAAACAUCGUUAGCAUAUGUAAUUUCUUGGUGGCUGAAUAGAUGUAUAGUUAGAUUAGUUAAGAAAAGAAAAUAUCAUGUAAUUAGAAGUUUAGAACAUUGAUCAACAUGUCAAGUGCAUGCAUAAUAGUUUAUAGUUGAACCCAACACACUGCCUCGCAUAAAACGGAGGUGCCAAUUGCCCAUUCACAAGUAUAUAAAAAAAGAACCCCAAAGAAGUGAAACUCCAUUCAGUUUGAAAUCUCGAUGAGGUUUCAUUAGUAAAACAAAACAAAAGAAAAGAUAACGCAUACUUAAUAUUUGGAGAUAAAGAGCUAAUCCGUAUGUUUAGAAGAAUCCGAGUCUUCUCCUCCAUAUCUUUAUUGUUGGCUAUUUUGCUAACCACCGUAAAUACAUUAUAUUAAAAGACUAUCCGUGUUAACUCAACGUGUUAACAACCUCUUAACAAUUGAAUCAACUAAUUGUUCAAGUUUUCAAGACGUUGAAUGUAUAUCAAAUUUAUGAGAUGAUAAAGUAAAGUUCUUGCUCAAAUGAGUUUUAAAUAACCGAUAUUAAAGAGACAUCUGGUUUUUUAAACCGGCGGUAAACAAAUUUAAGUGCUUGACGUGACGAAAUUAAUACCCACCGCAAAAUAGAAAAAUUACAGUACCACUUAUAUAAAAUAAUUUGUAUAUAAAAAAAAAAAAAGUGCAUGGCGAUGUCAUUAUCAUCAAUCAAAACAUGAUUAUUACAUGAAUCAAAUGAUAUGAUGAUUCAUCUCGCAGGAGCCUGAAGCUCCAUCAUGCGUGAAAAGUCCUCGAAGCAAACAAAACCGUCUCCGUUCCUACCAACGGUCGCUAUCAUACGCCGACACUCAUCUAUCGUGCACCUCUCGUCUCCGAUGACUCCAAACACUCUGUAUAGCUCCUCCGCCGAUAUUUUCCCGUCGCGAUCCGCGUCGAAAAACUCAAACACCUCCCUCAUCUCCUCCGUCUCGACGGAUCCUUCACCGGAGGAAGAUCCGGCGACGCGGCUAGCAAGCUCUUCGAGACUGAUACAACCGCUUUCUUCUCCUCCGUCGACUUCUCUGAGCAUCAGACUCACUUCCUCUUGACUCGGCGGGUCAGGACUCAGCCUGCUAAGCAGCGCCGCUAGAUCUCCCCUCGAAACGACACCGUCGUCGUCGCGAUCGAUCAAUUUGAACGCCUGAAUCAAAUCAGAGUAAAAAUCGCGAUCUCCUGAGAUCUGGGACCAAUCGCCGGAGUUUUCGGGGAGAACACUGACUGGAGUGGCGGCGGGACCUGGCUUGAGAUUAGCGUAAGAUCCGUCGGAGGAGGAAGAGGAAGAAGCGCCGGAGCUGAAGGAGGAAGGUUCGGAUCUGGAGACGGAAGCUUUGGAUUUGGAUCGGAAGAGACGUUUGGGGCUCAGGCGGUUGAGGCUUGCGGCGAGCUUCAUAGCUACGAGGAAAUCGGAGAAGAUAAGAGAGAGAGAUAGAAAGAGGAGAAGAGAUUUGGUUUUUGUUUCUUCUGGUUUGAGAGGAAAGAGCGAGGAAGGAAGGUCUUAAAUGGGGAGAGAAAGAGGGAAGCCAUGGCAGCUUCCGCGAAGCUUCGUGGAGAGAGUGCUUUCGUGUUUAUUUUGAUUGAUACUUAUACUUCUCUCUUUUCAUUUCACUUCAUUCAUUUCCCAUUUUUCUUCUUUUUUUUUUUUUUUCUUGGAAUCUCUUAUUAUCUAUUUAUUUCUAUGAUUAGUUGAUUACAUUUAUUACUACUACGACUAUCGAAAAUGUAUAAUUUAUUUAUUCUUUGUAUAUAUAUAUUGUAUAGUUGCUUUUUCUUCGACGUACAUAUGCAACGUAUCUACUGGUUGUGGAAACAAAGGUAUGUCUAAAGAGUUGAGUAAAGAAACAAAAAUGUAAUUGUCUGUUUACAUGGGAUUUUGUUUUGUGUUUCGACUUUGGAUUCGAUUCAUAAUUAUGUUCUGACAUCGUCAUAACACAUGCAGGUGCAGUGGUCGUCGAGUCAUGAUUCAUGACCUAAUUUUUCUUACUUGUUUAUUGUUUAAUUGGUGGAGAAUUACGAGAAUGUUUUUUUUAAGGGAUUUAUUUCGUGUUUUUUUAUUAGCGAGCUAACGUAAAGAUUAGUUCAGACUCUUUUCCAUGACACGCGAAAGAAAAUCAGUAAGAAUAAAGGCUAUUUGUGAUUUUUUAUCUACCAAUACUUUAAUAGUAUUUCUAAAAAGCCUAUGCCAUUGCUGUGUAGUUUCUUAACAUUUGCAUGAGAGACACUUCAAAACAAUAAAUAUAAUAAUAUUUGAUGACUAUAACCUUCCCUACUUUUAGUGCUAAACAUCGGCGUGGCCAAACGCGUUGUGUGUGUGUUUGUUUCUGUUAACGGAUUUAUGAACCAAAAAGUUUCGAUAGCAUUUUCAAUAUAUAAUUCAAUAGUUUCGGCUAUAUAAAAAUUUUAAAAAUUCUCUACAGAACGUCAGACGCACUACUUGGUACGGCCGACUCUGGUCUUAAAAAAUAAUUAGUGUGUAGAAGAACUGAUUACAAAAGUUGAUAUAACCGAAUAGCUUUAACUUUAUCUCUUGCAUUCGAAGAUAUUAUAAAAUUGCAGUAAUCAUUCUAGAAUUAUACGAAGCAAAGUCAUUAGUUUUUGUUUGUUUGUUUGUUGGCUUCUCAGUACCUGAAGAAACUUUCACAAAGCUAAUUAAGUGUACUUUUAUGGAAUCAAAGGACUGAUCACAGUUCACAAAUGAGAAUGCCCCCAAAGACCAAAACACUAAAACAGAGCACAUCACUAGUGGUCAUAAGAACAACUUCGUCACCAACCUCAAAUCUCAAUAUUCCAGGAGUCAUCAGCUUAGCAAUUAGCACCAAAAUCCCUGGAGUCACUAACAGACCCAAAUGAACACACAUAGUCCUGGUCAGAGUCAGAGCUUGAAGUUGACCUUUUACGAUAGUAUGGGCUUCCGUUAAACCAUAACGGGCUUAGAAUUUAGUUGUGUAAUAGCCCAUAUGGGCGACUAAAAGUAUCAGAUACAAGAUCCGAUGCCGAAUCUGAUCCAUGUGUUCUGAAAAUUAUAUGAUAUUAGGAAUUUUAGAUCUCGUUUCUGUUCUGAAUACUGUCAUUUGUCAUAUGGUAAUUUUAGAAACAAAGCCUAAAUCGACAAGUGUCUUUAAGUUGAUCAACGGUAGAUAAAAGUUAGAGUAUGGAGAUUACAGAAUCACAUAAAAAUAAAGAAUAUAUCAUACUAAAAGCAUCUUCUUUCGAGUUCAAUUUUCUUUUGGGGUAAUCUAAAAACCGGUUCAUGCAAAAAUGGAAUUCAGAUAAGGCCGGUUAUAUCCUACAUAUAUCCUCUUAGACUGUAGCAUACAAUUUUAAGUUGUCUAACUCUAAUGUCUAUGCUUAAAUAUGAAGAAAAUAUAGCUCAUAUUCACUGGUAUUUUCGAGAACUGCCGUUUAAAAUAUGGAAAUUUGUAACAUUCGACUGAAUCGAUUUGGAAUGUUUCCAUAAAUAAAUAAAAUGAUUAGGAAAUCACAUUGUUAUAGUAGUUAAGAACACCCUGCCUUAUUCUUCUAGUUGCUUCUAGACGGAGUUUUAAAGUCAAAGCGUCAAAGGCAGAUUCAAGACUUUUCAGACCCUAACCAAUCCAGACUUGUUCGUCAAGUAAAACUCAUAGAACUCCAAUUUCAAAAACCCCUCUGAACCCUUUUCCAUAAUUUCUAUAUAUAUAAGGGAACACGAGAAACAUUAAUAUUCGUUAAGUAAGUUGUUUGAGUUGUCGAUAAAAAAUCCAAUGUCGGGUCUUCUUCAGUUCAAUUUUUUCCCAACCGAUUUCUAUUAUCCGAAGCCAAGUCGAGUAGAAAGUGUCGACAAGGCCAAAAGUUGUGUUCAAUCAGUGUCGACACACGGAUUCAAGAAAGAGAAGGCGAUUGUUGUUAGAGAAAAUAACCAAAGUGGUUUGAUUCUUUAUGUCAACGGCGAAACAAAACGGUUCUGUGCUGCUUCUACGUUCCUUGAGUAUUCUUCUAAGAAUUGUGACUCUACCACCAAUUAGGCCUUUUCCUUUUAGUUUUGACUGUUUUGGAUGUUAUGCUGUUUGGAUUUCUAUAUAAAAUAGUUUUUUUCUUUAUUCUGUUUUUAGUUUGUGAUUAUCAUACACCAUUGCUAAUGAAUUCUAUACUCUUUGUUCGCGCAUGAUUUUGUCAUCAAUUUUUUUUUCUAGAGUUUAUGACGGCUUAAACAUUAUUAUGCCUUUGCUAGAAGUUCGACUCGACUAGAUAUAGCAAAAAAACUUCGUUCAUCUUAACAAUGUAUAAACCUCUUCACAGUAAUAUUAAUUUGUAUAUAACCUUCUUUGAUUACUUCGUUUAUUGAUUGGUUGCAUUUAUCAGUUUGUUCCCUCUGAUAUCAGUUGGUUGUUCUCCACGAUUAACACCAUUAUCUAACAGCAUCAAUGGAACCAACCCAUGUGGCCAUGUGGGUUUGGUUUGCAGACAAUGUGGUCAGUGGAAAUUUCCACGCGAAACGAAUCUACUUUUUUUUUCAAUGAUAAUCUCAAAUUAAAUCUAAUACCAGUCUAUAAACUGUUCUCAAUAAAAGCAUUGAGAUAUGAUUAUCUGAAUUAUUUGAACACACAUUCACCACCAAUUUUUACAAAUCCCAUUAAUCAAAUCCAAACGAGCCAGAACGUCGAUAGACAAAUAGGUUAUUUAUGAACCGAAGAACAUAAAACAUAAACGAAAGAGAAUAGACAAGAGAUCCUCUGCAAUCCAUUUUUUUCAAUGCCCACAACAAAUCAAUUUUAAAUUUCUAGUGUUGCCAAACGCUCCCUCUUGCAAUUAAAUCAGCAGCUCUGAGCAGAUACUUCAAUCAGAAGCAAGCAUCCAAGAGACAGCAACAACAGAGAGCAGCAAGACUGCAAAACAAAAACAUCGUUCACAUUCUUAGCCGAUACCAAAAACUUGUACAAGUGUAGAUUCAACACUUUAUAACACUCUCAAGGCAGGAACACAAUCACAAAUCCAAUUCGUAUGGAUAUGCAAUGUAGCAACCAGUAGUAGUAGUUCAAUUGUUAUGAUGCGAAUCCACUAGAUGCAAGCAUGUUCAUUCUAAAAAGAUGCAAAUCCACAUUCUUUAGUAAGGCAAUGACAGAACAAAAACCAAUCAUUAAGUAUUUCACAGUCAAUAAGGUAUAAUCAUCAAAGAGAGAUCAGAAAAAAGGAUGAAAAGUCAAGCCCUAUAGAGGAAUAUUCUAGCUGUAGCACAUGACUUUUCAAAGUAUCUGUAAUUGAAUAUUCAAACACCGGAAAAUAGUCAAAUUAAGUCUAACAUUAGAUCCACACGAAACUCACAGGAUAACAAAAUUUUAUGAAAUCGAGUCUAUCGACUGACUUACCAUCCUUCUAGAAACCCAGGGCUGUUCUGUUGUUGCUGAUGCUGCGGUGGCGGAGGAUAUUGCGGCGCAUACGGCGGAGGAUAUCCUUGCUGAGGAUAACCCUGCGGUGGGUAGCCUUGCUGCGGAUAUCCCGGAGGAGGAUAUCCUUGCGGUGGAUAAGCAUCCUUUGGAUAUCCCUCCGGCGGAUAACCUUUAAUUUCCGAUCAUAUAACAUGCAAUGAUUCAGAUCAACCGCAAAAUUCAGCACAUAGCUAACCAGAUCUAAGAAAUACGAAUCGAAACUCGGAGAUUCAAAAUUGCGAGAAAACUAACCUUGAGGAGGAGGAACACCGACGGGAGGUUGAUUGUACUGACUCAUUGCUGUUUGUUUUUGGGAUCUCCUGCGAAACGUGAAACUCGAGAAGAGAACGACGAAGACGAAAGGAGAUCACGCAGAGUGCAAAACUUAGAUCCAGAAACUGAUAUAUCGAAGUUAUAGCGAUAGAGAUGGGUAGAGAAAGAAAAGGAAAAGAGGAGAGUGUUUUAAGUAAAACGCGUUUUUGCAGUUAUUAUUUAUGUAUCUUUUUUAGCUUUUAUUAUCCAAAACUCAUCGUUCAAUACGAUGAAACCACCAGAAAAAAAAAAAGUAUAUAUAUUUAACUAACAAAACAAGAUUCACGCGGAUUUCUGCCCUUUGCAGAUAUAUAUUCUGUUUGUUUUUAAUUCCAUAUAAAAAAAACAAUUUUUUUUUUCAUUGGUUGUUUAUCUUAUUAAGUUGAUCUACAACACCUUAUUAUCUUGUUUACAAAAAUUAGAACACUACUGAGAUGAUUUUUUUUGUUUGGCGUGUUAGUUAACUAAAUGUAAACACUAAUCAGUAUGAUAAUAAAUAGAACAAUGGUCUAUAUAUAUUAUAUACUCUCACUUCAUAAUAGAGUAAAUCUAAUUAAUAUUAAUGGAGUUGACUCAUUUAUUAGAACUCUAUCAUUUCAAGGUAUUUUUGACACACAGUUUAAGAAAAAAAUUGUAUAGAAUACCACACUAUUUAGUAUUUAGCCAAGCAAAUUGUAUAGCUCGUAUUUAUACAAAUCCAACUCAAAGUUUAAUUGAUAGAGAAAAUUAACACCGCCAAAACCAAUUGGAAAAGUCCAUUUGAGCACCCUAUGGAUAUGUCAUAAUAGAGAUCAAAAACAAAACCAGAACACAUUUAGUCUCCUUGAAACUGAACCACACAUUGUGAAGCUAGCAUUGUCCCGGAGUCAGCCCGUCAACGACUUUGUUGUUAUCCUUGAGCAACUUCAUAUACUAGCUUUGAGCUACUCCUAAUCAGAAAACUGAUACCAAAAUAAAGAAAAAUAAAUCAACAGAUUCAAUUCAGUUCUACUAUAUCAACAAAGAUAUAUAAUUAUUUUGAUAAUCCUAGUUGUUUUAGACCUUAGCGACCUUUCCCGACCCUUGUCAAGGUCAUAAGAUUUGGUUCUCCAUUUGGUCACAGAUUUGAUUAGUUAGUCACAAGAUAUCUUACAAAAAAGGCAUAUUUUAGACAUUAAGACGAAGAUAAAUGGUAAAAUCUACUUUUAAUAAGUGUUUGGCAAAAAAAAAAAUUUCGCCCGCUGAUAUACGAAUUUUUGAACUAUAAUACUAAUACAAGUAGUAGAAGUUUACUACCUGUAAUCCUAGAUCUAGAUGCAACUAGCAAAUGCUAACAAACUCACAUUUGUGAGUUCAAUCUUAAAAACAAUGAUAAAAAAGGAAGAACUUUCUCCAGUUCAGAUCAUCAAGAUAAAUCCCUGUAUAAUAAGAUGAAAGUUGAAAGAUUUCAUUAAAAUAUGUAGGAAACUCAUUUUCACCUAUUGACACACUCACAAAACAUGGCAGAUCCCACACUAAUCAGAUCAAGCUACAUCCCACGAUAACAUAAUUAUUGAAUGUUACAACUUACUAGUGAUUCGUCCAAUUGUUACUAGUGAUCUUAAGACCCCACCUACAUGCAUUUACUGUUCUCUUAUGUAAUCUCCUCUUGGUUUAAUAUUUUUGUUCUGGCAUCUUUUAUCUAUCACAAAACUGGAUUGAGAAUUUGAUUGUUGAUCGUUUUAAGCAGUGAGGUUCACAGUAUCUGGAGAAGAUUAACUAAAUCACAAAUAUGAACAGAUUGAUGCUAAAGAUAAAAACACAAACAAUCAUGUAUCAUGGGCGGUUUCUGGCCUAUUUGUAAAUAAUGGGCCUAAAUAUAUUGGAUUAGUUUCCUACCUUAUCCUCUUCGACCGGAUUUAAGAUAUAUAUAUUUUUAAAAGAGAAUAAUAAUUUACUUGGUACGAGUCGCCAACGGAUUGGAACGGAAGGAAAGUCAAAUAAAGCCAACAGUAACGCGUCUACACGUGGACGGCGGAUUACUCAAAACCAUGUUAGGUGCGGGUCCAGACCUACCCACUUGUUUCUCACAUAUUUGAUUUAACGAACCUGAGGUUCGUCUCCGAGCCUUACUUUAUAUAAUUACUACUCUUCCCCUCAUCUUUCUCGCAUCGUGUUUGAUCCUAAUCCGUUUUCGCUUUUGUCAAAGAGAAGAAGAAGAAAAAUAUCAAACUUUGAGCGAGAGUUGCAGGUAUUUUCUCGGCCAAGGUAAAAAGAUCUGCUGCUAUCUUUGUCUUCUUGUACUCGAUCGAAAUUUCUCAAGGCGAUUAUCCGAUGGUUUUGUUUAUCUUCAUAGUUCGGCGAUUUUGAUGGUUCCGUAUUGUUUCCUGGAAAGUUUUUUUUUAAAAGUAUGAAGAAAUCAAGUGAUUAUACUAUCUUCAGAUUUGUGAUCUGUGUGGUGAUCUUCGAUCUAGCUAAUAGUUGUUCGGAUUUCACUUCUUUUGACCUCCGUAGUAAGUGCGAUACUAAGUCUUCAAAUUGUUAAAUUUUCAGAUCAGCUUCACCUGAUUUAUAUCGUGCCGAUCGAAAAAUUGUAGUUACUUAGCUAAAUAACUUUGAUCGUAGUAUUGGGCGGUUUUGAUUGAUUGAUUGCUUCGUUUUCAGAUCUGAAACUGAAUAAUCAUCUGGAAAAUAUGCGUGCAAAGAUGUCAACUUUUUGAUCUGAUCUCAUCAUCUCACUGAUAUCCACUUUUUGUUUGUCAUCCUGUUUGUGUGCGCAGAGUUAAAGAAAUGGCGAUGGUUUCAGGAAGACGUUCUACUCUAAACCCUGAUGCACCCCUUUUUGUUCCGGCAGCUGUUAGACAGGUGGAAGAUUUCUCGCCGGAAUGGUGGCAAUUGGUGACAACCUCGACUUGGUACCAUGACUACUGGAUCAGCCAGCACCAAGGCCCUGACGGUUUCUACGACAACGGAGAGAACGAGAAUCGUGGUGGCGAGGUUGAUGUAGCUGAUCUUCUUCCAGAGUCAUUUGAUUUCGAUGACAUGGAAGAUUUCUUCGACAUUGAUGCUGCUGAGUUUGAUCAUGGAUACGGUGGACAAAUCUACCACGCACCUUCCGACUUUGGUUAGUCGGUUUGAUUCUCCAUAAGACAAAACAAAUCCAGUUAGGAUUAAACAGAGCUGGAGAGUAAUUAAGUUCUUGAUUUGUCGUUGUGAUCAUCAGGUUUAGGGAAGAAUGGUGAGAUGGUUAGGAUAAAAAGUGGAAACAGGAGCCCUAAAACAGUUGCAGAUCCAGCAAAGUAUGCAGAAAAGCCAGCGAAAUGGGGAAACCAGAGGGUUGCUCCUAGAAACAUCCACCAGCCUCGUUGAAGAAGAGAUGGGUGUUAACUAGUCAGAGUCGUUGUUUCUUUAGCCACUGUACCUUUUGUAAUUUUUAGUUAUUUGCUUCCACAAGAACCUGUAACUUUGUACCUUAUGAUUUUCUCAACUUGUUAAUCACAAAAAUGUAAAAACAUAAAAAAUGUAAAAUUUGAAGAGAUAUGAGAUGAGAAUCUUUUCAUUAAUGCUUCUUCUUGCUUAUUAGCUAGAACAGAUGGUUAAACUGCAUCGGCGAUGGCUACAAGAAGCAGUUGCAUCAAUGUUGCUUUGGCUUGAAGUCGCAGAGAAAGCGAAACUCAAAUGUAGAUGCUUUUCACGUCUCAGCUACUUUUUAGUUGCCCAGAUCAGAUGUUUCUGUUCUUUACAGUUGGUGGCUACGAAAAGGAUGUCGAUUACAUCAUAUUCAUCUCAUUUAGAUUCAAUCUUAUCGACGUUAGGUACAGAUGCAAAAAGGUCAGGAGACUUGUCAUAUGCAGACAAUGUCAUCCACACCAAGCUCAUCUUCAGAUUCGGUUCUGAGAUACCCUCCAACAAGAACAUUUUCGGAAUUUUAACCUUAAAUUAGUAAACUGCCAGAGAAAAAGUGAGACUUUCUUCGGUCUUGGGUUUAUAUCGGUUGAUGCGAAAGCUCUCGUCUUGAAGCUUCGGUUUUUACCCCCACAAGUCUCGUCUUGGAGCCAUGACAUUUAGGAUUUGUGAUGAAUAUAAUUCUCAGACAACAAACUGGGUUCUAGAUUUGUUUAUGCUAGCUUUUCCCUUGUUUUGGUGCUUUGGCUCUGUUCUCAUUUCUCAUCUCCCUCUGUUUCUAUCAGUUUCUGGUCUCUCCCUUUCUCCCUCUCUCUUCUUUAAAACUUUAAAUUGGUUCUUGCUUCCUUAGAAAAUCCUUUGACAAACGAAAGAAAAUGACGAGAAAAUGAAGCGCCUAAACCCGGAAUUUUUUCGAAGAAGAGCCCUAUAUAUUAAUAACGUAAAUGCCCUUCGAUAAACGUAUUUAUUUAUAGUCUCGAAUGUUGUUUCAUUUCGUCCUAUAUUUACUGUUGUCCUGAAAAGUUUUGUUUUCUUAAAAUCCCGCUCUAAAAUUAUCAUGGCGCCAAAGAGAGCACCGCCGAUUCAAUCUACUCUCUACUCUAUCGGUAAGAAUCCGGAAGACUCGAUUUUUCCGAUACUCUGCUCCAAUUGAAUGAGUCUUCGAUGUUCUGAUUAAAUUCUCCAGGUGAUUACGAGGUCGCUGUGGAUGGUAAGAAGUUUACAUGUGAAUCCGGACCUAAAAGCAUUCAGAUCAACUUUUCCAGAAACAACAGAGUGAAAAUCUCAGGUUUGUAGCAUUUGGGUUCUUGCGCCUUAGUAUUUGUGGUGGUAAUGUUGUUUAACUACGAAUUUCUGAAUCUGGAAACAAUCUCUUCAAAAUGGUUCUCUUUUCUUGUGCAGAGAAGGAUAGAAUCGUUUCUGCUUAUCCGAAAGAACACAUGUUUCUUCUUCUUAAUCCUCGAGAUGAAGAUGAUUUUACCAAAUCUCAUCUUCAGGUAAGUAGACUCUGACCAAAUCACUCGAAAGUUGAUUUUUUUGUUUUUUUCAUCGCUCAUAAGGAUUUGUAAUUUGAUCAAUUCAGGAAGUGCUCAAGUUAUAUAGUAAAGAGCUACCUGACAUGAAAUACGCUUCAAACACUGGGAAGCAAUCUGCAUUCCUUGAGACAUGCGUCUCCAAAGGGUAAUUAUUCUGCACUUAAAGAGUCUCUCUUUUAUCAUAGAAAGUCUUUACUUGUUCUAUCAUGAAAACUUCCUUUGGCCCAUUUUAAUGCUUUAUUUGAAAUAUUGUCCAAUCUUGCAGCAAGUAUUGUUCGUUGGUUUUGAAGUCCACGCUUAGCGGAGUCUCAGAUGAGGUAAACAAGGUUUAGUUAUAUGCUCUGACCUUUGAUCAAAAGCAGCCUAGACCCUGGAUGAAUUUUGAAUAUUUAUGUACAUGAAGGCUAUAUUUUUUUGAUUGAAGUUUUAUAUUCACUAACAGAUGAUGCUUGUAGUUUGUCUGCUUUACUGCAACUGUAAUACUGAUUAUUGGUAUGUGCUUUUUUGUAGAUCUUAGCUGCAAUCACCUAUCAAAUAGUCCCUGCUGAUACACAGUAUGCUGAGAUACCUCUUGCUGCUGUAACAUAUACACACCAGAAAAAGGUUCGUUUUGUCUCUGACUCAUUGACACUUACUCUUGUAGGGUCGUCAUUGAAACUCCUACUGUCUUACACUUUUCUCCUUUCUGCAACUGGUUUGACUAAAGAUAGAUUGCUAGGAACUUCAUCAAAAACUAAAUAGUUUGGUCUUUAUGAAUACAUUAUUUUCAGGGUUUUGGUAAACUCGUCUAUGAAGAACUAAUGAAGAGGCUUCAUAGUGUUGGCAUUCGAACUAUAUACUGUUGGGCAGACAAAGAAUCUGAAGGAUUCUGGCUUAAACAGGUGAGUAUGAUUUAUUGUUCUUGGAGUUUUUAUCUAUAUAGUUUGUUGGAUUCUAACUAAACUACAUUUGAAGUAGCUAGCCUGAUCGGUUUCUUGCGACUCUUUACGAAUACUUCAGGGAUUUAUAACACUAGCAGAGGUAGACCAGAAAGGCAAAGCAAGGAGGUUACACAUAAAGUCUAAUAUUCGAAAAGCAUUGUGUUUUCCCGGCGGUUCAACUCUCAUGGUCUCUCAUCUGAAUAAGGAAUCUUCUCUGAAUCUUGCAAACCUAGAGAUUGCUUCUUCACGGAAAUACCAGUGUCAGGGAUCUCCACUCUCAGCCACAAAUAAUUGCUCAGGUCCUGUGGCUGGAGAUUCAGCUAAACUUGGUGAGAGUUUUAGUGAAAGCGUAUAUGUUGACUGUAAGUCCCUUUAAAUAUUCUCAGAGUCAAGAUACUUAUUUUCUUUCCAAUUGUUUUCAUCAAGCACUCGAAGAGAAUUUGGCUAUAAAUAAAUGAAGUAAUUUGCGUAUGUUUCUUUUGUGUAGUGCCACAUCACAAAGCAUUUUCACUUAUUUAAGAAUAAUCAUACAUUUCUGUUACCAUGUGCCAUACACAGGUCUCUCUGGUAGCAGAAGUCUAAUGGAGUCGAUAACAGGAAAGGAACAAAAUAACGUGAUCUCUGAUCAAGCUACCACAGCUGACAGUGAGACCAAAUGCUCCACACCGGGCUUGAAGAGAUCUUGGGAAGCUUCACUGUCUUCUCUACAAUCCAAAAGGGUUAGGGCAAACCGCAAUAAUGAGACUGAGAUAGCUAAAAAUGAUUUGGCCAUAAACUCUGCAAGAGAGCAGAAGCAAUCGAAAGACGGUUCUUCCUCACAAGUGGAUUUAACCAAGAAUCCUCUGCCCAAAAGAAACAAUGGUGAAGAAUACAGAACGGUGACUGGGAUGUCUGACUCUCUGAUCAACAUGGAAGCUCCUCCAAAUGGACAAAACUAUAGAAUCUUGUUGAUGGACAUUGGGGAUGAAAACAAGAGAGCCUGGUUAACAGAGGUAUAUGUUUAUUUCUAAGUCAUGUGUAUCACAGAUGUGUUUUCUAUUCACCUUAUGUUGUCUUGUGGUUUCUAUUGUAGGUAAUAAGAAAACUAGGUGGGGAUGUGACCUUGGAUGGCAACAUGAGCACACAUAUUGUCACCGGAAAAGUCAGGAAAACGCUUAAUUUCUGCACUGCUCUUUGCUCUGGGUUAGUCUCAAAUUUAUGGGCAUCAUGUUGACUGUUGCGAAAUUAUGUGCUAAUCUUAAGUAUAAACCAUUUUAUGUUGCAUCAUACUUGCUUGCAGGGCUUGGAUCGUAUCACCAAGUUGGUUAAAAGAAAGCUUUCGACAAGGCAGAUUUGCUAGUAAGAUGAGAAAAAAAAACAUCCCAUGAAUUUAUAUAUCUAUCUGAUGUUAAUUGUUACUCUCAAGCUCUCUGAAUUCUAUUGCUGACACUAUCUUCCUUUUUUUUUGAAACCGAAUUAAUAGAUGAAGCUUCGCACAUAUUGCACGAUGAAGAAUACCAGUUGAAAUAUGAAACCGAUCUGAAGAGCACAGUUCUUAGAGCAAAAGCUAGACCAAACUCGUUGCUUCAAGGAUAUGACAUAUGCGUUGGACCUCACGUUCAGUUGCCUAUUAAAACUUCAUCCGCUAUCAUAAAAUCUGCUGGUGGAAAUGUAAGUGCUAAAUUACAGAAUUUACAGGUUACUUCACCACAAGCUUAUACAUUUGAAUCCAAAACAUGUACUUUUUGCGGGGAAUUUUUCAGGUGAUUAGAGGAGUGGAUAAGGUAAAGGAGACAUCAAAAGCGAUAUACAUAGGGUGCGAAGAAGACACAGUGGAGGCUUUACGUGCAGCAAAGAAAAGGGUUUGGACAUUCAGUAGCGAAUGGUUAAUGAACUGUGUCAUGAAGCAACAACUUGACCUUCAAGUUUCUCAGUUUGUUGAGUCCUUGUGAUUCGAACUCGAGACCUCUCUCUUUUUAGCCUGAAAAUUUUCACUACCUAUCUUUUGCUCUUUUGUCUUUGGGUUUACAUGGAAAUCCACAGACUUUUGUCGAACCUGAGUGGCUAGCUAGGCUACUAAGCUCAAGUCGCCAAUCUAUUUAUGUAUAAAAAUAAAAUUCCGUGUUAUUUUUUUUCCCACAUUAAUUCUGUGUUCGUGCGUAUAUAGGUUUUUAAUACAUUUUCCUCUUCUACUAUUCUCCUAAUUUUGGUCUUUAACAUGCUAUUGAGCUAAUUUGAUAGCAAUUUAAGAUGCUAUCGAGCCUUCGAUUGGUAGAAGAAAUUAGCUUCCAGGAAACCUUUUCGAAUUUUACUUUUAGCUUUGGUAACUUACUCAUGAUACCACGUGGCUUUUAUUGAUUAGCCUAAAGAUGAUAAGUUUAGCAUUAAUUUUGCCCCCUUAAGUCAAACUCAUACUUAGAGAAGAAAUUGUGGAAACAGUAGAAAAACUUUAUAAUGGGCGUUACCACUUCUUCAGUUUUGGACUCAAACUAAAUGCCAUUUUCCUCGUUACUCUUUUCGGCAAUGUAUUAAAACAAAAACUAUCAGAAAGAGUUAUUCAAGGUCAAAACUCCUAAUUAAUAAAUUGCUACCAAAAUUUUCCCACCUCUCAUUUAAGUAUUUACUAAACCAACAUAUAUAUUGACUUUUCUUUGCUCUUAAAACCCAUAAAGUAACUUUCCGUUAUUUAACUAACGAACCUGAAGAUUCAAGAAAUAACAAGAAUGGCCAACUGACAAAAACGGCUCCAACUUUUCAUUUCAAAAACUCGUUUCAGUUUCAGCUUUCAAGUAUCGUCGUCUCCCUCACAACACCACACCUCUAUCUACGCGCCUGACGUUUCCUGUUGCAUUCUCACAUGGCGGUUCUCUACUCGUCGAAACCAACUUCGUCAUCAUCUUCCUCUGCCUCGCGGCUUUUCUUGCUAGUGACCCUUCUUCCUCUCUCCUUAGCCUGCUUCGCCUUCCUCCUCCAAUGGCGAGGCGAAAUCAACGACUCGGUUACGCAAUGGUUUACUGAUAACCAUCGAUUCCCCGGAAUGGCCACAUUCCCCGAGAAACGGUCUGAUUCGGGCUGCGUUUCUCUUCUGGGUCAGAGCCGUGCUCCAUCGUUUCCUUAUCUCCGGGAUUUGAAGCUUGAUUACAAGCCUGAUCUGAAACCAAGAGUUAGAGACUCUUGAUCCUGUUUUUUUGUCGCGUUUUUGAUUCUAAUCUGAUAUAUGAUAAAUAAAAAUCGGAUUUUUUUGUGUGUAGAUAUGUAUAACGACGAGCACAUCAGCAGGAUUAGAGCAGACACUGCCAUGGAUUUUCUAUCACAAGGUCAUUGGAGUUUCAACCUUUUAUCUUUUCGUUGAAGGCACUGCUGCUUCCCCUAAUGUGUCUCGAGUUUUGGAGUCCAUCCCUGUAAGCCUUUUUCUCCUGUUACAUCAUCGACUUCUUUUGAAUCCUUAUUUAUUAGUCUUCUUGUUUUUGUCAUUAUGUUCUAAUUUUUAUUUGCAGGGUGUAAACGUUAUAUACAGGACAAGAGAAUUAGAAGAAGAGCAAGCUAAAAGGUAUUCAUUCUUGUGUUUUGUGUUUGUUCAUUAAGUUACGGUUUUAGACCCAUGUAUAGCUAAAUAAAAAUGGUGGAUUUGAAGGAACCAACUCUGGUUAUUUAGACAUAUUGGGUUAACUGAUUUGUGUGCUCUUUUGUUUUCCUUGUCUACAUCUUGAUUUACCAAAAGUGGCCACCUUUAAAAUGGUUGUUAUUUCAGAAUCAUCACAAUUUUUUUUCUAAUUUCAGCCGGAUUUGGAAUGAGACUUGGUUGGAGAAAUUCUUCUACCAACCGUGUAAUUACGAGUUAUUCGUAAAACAAAACUUGAAUAUGGAAAUGGCUAUCAUCAUGGCUAGGGUACUUGUUACAUUCCCCUGUUUUUUGGCUGACACUUACAUUUAGUCAUAUUCACUAGUAAAAUAAAGUUACAUUUCCCAACAUUUUAUCUCUUCACAUUCUCUCAAUGUGCUUGGUAUAUAUAUAUUAGGAUGCAGGAAUGGAUUGGAUACUGCAUCUCGACACCGAUGAGCUUGUGCAUCCUUCUGGAGCACGUGACUAUUCGUUAAGAAAUUUGUUCAGAGAUGUUCCUGCUGAUGUGGACGCAGUUAUCUUUGCAAAUUACGUGAGCUCAACGAUUCUUAUAACACAUUUGAAUUGUUUUUUUCUUUCUUCUUUCUUCGGUUUCUUGUUGUGGAUAACUCGUGAAUAUUGUUCUUGUUUUUAGGAGAGCAGCGUUGAGCGAGAUGAUAUCAAAGAACCUUUCAGUGAGGUGUACAUAGCAUUAUCAUCUAGAACAAACUUGUCUUUGGUUUUUAACAUAUCCAAAAGUGUUUUUUUUUUCUUCUUCUUUUAACUUUUAGGUGUCAAUGUUCAAGAAGAAUUAUGAACAUCUUCCUAGAGAUGUUUACUUUGGAAGCUAUCACGAGGCGACUCGUGGCAAUCCAAACUAUUUUCUUACCUAUGCAAAUGGGAAAUCCGCUGCUCGGAUUCAAGACCAUCUUCGGCCUAAUGGUGCUCAUCGAUGGUAUAACUACGAGAAGAUCCCAAAGUAUGUUCUUGUUCUCACUUUGGCUUAGACAUAGACAUUCAUUCUCUUGCUUUUGGAAUAUGACAUUGAUCCUAUAUCUUUGUUGUGACAGUGCCAUUAAACUAGACGAAGCUGCGAUUCUGCACUACACUUACCCAAGAUUCUCAGAUCUUACUUCAAGACGUGAUCGAUGUGGCUGCAAACCAACUAGAAAGGAUGUCAAGAGAUGUUUCAUGCUAGAAUUUGACAGAGAGGUGAGUUUUGAUUUGGUUUUAUUUCUUCAAAUUGUAUAGCUUUUAUUCAUCACAUUUGUUUUCAUUUCUUGGCAGGCAUUCAUCAUUGCUUCAACUUCAACUUCAGAGGAAAUGCUUCAAUGGUAUAGAGAACGAGUUGUAUGGACUGACAAGAAAUUGAUCCUCAAACUUCUUAAAAAGGGAAUUCUGACUCGCAUCUAUGCACCAAUGGUCAGUUCAUAAUUCAAUAUUUUUUACACUUUCUAAGUGCUUUUGAUUUCACAAAGAUAUAAUCUUUCUCAGGUUAUAAUCCAAGAGCUAAGAGAAGCAGGUGUUUUCAGCUCAGUGGUAACCUCAGCUCACAUGUCUUUCUCAAAGAACAGAGACAACUCUUCAGCCUCAAGCAAUACUAGAGAGUCAUCUCAAGCAACUGUUAGGAGGAAAGUUUUGGAGUUUAACCUUGAUCAUGAUCUUGAUGGUGAAUCUCAAGCAGCAUCAGCGGCACCACCGCAAUCUCCUCCACGCUUGAAAUCAACCCCAAGUGUUUACUUUUGAAUUUUCUUUGAGGAUGAUUCUAAAGUUUUCAGAGAGAUAAAAACCGAGUCUUGAUGUACAUUUUUCGCUUAGAUUUUAUACAAGAGAAAUAUUAGAGCAAGAAUUGUGGAUCUCCUUGGUCCCUUAAUUAAAUAAACUCUAUGUAGAAAUAACGCUUUGGAUUAAUCUGAUUCUAUUACUUAACAUCCGAGUUCAUGAUCCAACAGUUUUAUAUAUUUUUUUUUGGUUUUUUGGUUUUUUGGUUUGGAUAUGAAAAUGAGCCACUCCUGUAAGUGAACAAAGAAAAACGGCGCGUGCCUAAACGCGCAGAGAUGAGCGAGCGAAAUUGGAAAUCGCGUUUUAAGACGCUAUUUUUUGGCGGUUCUUUCUCGUCCCUUCGUCUAGCUUAUGUGCACUUAUUCGAUGAACAAGGUUCUUCAGUUCGGUCUCCAAAGCUCCGUUAUCAGUGUCGCCAAGUACGUUUCUGUCCAAAACUGUCAAAUAAAUGCUUCGAAUUGUCUGCUGUAUUAUCGCCUUUUUGUUCUUCUUCUGACUCGUUUCCUUACAUUCGGACAAAUCAAACCCACUGGUUGAUUUCGGAUAUUGGGGUUCUGUUUCAUUUAGCUGAUAUAUGAAUCCAAAGCCUUGACCUUUAUUCAUUUUAUUUUUUACUUUUUUUUCCAAAAUUCUAAAUUUCGUGACUGAUGAUGAUUCUAGGUUUCUGGCGGUGCCUCUUAGGAGCUUAAGAAUUGGAACAACAAUUUUCAACAAGAGACUUAUGUCAAAUGCUACGGCUAAAUCCGUACCUUUCUCAAUCAACAACAGCAAGGGAAAGGAACUCAAGAUAGUAGGGGCAGCUACUGAUCAGAAUUGUCAUCAAAUGGUUGGUGCUAAGGUUGUGAUUGUUCGUUCUGGUUCCUAAGGAGUCUUAGUUAUUUUGUUUAAUUGUUGGUUUUGAUGUAUAGGGAAGUGAUAGUGAUAGAGAUGAAAUGAGAAUUGUUCACGAUGAUCAAAAGGAAAUCGAGACAAUGACUGUUCAAGAACUUAGAGCUACAUUGAGGCAAGCCUAUGCUCCUUUUAAUCUUCCCUUCUUGCUGCUUUGUCAGUGUUUCUGUGGACAUCCAAAUUCCUGACUUUUGUUUGAACUUGUGGAACAUUUGUGUAUUCGCGGUUUUGAAUAUAGGAAACUUGAGCUACCUGUGAAAGGACGCAAGCAAGAACUUAUCUCAGUGUUACGACUUCAUAUGGGGAAAAAGUUACCAGGUAUGUCACUGCACACCAAAAACACACCCUCGAUUUGGAAUGGAAUGGAAAAACGAAUGUGGAAUGGAAAAACGAAUGUGGACUUGUUUGCAAUUGCUAUAGCUUCUGAUUUCUUGGUGAAGGCAGUAAAGAACUUUGGUUCGGACCUGUGUCUAUUCUACAUUUUUUCUUUAGUAAAGACCAAUUCAUUGCGUGUUUAUCUGUUACAGAUGAAAGUUCUGGUGUAGACAAAAAGGAAACUACUUCGUCCACCCGUUCAGGAAGUGUCACUACCAAAAGAAAAAUCAGAAAUAAGGAAGAGUCUACUGAAGAUGACUGCAUUAGCUCUGAAGUUUAUGGGAAUGACCAUGGAGAGAGAAGAGUAAAACAGACUACUGAGAAAAACUUGAAAGCUAAAGUUUCCUCAAAAGCUAUCUCAAACGAACGGAAGUCAAUGACGAAAACAGGUUUGUCAUGUGUUAAACAAAGCGAACACUGUGUACUAUAUACUGGCAUCUCAAUAGAAUAUUAUGAAUUUAUUUGUGUUUGCUUAAUCCUACUAGGUAAGCAGACAUCUCGGUUAAAAGAGGAAGAAGCAUCAUUGACCUUUUCUAGCGAAGUCAUUAAAACGGAAGAAAUCGUCUCAUCCUCAAAUCAAACUGAACCAUGGACGGUACUUGUCCAUAAGAACCCUGAGAAAGACUGGAAACCUUAUAACCCAAAGACAAUGAGACCUCCACCUCUACCAAAGGGUACCAAGUCUGUGAAGGUUAUGACUUGGAAUGUUAAUGGAUUGAGAGCAUUGUUGAAGUUAGAGAGCUUCUCUGCUCUGCAGCUUGCCCAAAGAGAAGACUUUGAUGUGUUGUGCUUGCAGGAGACUAAAAUCCAGGUCAUUACAGAACAUUAGCCCGUCUUAAGUAUUUUCUGCUCUAUAUUUGAAUGAAAGCCAGAUCUUAAAACUGUUUACUGAAUACAUUUAUUACACUUAUUGGCAGGUGAAGGAUGUUGAGGAAAUUAAGAAAACUCUUAUUGAGGGCUAUGAUCAUAGUUUCUGGUCCUGCAGCGUCUCAAAACUUGGUUACUCUGGAACUGCGAUCAUUUCACGGGUAACACGAGAAUGUGCUUAUUUGUUAUUUCAUAUCCAUUCCAUCUUAUAUGUGAAAUUGAAAAGUGAAUGAUCUAAUCAAGUUGGUCUUUUUGUGACAGAUAAAACCGCUCUCGGUUAGAUAUGGUACUGGCCUAUCCGGAUCAGAUCAUGACAUGGAAGGACGCAUUGUGACUGCUGAAUUCGACUCAUUCUACUUGAUAAGCACCUAUGUCCCUAAUUCCGGAGAUGGCUUAAAAAGACUGGUACUCCUCAAAUUUUACGGCAUCUAGUUUCUACAGCUGACAUAUUCUAUAUUUCUUUAGUUUAACAAAAUGUUUCGGUUUUCAAGUCAUACAGGAUUGAAGAAUGGGAUCGAACCCUCAGCGAUUACAUCAAAGUAUGAAAUUUUUCUUCUUUGUUUCUUUAUUUAUUGUAUAUGUUCUUCUUACACAGACCUCAAUGGCUUUGUUGCAUUUGCAGGAGCUGGAGAAGUCUAAACCAGUGGUCUUGACUGGUGAUCUAAAUUGUGCUCAUGAAGAAAUCGACAUCCACAAUCCCGCGGUAACUAAAAUCAGAUUCUUCUUUUUAUGUUCAUUCCAUUAGUUGAAAACAAUAAUCACCUCUUGGUUUGUUUCGUUCUUGUUUCACCUAAUCGUGUAAUUAGGGGAACAAAAGAAGUGCUGGUUUCACAAUAGAAGAAAGACAAUCCUUUGGAGCAAACUUCUUAGACAAGGGCUUGGUGGAUACCUUUAGAAAGCAACAUCCUGGUGUUGUAGGUUACACUUAUUGGGGUUAUCGCCAUGGUGCCCGUAAAACCAACAGAGGUAAUUAAGUAUGCAUAAAAAAAAUGUUGGUAGUUGUUUGAUACAUAUUCAGAUUCAUAUUUUGGAUAGUUAAACUGGUGAAUUGGUGUGUGAAACAGGAUGGAGACUGGACUACUUCUUGGUAUCUGAAUCGAUCGCAGCCAAUGUCCAUGAUUCUUACAUUCUCCCUGAUAUCAACGGCAGUGAUCAUUGCCCCAUUGGCCUUAUUCUCAAGCUCUGACUUAUUCAAAGCUUCACAGUUCCUCCUAGUUUUUGUUGGUGUUUUGACUAAAGUUCUAAAUGGCUUUCAGCGAUAGAUUCACAAGUUUUUGCUUCUACAGAGAGCCGUGCUUAUGUGAACUAUAUGAAUUAUAUAUCUCUAUUUGUAAUGAUACCCCCAAACAGAACAGUAAGUUCCUAGUCUUGGCCAAUCUAUGCUUAUGAUUUAGUUUCAUUGCGCCUCUUGGUUUACUAAUUCACUUGCAAAUAACUGAAUAUAAUAGUUUUAGUCAAAUACUUGUUAGAUAAAAAAAGAAAAAUGUGAAUAUUAGUAUUGUCUUGUUGCAUAUAUAUAUAUAUAUUUUUUGACAAAAGGAUCUCAACAAAUUGCAAAUUUGCAUGCUAUUUUUUAUUUUGUUAAAGAAAAUGAUCACAUCAUCACGGCAUUAACAAUUUCACAUUGUACAUGUUUUUCUCUCACAAAUACAAAACAACACAAUACUAGUGUAACACAUCAUUCACAGAUAAUCAACUCUCUUUGUUUAUAUAAUAAAAUCUUACAUAGCAGCUGCGAGGGCGGAGGCAAUGAUGGGUUGAUGAUCAGAAGACUUGUCAAAGCCAAUGCCAUUGCAGACGUUAAAGCCAUACCAAACGGAGUUAGGCAAGAAGAGGUUAUAGUAGAAAGUGACUGAUCUGAUGGAUGAGCCGUAGAUCUUCACGUUCUCCGGUUUCCAGCCGUCGGAUCCUUGCCUGAGGAGGUAUUGAUAACACACGUCGCGCAUACACGGUCCCGUUAUCUUGUAUGUGUCUGAAGAACACUUUUCAAAUGUCCUCGACUUUGGAUCGUCUAGUCUCUUCACGUAUACCUUGAUCACCAAAUAAAUAAAUAAAAGGAUUAACAAAAAUAAAAAGAUAAAUAUACACACACGUAUAUAUAUAUAUAUUCACUGCUUUUUCCCUAAUUUUAUUACACAAAUUAAGGAUCGAGAGAAUAUAACCACAUAUGUGACGACAUUUCAAGAAUAAAACCUUUUAAGUAUGCAUCAUUGUAAUUACUAAAAACGCAUGUUAAUGGUUAAUACUACUAUACUUUUUGCUUUAUGGGUCGGGGGGAAAAAACAAUAAACAAGAAAGAAGAAAGAAACUAUGUAUGUUAGUUGACAAAGAAAAUCGCAUUUUUAGAUCUGAAUUUUCACAAAUUUUCCCUUUAUCUCGAUUAGGAAUCAUAAAAAUCGACUGACUAAGCUGGGAUUGGUUAAACCUAGGCCAAGUUCGUUGGAUCAUAAAAUCCAGACGCUAUCCGGCAGAACCAAAAAAAACUUCAAUAAUUCUGAAAGCAUUGUCAAGGAGAAAUAAAAGGGGAAAAAAUUCUAACUCAAAUUCUAAACUUAAUUGAUUACGGAAUCAUUUUCCAUUGAAGCAAAAAUCGAUUUAUGGAUAUUUUGUAGAUGUAAAACCAAGAAAUGAAUAAAAAUAUACACACCUCGUUGCCAUACACAUCACCAAACGCAAUACUGAUCUUAUCUCUUGUGUAAGACACCGAGGAACAGCUUGUCUUAAUGAUCACCGUGUAAGAACACACACCCGCAUUCUGAAAUUUUCAGCCCAAAAUAUAUAUUAAAAACAAAAAGAAAUCAAUAAGAUGUAUCCGUAAUUCUUGGGAUAGUGAAUCGAGAUUGACAUUACCUCUAGCUUGGGUUUAGGGAGAAAUGAAUCAAUCGGCCGAGGUUUUGAUUGAAAGAAUGAUCUCGCAGAGGAAGACGAUGUGAAAGAGCAUAAUGCAAAGAGGAACAAAGAAAUCGCUAAUCUAAGCAUUUUCAGUUUUAAUCUGUCGUUGAAAAGAUGUGGAGAUGAACAAGGUCAGAUCUUAGCAUGUUGUUUGGUGGACCAAGCCAAUUAUCUAUAGAAUAUAGUCUAUAGACCGACACGAAAAUCACGUUCAUACUAAUAAAUGGGAGAAGUUGAUAUGUUUUGUUUUUUUCUGUCAGAAUUCUAUAGGUGUUUCUGUUGCCAACUAUUAUUUCACUGUCUUUUAAUGUUUUUUUUAUCUUUAUGCUUACUUUUGCUCAAUCACUACAAAUAGAAAAAUACAUUAAUAUAGGGAUUCUUGUAAAAUAACCUUGUAUCUCAAUAAGAAAAUGUAAACUAUUUUUCUAAACUGAAAUUUCAUUCCUUAUCUACAGAUUUUUAACCAAUCAAUUUUUUCCUAUAUUAUUUUCUAUUGAGAAACUAAUUUUUAAUAUCUUCAUCACAAUAUAAUAUCUCGAACUUGGGACGUUACAUAAGCCAACAAGGGACUCCUUGAACCACAAGAGGCAAGAGCUAAUACAUAUAAAUUUUUUUUGCCCUCAAAACGAAUUUAAUUCACCUUGGAACAAACUUUCCUAACCUCACCAUUGACGUCUGUCUUUACAUCAAUGGAACUCAUCUUAACCAUAGCUUUACCAAACUCAUUAUCAAACCUAAACCCUAACAAACCCCUAAUAGUACUCGCAUACUUCUUCACCACGUCUUUUGUCUCGGCGUCCGACCAAAGCCGUUGGUCCGACUCCAAAAUGGCGUUACCAUCUCGUAGGUUCUUGAAGAAGCUAACAUCAAAUUUCGAGGGACUGCCAAUGUCAAGAGCAACACGUUUUGAACCGUCUCCAUUGGGAGGACAAAGAGUCUUGAGCUGCGUAAGAAACGAUGGGCUUAUGGUUGGGUCGGAGUUUCCGGUCACCGUGAAGUUGUAUAGACGGUAACGGAAGAAUUGACAGUCCGUUUGUCCUAUUGUAUGUGCACCUGCAUAUAUAAUGUGUUAUUAUUUUGGAGAGAAAAGAUAAAUGGCACAUGCAUGUUCAUUAGAGACAAGAGAAGCAGGUGUAAAUUUUAGAAAGAAAAAAAAUAUGAAGAAGAAGAUCAAGAUGGGCUAAUAGCAAGUGUCUCAGUUUACUUUUAUUUCUAAACUUCAGCAGCUACUACGUACCAGCGUUUUUUGAAGUAAAAAUUUCAACCAGAUAAUUAAUCAUUUUAGAUAUUUCAAAACAUUCAUUUUUAUGUUCUUUUCAACUAAAAAAAAUACAAUUACUGAAUAAAAAGCUAACUUUUUAAAACAAAGCAUCUAUAGUUGCGGAUCAUUAGGACUUUAUGACGUACCCUCGUCAGGAUCAAAUACGAUCGAUCUAACAUACGUCAAAGAAAAGAUGACUUUAAUCUUCCGAGUUAAUAAUUUUCUUGAUCGAUUUUGUGAAAGACGGUGGCUAAGGUGUUUUUCAAUUUCAAAUCUUCCUCCUCAAAUCAACGAUUAAUUGUGUAAUGAUCCUUUGCUUAAAAUCCAAGAAAAAAGUAUAAAAUGAAACAAGGCAUACUACAACUUUUAGGCACUUAAACUUUUUUCCAUGUUGGCGUUUUUUGUGCAUAAAUUUGUUUUCAAAUUUCGAACUUUAUGUUUCUUUUAAACAUAUAUCUGUAUAUAGUAGGAUUUAGCAUAACAGGCUAUUAACAGCUAUGAACUACUUACUCAUGAAUCAUAUUUUUCAAUGUAGUGGUUUAACUAAUGGAUAGCGCGUUCUGCAUCCGGAUUUAGUUAAAGUCCUAAUGAUCCGCAACUAUGGAUAAAAAUACCGAUGAACAAAACAAUUACUCAUAAAAAUAUAAAAAGUUAAAUGAUCGAAAAAUGAAAAUAUGAUUCUUAAACGAAAAAUUAGAUAGACUCUUCUCUUGCGGGAAAUUAGUAGAAUAUAAAUUAUGGAUGUCAAAGCAAGAAGUUAGAUUUUCUAAAAAGAAAGAAAAAAGACAGAGAGAUGAAAAACAAACCGAGUAGAGUGACGAGAUCAUGAGUAUCCAAUCCUUUGUUUUGAAACUUUUGCUUUUGAACAGCAACAGAGUCAAGUGGCGAAGGUAGAUUCGAUGCCUCCGACGCUAACGAGAUUCUCCCGUCUUUACGACCCGUUGGAACUCGCCAGCUUGGCCCUGAACUCUGUUUUCCAUACGUAAUUAAUAAAUAAUCUUCCAAAGAAUUUAAGUAAACCCUAAUUAGGUUUAGUAAACUUGCGUACCAAGUCAACAGCGUCACGAGCAGCAAGUGCAAGUAUAUCUGCACAUGACACCACUCCUGGACACUCUGACUCUAGCCGGGCUUUCGCAUCAUCUAUCACCUCAAAACCUCUAAGACCGCCAUUAGCGAGAGCUGCUUGCUCGGCAGAUUUCCCUUUGAUUAAGACCGAUCCAUCACAACCCUAAUAAUAGGUCAAAUUCAACAUUCAGUUAACUUGUAUAAUUGCUUAGAGAAGAAUGAGAUUAAAGAAGAUUUGGAACCUGAACAAAACAGUCAUGGAAAUGAAGCCUAAGCAGGCCAGGAGAAAUAGUGGGAUCAGAAUCAAAGUGAGAUUCAACGGUGGAUCUUACUAUUGACUCAGCUUUGGGACAUGAAGUUGAAUAAUAACCAUUACUUAACGACUGACUUAUCACUUCUUUUCCCAACACCAAUACUAUUAUAAUUACAUAACAGUAGUUGCCUAAGUACACUCCCAUUUUUCUAACUCUUGUUUUUUUUUGUGUGUGUUAUCACUUAUCAGUUUACAUAUAAUCAUGAAGUUCAAGAACCAACUGAGAUUUAUAUAUAGUCACACACAUACAUAAGCCUUUGUCUCAAUGGAACCGUGUGGGGACAGAUAGUGCCUACUUUUUCAUUUUGUUUUAAGUUUAUUUUAUAUAUAUUUGUUGGUAUAUACACUUGGUAGCCACUAUGGGAAAUCAUGGGGUUUGAUUAUAUUAGUUUUCAUAUACUUUUAUUUCUAAACUUAUCAUGUCUACGAGUUUUGUGCUAACGUACGUUUCAAAAUCAGCUUUUUCUUUUUAUUUAUAGACGUCCUUUCAGAAUAUUUAUGAUUCGUUUGCUUUACCUAAAGUUUCUUGGAUCACUCCUAAAACAUUAGCAAUCCAUGAAAUAUACAAACGUGUUCACAACUAAACUCUGAAAUAAGUCGUCACUAUUUUUUCCCGUUCACAUCUCCCCUUCUUUUGCAGUUUUAUCUUGAUCCUAAUCUUUGUGAAUUUUUUUUUUUUGUUGCUACAAAAAAAGAAUCGAAAAUCCGAGAUCGAUCUAAUGUAAAAGAACGACGAAAUACUCUGGAUACCGAAAGUGAAAAGCAUAAAAUCAUAACCAUCGCUUCUAAAAACUCAUUUUGUUUACUAUUAUACAUACCUCCAUGAUUUACAUAAAGUGCAUGCGUUAUUACUUGAUUGAAUUGUGUCCAUAGUGUUAUUUUUUUUUUUUUCAAUUCAGAAGACAUUCAUUUGAUGGUGUUAACGUCCGUUAAAUAUUUUUAGUUUCUUUUUGGUUGUCGUAAAUAUGUAAAUAUGGAAGACCAUGCAUGUAAGAUUUUUGUUUGUUUGCCACAAACAUGUAAAAUUAAUAUUAAAAACUUGCUUAUUAGAGCAUAGUUCUAGAUUGUGGACUAGAUUAUACUCUUUGAUCAACAUUUUUAUUUUUAUUUUGGAUAAAAUCUUUGAUCAAGAUGAUUUAGGUUGGACUUAUCACUUAGAUUAGGUCGUGCAACCCAAUUCAAUAUAGUAGAGAAAACUCAAAGCACAAUUCAUCAAGCAGAGUAAAUUUAUACUUCCACAACAAACUUCAAACAUAUUUUUAGCUACGGAAAUAGAGAAUCAUUUGAUUUUUUUAAGCAAGUCCGACAAAGAUUUUUUUAUUUGAUUUUUAAGGUUGAUUUUAUGUGUAUGUAAUUAACCUAUAUCUAACAAAAAUUUUGAGUUGACUGAUUCAUAUAAUUUUAAAAACUUAAAAAUCCUAUUGGGAUGACACGGUGUCGUCUUGCUGCGAAGUGGCAAAGCUCUAUUGGUCUCUGUGACGCCUAAAGAGACUUUGCUCUCGAUAAACCGGUUUGGAAGCUGAAUCCAGAGGCGGGGAAUCGAAAUUCAAGCGAACGGAUCCGCCAUGGCAGCUCGUAAGAGAGCUUCUUCGACGUCAGCUUCGAAUAAACCGGAUGAAUCAGCUCCAAAUUCAGCGCCAUCGGAGCAGAAGAUGACCCGGAAUGCUUCCGGUGAGGAAUUCCGUCUCGCGCCGCCGAAACUAGGAGUGAUCUUCGUGAUCUCUACUCUUCUUUGCUCGCUUUAUCUCUACCUUCUCUGUUUUCACUACAAGGUUGAAAACGAGCUCAGGCGCUCGAUUCUCAUCAACGCUGGGCUUAGCUUGAUUGGGUUCUUUGUCACACUCAAGAUGAUUCCUGUCGCUGCCAGAUACGUUCUGAGACGUAACAUGUUUGGUUUUGAUAUCAACAAAAGGGGAACGCCUCAAGGAGAAAUUAAAGUGUAAGUUUUGAUCCAUCGGUGUGAUCAGCUUACAACUAUGAUCGAAAUUUGCUUCAUUUCCUCUUGUUCGCUUUCAGGCCUGAAUCGUUGGGUAUCGUUGUUGGUAUUGUCUUCUUGAUCGUGGCGAUCAUAUUUCAGUAUUUCAAUUUCACUGAAGAUUCGAAUGUAAGUCUUCUCAGAUCGAUCAUGCCACUAAUUAACACCUGGAUCCUCAAUUUGGGUAAUGAUUCUUUGUGCAGUGGCUUGUGGAGUAUAAUGCAGCACUGGCAUCUAUUUGCUUCAUGAUUUUGCUUGGAUUUGUAGAUGAUGUCCUUGAUGUGCCUUGGAGAGUGUAAGUUUAAAUUUUUAUCUUUUGAUUCUGAUGAAAUUCAUAAACGAUUGUUGUUUACAUCUUCUCGCUUGUUAAUUUUUUUAUAAGAAACAGGAAACUUGUCCUGCCAUCUUUCGCUACUCUUCCACUGUUGAUGGCUUAUGCUGGUCAUACAACUAUUGUCAUACCGAAACCUCUAGUUGCUUAUGUUGGCCUGGAAGUGCUUGAUCUAGGUACUGAUUCUUGUACAUGUUUACCAUGUUGACUUCCAUAACUGUAUUUUUGGGGAAUGUUCAUGGUUAGUUCAAUGGAUGUUUCAAUGUUGCAGGACGGAUAUAUAAGUUAUAUAUGGGGUUACUUGCCGUCUUCUGCACAAACUCUAUAAACAUUCACGCUGGUUUGAAUGGCCUUGAAAUUGGUCAAACAGUUGUUACCACCGCUGCUGUAAGUCACUGGUCAUACAUAAUGUUUUAGGCUUCUUCUCUAUCUGUUUUUUUUUUUUUUUUGGGUUGAGAUAUGAUGCAUCCCAGUUACUUGUAGAUCCUGAUACACAACAUUAUGCAAAUCGGAUCAUCUACUGAUCCCGAGUAUCACCAAGCUCACGCCUUUUCGAUAUUUCUUACUCAACCACUGAUGGCAACAUCCUUACCAUUGCUUGCUUACAAUUGGUAAAAUCUUUCACAACUUUUUCACUUUUAAAAAACCUUUUUUUUCUUCUUUUAGUUCAAGUAAUGCCUUUUCUGACCAGUUCUUGCCAUCUUCUGCUGUUAGGUAUCCGUCCUCAGUUUUUGUUGGAGACACUUAUACAGUCUUUGCCGGAAUGACUAUGGCAGUUGUUGGUAUUCUGGGUCACUUCAGGUAUACUUCCAAAUCCUCCUUAAAUAUUAUGACCUCUAAAGCCUUUUUAUAAACAUAUCGUAGUUCUUCUUUCCCUUAUAGUUUCUUAUACUUUAUGCUCAGAAUCUUCGUUUGCAUCAUAUAUCCAGCUAGUGUUACACACUGCAACUGAUUCCAAUGCCAUCUUUCUCUUCUGAAAUUUUGAUUUUGCAGUGAAACCCUCCUCAUCUUCUUUCUUCCUCAGGUUUUGAAUUUUCUAUUGUCGCUUCCUCAGGUUCAUAUCUAAUGAAACUCUUCUCCGGCUUGCUUAUACUCUUGUGAACCCAUGUUUCAACUAUCUAACAUUCUAUAUUUAACUCCUCAGCUUGCUGGCAUUGUGAAAUGUCCACGCCAUCGUCUCCCGAGGUAAACAUCUUUGUGUUCUUACCUUUUGUAGAUUGAUUAAAGAACAUACGCAUCACUCAUAUUGUCUUUUGGAAUAUCCCAGGUUUGAUACUGCAACCGGAUUAUUGACCGGAACAAAAGAUGGGACACUCGUUAACGUUUACUUGAGGUUAUUUGGUCCUAAAUCAGAAAAGUCUCUUUGCAUCCAUCUUCUCGUUUUCCAGGUAGUUCUUAAUUAUAUGUUCAUCACCAUUUCUAUAUUAUCAAAAUAAUCGUUAUUGGUUUUGUAGUGAUACUAUAUUUUGUUUCUACUGCAGACUCUGGCGUGCGCCUUCUGUUUCAUACUUCGGUACUUUCUUGCUGGUUGGUACAAAUAAUCUGCAACCAGAAGAAUAUCUUCAGACAAGUCACAAAUACUUAACAUUAUUUAGACUUCCUUGUACAAUCUUAUAUAGCAACGUAAUUUUGGUUAACAUGGUAUUGGAAACAAAGUUCAGUUAUUUAAUUUUGUUAGACGUAGUGGCAAAAAAUUCUAAAGACGAUGUAUCAUCUUCUUGAGUGUGUUAUAACCCCCCAAAAGAUUACAAUCAAUCCAUCUUAAAGAUUCUCUCUAACAAAAGCGAAUCUCUGAAUCCCUCGAUUCUAAUAUUUUGCUCGCACAAAUAUGAAAAAAGAAGCUAGAGAUCUAUGUCCAUUGUGUCUCCGCCUUGGUCUUCUUGGUCUUCUUCGCUGGUACUGCUUGUCCAAAGCUUGAUGGUGCGGUCAUGUGAUACAGUAGCGAUACAGGAGCUAUCUGCAGCGAUAUCUAGAGAGGCGACUUUUGACUCGUGUCCUGCUAAGCUUUUAACAAGUGAGAAAUCUCUGCCUGACCAUAUCUGUUAUAGACAAAAUGUUAGAAAUAGUGGAAACAGACAAUUAAGUAAAAAAAAUUGAAAUAAUACUUAGGGCAAGGGAUUACAGAAGUAUUUACAUUGACUUUCAUGUCGUAUGAGGCAGUGGCUAGGAAGUAGCCUUCUUGUGGUUCAUACUUCACUUGAGACACAAGGUUAGCAUGAGCUGGUAUAAUGUACAAUGACUUUCUCAUUCUUAGAUCCCAAAUACGGCAUUGAUUAUCCUCACCACCCGAUGCCAAGUGAUAACCAUUAGGAGAGAAAUUCACUGAGAGAACCUAUACAACAGAGAAGAUUAAAAUAAGGGUUAAUGAAUGAUCAAUUUUGCCUGAGGAAGAGGACCAAGAAAACGAAACUUGAGUCUUACCGGUUUAAUGUGUCCUUGGAAGACGAGAAUACUCCUACCAGUGCGGAGAUCCCAAACCCGUGCGAGUGAAUCAAGCCCAGAAGAAGCUGCUAAUGCUCCAUCUUGUUGAAAUGCAAUUCCAUAGACACUACGACUAUGACCUUCUUGCAAAAGCAGCUCUGCUCCAGUGUUUACAUCCCACAGUCUCCAUGUUUUGUCAAAGCUUGUUGUUCCGAGGUACUUCCCUGAUGGGUGGAAGGCAACGCGUGCAAGACGAUCCAGAUGACCUUCAAAAGUUUGUAGGAGUGUUCCAUCAGUUUUCCACAACUUUGCAGUUCGAUCAGCAGAAGCAGUUGCCAGACAAUCAUCCACAGGGGAGAACACUACAUCAGUUGCACGUUCUUUGUGAUCCUUCAGGACAGCAAUCUUGUUUGUAACUUGAGGCAUUUCCCACAAUUUUGUAACUCCACUCAGAGAACUAGACAAAGAAAAACCAUGAAUUACUAGACAGUAGAGGAAUUAUGUGAAUCAUAUAAGUCAUGAACCUAGAGAACGUGUAAUGCAUUUAGAAGGGACAAAUGCAAUAGACAUGGAGUAUGCUAGUUAUAAGAUAAACUACAGCCCUAUAACUAACUUCAUGGUCUGAUAAAGGUGUAAGGAAUUGAAACUGAGGAAAAUCAGCAGGUUCAGUGUUUAUUAGGAUACGUAUCUACUGAUAUAUCAAUGUAAACGAAUAUGCAGGUAGAAUGCAAUAUAUUCCAUGAAACUCUAAUCAAUAAAUAGAGAUGAGCAAAAGUAGAUCGAAGCCUAAGAAACUGGAUGUGAAAAAUAUGUAAAUUUGUGCUUGAGAGUGAGAAAGAUAGAGAUGAGAGAUGUACCAUGUGGCAAGUAUUUUCCCAUCGCGUGAGAAGGAGCAGCCGGUAAGAGGACGAUCAUCCCCAAAAUUACUGCAAUCAAGGACCAUGCCUUUAGCAUGAUUCAAAGCCCACUUAGUCUCUGCAUCCAUAUCUUCAUCUGGAUCAUCUCUUCGCCGCUUUGCACGCUGAAUCCUGACAGCAGCUCUCUUGAUAGAAAAUUUGGCAAUUUCAAUUCUAGCCUCUCUAAGUUCCUUUGGACCCUCAGUAAAAAAUGGGUAUUCAAGUACUUCAUCAUCCACUUCCUCUUUUGGAGCGGCAUCUUCUUCGUGAGCUCUAAAAAGUUUAUCCAACUGGCCAUCGAUACUAAGCCUAGCCAUAAGCUGAGACAACCUAGCUCUUCGCUCCAUUUCCUGUUCUCCAAAUAGAGUAAUGGGCUGUCCAAGUCGUCUGAGGCGAUCUCUAACAGCUUUGUCAUUCGUUGGAACUGCGAUAGCAGCAGCAUGACGUUUUAUCUGCAUGUCUUUCAGUGCCUUUUCUCGUCUUUCUCUGACCUGCCUACUCUCUUCAGAUAUCUCAUAAUGUUCAUCCUCUGAAUCUGAAUCCGAGUCACUGGAUUUUUCUCCACCAUUUUGUGAAAUAGGUGGCCUAAAAGUAGGUGGACGGGCAGCUGGAGGUGGAGCCAUUGGUAUCGGAGCCAUUGGUGGAGGAAAAGAAGGAGGAACCACAUGUGGUAUGGCGGCGACGCCUGCAGUAACAGUAAAGGAGAAACACUUAGAGUUAAUGAUCACAAAGUAAAGUCUUAGAUGUAACAAUUACUUGAGUGCUAAUGAAUUACCUAGCUGAGAUGAGGCAUCUUGUAGAAUUGGAGCUGCUGUGAUUUGAGCUAUAGGAACUGAAGCUGUUGGUGCCAAUGAAACAUUAUCGUCCUUGUUGAGUUCCAUGCUUCUUUAUUUCCCAAAAAUAACACCACCGGAGCAAGCAGCAAUGUAGAGAAAACUCUGGAACAAAGAAAAUCCCAGGUCAGCUCUCUAUGCCUUAUAUACACGAUGCAUUAUCAAUCAAAAAAGAGUUACUACGAGAUAAAACGGGUAGCUUUAUUCUAAAAUCAAAGACAGUGCUCUCUUGGGAAUUUAAUCAAACAGCUAACAGUCAAAGUAUUAAGCUUCAUAAGGGCGUACACUUGAAACUUUAGGACAAAGAAUCAUAGGAAAAAUCAACAACUUUAAGGAGAAAUAUGGAAGCUGGGAGCUUAAUUUUACCAGAAAUUGAUGAAACCCACGAAUCUCGCUACCCUCUUCGCGACCUCCACACAAGAAGUAGACUUGUCAGUUGCUCAAGCUCCGUCUUUCCUAAGAGAAAACCCAUAACCUAAUCAACAACCCAAUGAUUAAAAAAUCCGUAUUCCUGAGAAACAAAUAUUCAGAGAUUUUCCAAGGAAAGUUCUUACCUUUGUAGAGGCAAUAGCAAAACGGAAAAGAAGCGAGACGCCGGGAAAAAAAAAAAAAAAAAACUUAUGUUUUCGUUCAGAACUUUUUUUUAGUAUUAUUAAUAAACUUUCGCGUUUUAACCAAUUUUCUGAAACGGGUCGGUCCAUAUUGGGCCUUCUUUUAUAAUGGGCUUUAUUUUUUCGAGGUUUAAAAUCUGAGCCCAACAUUGAGAAACCUAACCAAAAUCAGAUGGCGGUUAAAAGAAAGCUGCAGCAAUUUCAUACAUACCCCGAGCGCGCUCACCACGCUCCGAUCAAUCUCGGAUUUUUCGAUCAACAAUAGUCUUGCUGAUGUAUACUUUACAUUUUCUUGUUAUGUAGAUGUUUUGACCUCAUGAAUAGGAAUUUUAUUAUUAAGAAUAUGUAUUUGGCUUAUUACUUUUAUCAUCUGAAGCCUAAACCCAUGAUUCAUGUAUAUUGUAGCUUCACAUUGCUUAUCCUCUCUGUAGUCAACUAAGUAGAUAACAUUCGAAAACUUGUUAGUCCUUCAUAUCAUUGAUCUUGCAAUUUUUUUUUGUUUACUUUCGGGCGCUUAGACUUCAACUGAUUAAUGUUGUACUAAUCUAACGUUUUUUUUUUGUUAGACCGUUUCAGAAAAUUCGAGUUGUUUUCAAGUAGACUUGUGAUUCUCCUACAUGCAUGACUUGAACAAGACAUAUUUAGCCUCUCUACCAUGUUUCAGUAGAGUAGCUAAUUCGGGCAAUAUUAGUAAUCCCAACAGAGAUCUGAAACGUGACGUACAAAAAGUCACAAUUUCAGGCUUUAGAAACCUUGUGACCCCUUACUGCUCCUCUUUUACUUUCUUUCUUCUUUUAUUUUCUACAGUGGUAGUUUCUUCUGAUGUCUCAAAAGUUGGCCAACCCCACAAUCUUUUUCUCAUACAUUAUAGUUAGUUUUUUGGUGAGUGGUAUCUAUCAGUCAGAUGAGUCAGUCUGAGAUUCAAGAUAGUGAUCCUACCAUAUCAUAUUAAGAUCCACGUGGCGCAAGCCGAGACAUGGCUUAGAGGAGGGGUCCCCUUUCACUGCAUAUGGCUCGUGACUUGGUUUUCUCCCUAAAGUGGUUCCACUUUGUUUGAAACUUUCAAGCUCAGCCAUUAAGAUAGACUUGAUGCUUCCCCUUCUUCUUCUUCUUGUUCCACGACUUACUUUUGUCUUCUCAGUUCCAAGUCUUUUAGAUGUCUUUUCGCGUUAUCUCAAGUCCUUUUCUUACUCAUGUUAGUUACUUACUUUCUAUCUAGUGCAGUGGGUGUGGAAUUGGCUCCACUUACCACGUGAAGAUAGUUUGAAGAUAACCUUUUUUUUUCUAUGUUCUAUAACACUUGGUAUUAGACAACAACUCACUUGUCGCUAUCGUUUGAAAUACUUGGGACUCGAUGCUUCAUCAGUCAUUGUUUUGAAAGAUUUACGUUCAUUCUUAUAUUAGAUUUCAAAGAUUUACUAGCUAGUUCAUUGAACUUAAUAGCACAAAGGCAAUAUACUCUGAAUCUUGUUAAUCAAAUUUGCCUCAUUAAUUUAUUUUUUAGGUUCAGAAAAUCACUCGAAACAUUUCUUCUAAUGUGUCCCUACUCCAUCAGAAAUUGUUCUACGAGGUAAUUAUUAUUCCCAUUUAUAUUAUUUCCUCAUUUUUACUGUUAUAGUUUGUGCCCACUAACACACAAACUUAGCUUUAAAUUAUUCGUUCAAAUAUCACCAUGGUUUAUAUUAUAUCUUUUAAGUCUAAUCUAAUAGUUUCUUGACCUUGAUUAUAGAAAAAAAAACUUGUUAUAUGGGGUGUAACAUUAUGCCUCUGAAAUGAUUGUGCUACAAACUUUAUGCAAAUUAAAUGCUUAUCUUUCUCCAUAUUAUUCAAUCGGGGUCCAGAGAAGACUGAUUUGUCACAAACUGAUUUAUAACUCCCUAAGACAUUGAAAAACAGUUCCUGAGUUGAUGUUGCAGGAGACUCUCUAAUGGUGUUUCUCUGUAGAGAUGUAGCUUUCUUUGUGAUGUACGAAUUUCUUUAAUUCUUGAAGCUGCGCGUGCCGAAGAUGGUCAUUGUCAUAAACUUAAGGGAUCAUUUGGCCUUAGGCUUCAUUUCCUUAUCAGACCUUUUUUGCCCUUUGCAUCAAAAAUUCAAACUUAUGAAAGGGAAAGUGUCUGCCACAUGAACUCAACUGUUGUUUUCAUAUACCCCUUCAAGAUCAAAUGUCAAAGUUUGCUCUUUAUUAAUAAUAAUCGAUUUUUUUUUUUUUUGGGGGGGGGGGGUUAAAAUCUAAAGUAGUUUUGAAAUUUUAAUGUCAAUAAUGUAGUAGACAAAAUAAAAAUAGGUUUAUAUAUCUAUUGAGUUUUGGUAGUGUGAUUAAACCCAACAGAGCAAUUUGUCUAUGAACGGUGAAGUUGUAGCAUUAAGAUACUAAAUUAAAUUUGUUAUUCUUUUCCCACAAGUCUAACCAACCACUGUAAUCUUCAAGAUGGAGCCCAUAACGUUUGCAAUCCCGACCACAUAAUAUGAUUUAGGAAGGAAUUAUGCCAAUUUAUAAUUGAAAUUUAGUCUCUUAGGAUCCAAAUACAGCUCCCAAAGGAAAGUGAAGCAUGAAGUUUGUUUGUCUCAUCAUGCUUUUGACAAACCGACGAUCUAAGUUUUUUUAGCACUCUUCGAUGUUUAGAAAAGAAACAUACGGAUUUGUAUAUGCAUAAAGGCAAUUGUACUGUAAAUUACUUUGUAGAGAUUUUAAGCAAAGUACUUUAAAAACAUUGAUCUCUUCCUUAUGAAAUAUUACACACAAAAAGCCUUUAACUAAUGAUUGAGCAUGCAUGUUUUGGAUUGGUUAUGUAUGUUUUGGAUUUGAUCAUGCAUUUAACUAUUUGCUAGAUGUGUAUAAUAACGAUUAAAAUUUCCACUAAUGAAUUCUUUAUUUCUAAUUAAAAGAAAUCUUCUAACUAAUAAGUAUUUAGUUUAACAGUAAUAAUAAUGAAGAGUAUCUUUGUAUAUUAGAUAAACGUCCCUUGUGUUUAAGUAGUAAUAAUAAUGAAGAGUUAUUAUAAUUUUAUGUUUAUGUCUCGGUUGUGUCCUGAGUUUCUAGCUCGAUUACGCGUGGAGUUAUUUCAUGAUAUCGCAAAAAAAAAAAAAUGAAAUUAUGUUUUCUUAUAUAAGAUUUGAAUACAAAACACUAUUCAAUAAACAUUCGUACAUAUAUGUUGUAGUAUAGUGGUUUUCUAACAUAUAUUUUUACCUGUGUUGCCAUAAACUCCUCAACCACUAUUAUUAUUUUUUUAAUUUGCGCUCGAAAAAAUCUUGCAAACGUUAGACCGUGAAUUGUAUAGUCUAUAGAUGAACGUGCCAUAGUCUCCUUAAUAUGUUGUUUCGUAUAAACAUUAUACAAGAGCUAAUCAUCCUCAAGACGGCUAAAUGCAUAAUAUAUAUGGUGCUUUGCGCAUAAACCACAUAAUUUAUUAUUAAUAUAUAAAGCUUUCUUGUUCACGAAUUAUAAUUGGUCUUCUUUUGGUUUCCUGAUCCUCCAACAAAACCAUCAAAUGCUAUAGAUUUUUGUUGUUUUUGUUUUUUUGCCUUGAAUAUCUUAUUAAGAAGGCAAGAAAAGUGCUAUCUUUAUAAAAAAAAAUUAAAUAAAUGAUCGUUAGCAAAUCUUAAUGAAUGGUUCUCGCGCUCAGAAAAAAGGUUAUGUGCAGUAUAGUUGUCGUUGAUUACUCCUAUGGGGCUAAGGUUAAACAGUGAUGAUAGCAUUAAAAACGAAUCAUACCUAUAACCUAUAUAUAUAUAUAAUGUUACAUAAAACACCUACUCACUCACAAAUUAAAAUGUGGAUCAAUAAAGUUGGUUGGCUUGGUUGAAAGAAGUUCAUGACAAAAUAGAGGUUCAAUUAUUUCAAUACGCAUAUUUCUGUUUACGUUUUACACUUUGGAAAAAUAUCUUAUGAAAACUGAAAAUGUUUUUAUAUUUGAUUAAUAUACACUUUUUUUGAAGUUUUGUUGCAAAAGUAAGCAAUUAAGGUUUGGCCAAUGAGACUCAUUCCUUAAGAUUUUUCUUUGAUAUUUAAGUCAAAUUAUAAGUUUACAUAUAUUGUAUAGUGAAUGUUAUGAACAUUUUGAGAUAAAUUCUAACAGACAAACUAAUUUGUUCUUUACCCCUAAAUAGACACCUAAUUUGUUUUCUUACCCUAAAUAGUAAAUCGACAACUUUAAAUAAGUAGAAAGCAUAUGUUGAAGAUUUGCUUGGAGGAUUUCUUUGUAUUAACUAACCAAAACCAAAUAAAAUUAUAAAUAAAAUACUAUAUUUAUUUGGUGGAUGAUGAAAUGGAAUUCAUAGGGUCUACAAUACAAGCAAUAUAAUAGGCAAUAAUGUAAAAAUUAAAACUUUAAAAAGAGAAAAAGAGAAUUGGAGGAGAAAGAAGAAGACAUAGUUUUCUGAAACGAAAGAAAGAAAAUAACCCAUCACUGCAGAAAAAAGGUAUCUCUAUAUAAUUGAAGACAAUAUGAACCUAAUUGUCAACGAACUAGCCAAUGAGCCCAACUCCCCAAUCACCACCUCGACAUUCUAUCUUGGGGACCAUUUCUCCCUCUCUCUCUCUCGAAUAUCUUUAACUUGAAAUUGAGAUUAUCUAUCAUGGUGUAAAUAUCCGGUUUAUGCAAAAAUUGACAAAAAAAAAGAGAAGAAGUUGGAAAAUAGAGAUUCAUGUAUCACAUAUAUAGAGUAAUGAUUAAAUAUGUUUGUGGUGUCUAACCUUAUUUUUGCGGCAAUGGUGGUGGUUUAAUAUCAUAUUGUGCGCGCAUCAUGAUGCCAUUUAAACAGUUUUAAUGCCCAACUAUCUUCUUAUUGCAAUCUUCACGGCGAUUUACCUGUGAAAUUUAUAUUAGAAAAGAAUAUAUAAAAUGAAACUUUUGAGUGGAAAGUGACACUACAUUGAGACCUGCAAAAACUCGACAAGGCUGAAAUAAACAACUAAAAAGAAUUCACCCACAGAACAAAAAACCUUUACAAAGAAAAAAACCAAACAAUUUAGUGCCACUAAAAUUGAUAGAAUGUCAAUAAUGUUGCUGUACGGAAAGGGACUCACUUGGGGUCUACUGAAAUUCAUGCUCUUCUUUAUAAUUAGUGCAUUGAUCCUCUAGAACAAGAAAUGGGAGAUACUGAUCGGUUAAGUGUAGCCAUGAAGAGAUGGAAUUUUUUUUUUUUUUUGUGUCACUAGACUGAAAUGCACUGUCAUGCAUGUCUAUAUAGAGAAGAAAGAGUAUCUUAUAAGGGGCAGCAAAAAAGGUUACUUCUGUGUAUUUUGUCCACUACAGCGACCAAGGCAUCGUGAGCUACGAUUGCAAAAACAAAGGUGAAUUAGCCAAUGCCCCCAAUAAUUGGGACAAUGUAAUCAUGAAAUUAAUAUCAAAAAUAAGAAUAAAGCAAAAUAGAAUGUAACACUGCAUUAUGAAAAAAAGGAGAAGCAGAAAAAGGUGUAAUAAUGCUUAGACCACUGGUUUUCAUUGCACACAAAGGUCACAUAAGACAGAUACACGACGAAGGGUAGUUAUUCAUUGCAAAUCUACUGACAUAAUUGGUCACUGUAAACUUUUUGCUUCAUAGACUCGUUGAGUCAUUAUAUCCUACGACUAUAUUUGUUGGCUGCCACUUGAUAUUACUAAUAAGAAAGUAAAAAACACAAAGAGAAAAAAAGAAAAAGAAAAAGAUGAGCGAUAUCAGUCUAGAAAUUCAACACUCCUAUUCAAAUGAGCAAAAUCAUAACCUUUUUAUUUAUAGGCCAUUUAUUCGCGGUGCCUCCUUUGUUCAGACUGUCACUCGACUGCCCACAUUACAAUCUUCUUCAGCCUUUGCCCUCAUAUUUCCCGACUGUGUAAAGAAGGCCCCUACAUCUUUCAAUCACAUAACAAAAAGAACUUGGUGUUAUUGGAAGACACAACAUAUACAUACAUUAUCUUUAUUGCAAGUACCAACAGUUAUCUUUAUUGCAAGUACCAACAGUAGUAUUGAUAUUACUAUUUAUCUCCCUUUGAACUGUCCUUUUUUUUAUUUAUUAUUUUUAUGAUAAUUUUGAGCAAAGAGCACAUAUCACCCUCCAACUAAGGUCAAAUUAUCAUGACAAGGCUUUACUUGGUAUUUAUUUCAGGACCACCAAUAAGAACAUAAGCCUAGAAUCUUUUAUAUGCCCUUCAAUAUGUCAUGCUGAGAGUUGAGACUCUUUAAUGAGCAACACAAAGUUCUUCCACAUACAGAUGUAGGACUUUUCCUUUCUUAAUUGGGAAACUUAUGGCAAGAGAAGAUACACAUGAAUAGCACCGAUCAUGCUAGGAUGGAAACUUUUAUAAGCAAGAAGAUUAUUAUUUCUCCUAAGAAUCUGGAGCAAGAAAUUCUUGGUUACAACAUAUGUGUUUCAGACAGCUCUGCAUCCAUCCUGCAAGGAAUAGUAGCCAGUGUUGAUGUUUGGUCCUAAGUGGUAACUUAGUUCCAAGCUUAAUAGUCCAAACUCAAAUAGUGCAAGAACUGACAAGAUAAACUGAUGCAAAAAUGGUCCAAUAAAAAGAUCCAAUGAGGUCACUAGUCUGAGUAUAGAUGGUGGUGGGCAAGAUUCUCUUCCCUCAAACUGAGCUCAAGUACCAUGAGACCCAAGUAGGGGCCCUACUGUACAUGCUCUGAGAGUAAGCCUAGCCAAGAGACACAAUAAUAACAAGAAGAAAAAACUAUGCAGUAAAACAAAAGUUUUUACCUUUUAAGCAGGGAGAGAAUGUAUGUACUCGGGAUGUGAACUGUUAACCUCACAUAAAUCAAAGUUGAGAAAAAUAGGAAUUAAAACUACCUUUUUAGUAACUUCCUUCCUAUAAAAUAUGCAGAAAAAAAAAUAAAAAUGUGACAAAGAUAUCUUAAUUUACAGCAAGAGACAAAAAGUAAUGGCAAUCCAGCUACAUAGUGAACACAAGUAUAUGACUGUACCGCCCAAAACCUUUCCUUUAAAUUCCCCUCUCUACCUCAAGUUUACCUCUACUUCCUCCAUAUCACCCCGUCUCUCAGUCUUUUCAAUUUCUCUCAAGAAACUAGAAAUGGGAUUGGUCUCAUCCUUACGGUUUCGUAGACGAAACAACAAGACUUUUCUUAGAAUCUUCAUGAUCUUGGUUCUAAGCUGUAUACCAGGUAGAACCAAUCUUUGCUCCAAUCAUUCUGUUAGUACCCCAAUAGAUUUACCUCCUGGAAAUCCUUCAGAUAUUCGUUCCUUGCUAGAUUCACUAGAUUUGGAGGGUUACAUAAGCUUCGAUGAUGUUCACAAUGCGGCCAAGGACUUUGGCAACAGGUACCAGUUACCACCUUUGGCAAUUCUGCAUCCGAGGUCAGUUUCUGAUAUUUCAUCAAUGAUGAAGCAUAUAGUGCAUCUGGGAUCCACCUCAAAUCUUACAGUAGCAGCCAGAGGCCAUGGUCACUCGCUCCAAGGCCAAGCUCUAGCUCAUCAAGGUGUUGUCAUCAACAUGGAGUCGCUUCGAAGUCCUGAUAUCAAAAUUUACAAGGGGCAGCAACCGUAUGUCGAUGUCUCAGGCGGUGAAUUAUGGAUCAACAUUCUACGGGAGACUCUAAAAUCCGGUCUUUCACCAAAGUCCUGGACAGACUAUCUUCAUCUGACUGUUGGAGGUACUCUAUCAAACGCUGGAAUCAGUGGUCAAGCUUUCAAGCAUGGACCCCAGAUCAACAACGUCUACCAGCUAGAGAUUGUCACCGGUACUUCCUUCAUGCUAUAUCUCUAUGGUAGACUCAAAAAAUAUUUGCACCCUGUAAAGUAAAAUAAGAGUGUGUAAUAGCCAAUGUGCAAACAUGCAACGCACACUUGUAAUUUGCAGCAAAGAUAAAUAAACGAGUUCUAUUUCACAUGUUGAAUCAGGGAAAGGAGAAGUAGUGACCUGUUCUGAGAAGCGGAAUUCUGAACUUUUCUACAGUGUUCUUGGGGGGCUUGGACAGUUUGGCAUAAUCACCCGGGCACGGAUCGCUCUUAGACCAGCACCGCAUAUGGUAAAGUUCCAUCUUAAACAUGCCUAUUGGAAUAUGUAUAUAGUGUCUAAGCUUCCAGUUUUCUGACAGUGAAAUGCAUUUUUAAUAGGUAAAAUGGAUCAGGGUACUCUAUUCAGACUUCUCUGCAUUCUCAAGAGACCAAGAACAUUUGAUUUCAAAGGAGAAUACUUUCGACUACGUGGAAGGAUUUGUGAUAAUCAAUCGAACAGACCUUCUUAAUAACUGGAGGUCGUCAUUCAGUCCCAACGAUUCCACACAGGCAAGCCAAUUCAAGUCAGAUGGGAAAACUCUUUAUUGUCUAGAAGUGGCAAAAUAUUUCAUCCCAGAAGAAGCUAACUCUAUGAAUCAGGUAAGAUGUGAAAACAGUUUAUCUUCAGACUUAAACUUGACAAUCACUAUAGAUCAAACUGUUGGUUUCUAACAUAGCAGGAAUGGUUGCACUGCAGGAAACCGAGAAGUUGCUUUCAGAGUUGAAUUAUAUUCCUUCCACUUUGUUCUCAUCUGAAGUGCCAUACAUAGAGUUUCUGGAUCGCGUGCAUAUUGCGGAGAGGAAACUGAGAGCAAAAGGUUUAUGGGAGGUUCCACAUCCCUGGCUAAAUCUCCUGAUUCCCAAGAGCCGAAUAUUUGACUUUGCUACAGAAGUUUUCAACAACAUUCUCACAAGCAACAGCAACGGACCUAUCCUUAUAUAUCCCGUCAAUCAAUCUAAGUAAGUGAGCAAAAUGUCAAAAGGAAAAUUCUUCCAGUGAUUCAGAGAUAAUAGAUUACUAACCAUGUUCUAACACUUUGUGUUGCAGAUGGAACAAACGCACAUCUCUGAUUACUCCAAAUGAAGAUAUAUUAUAUCUCGUGGCCUUUCUUCCCUCUGCAGUGCCAAACUCCUCAGGGAAAAAUGAUUUAGAGUACCUUUUGAAGCAAAACCAAAGAGUUCUUAGCUUUUGUGCAGCAGAAAACAUCAAUGUGAAGCAGUAUUUGCCCCACUACGAAACUCAAACAGAGUGGAAAUCUCAUUUUGGCGACAGAUGGGAAACAUUUGCAAAGAGGAAAUAUGCAUACGACCCUCUGGCGAUUCUAGCCCCUGGUCAGAGAAUUUUCCAAAAGGCAACACAUUUAUCUCCCAUCCAACUUCUCUAAGCCAAAAGGCAACAUCCAGUCCUCAAAGGUGCCAAACAUCAGAGCUAUGAUACUGCCAAAACAUAGAACUGUAUAUCGCAAGCGCAAACUCAGCUAGGCAGAGAGAGAGAGUGAAAUUCUUUUUUUUUUUUGGAAAACAACGAAUUUUAGAGUGAAACAGACUGCGACAGUGUAUAGGAUCCAUACACUCCUACACAGUGUCAUUAUAGCAGGAAAUAGCUGAGAUGAAAUGUUCCAAAAACUCUUAAAACAUUCAGCAGAAUCUGUUUCUAGCUUCCCAACAUGUAAAAAUAUCAUUUUUUUUUUUUGCUACAACAUCUUCUCUAAGACCCUAACACAUAUCCAUUGCAAAAGGAAUCUACAAUAUUGUUCUAUAUACAACUCCUGAAACAUCUGGAUCCUAUUGUCUAGUCUAAGCAUACAAUCGACAACAACUAAAAUUGAAAGUCUUUAAAUCAAAAUUUAAAAUGCAAAAGCGAAAUCGAUUAAGCUACAAUUGAAUUUUAUGGAGCCGCGGGAGAAUCCGGAUCUGAUCCCAUCUCGUUUAUUGAACCAAGCUUCAAUUUUUCGAUCAAUUAUAUAAUCUGCUACAACCAUCGUGUCCACGAUUAAACUUAUCUCUCGCAAAAUCGCAGAAAUUUGGCGCCUUUCCGCCAUGAAUGAAUAGCCCCGAGCAUAGAAGCUUUUUGUUUGUGAUUUCAAAAUUUCACUUCGUUUGUCACGAGUGAAGUAAUUAUACACACGUGUGUAUAUAUACAGUAUGUAUAUUUUAUUUUAUUUGAUGAGGGCGGUCAGGCGAAGCAGAGACGCUCCUGGGAAUGGCGAAACAAAGUUUGGUAAUAAUCAAAAUCCCAAAAACCCUAAACUGUUGAGAGACACUCUACGCACAUUCACCUGCUUCACCUCAGCACGCAAGUAGAUUCGUUUCCUCGAUAGAUUCUUUUCUAAAGCCCUAAAAUUUCAAUUUUUGAUUUUGAAAGUAUCGAAUAAUGUCUCCUCCGGCGGUGGAGAUUGGGUCUCCGGUUGAAACGGUUUCUCCUUCGCUAAACCCUGCCGGUGAAUUCUUCUCCGCAUUUUUUCCGGAGAGUGUCCACUCUCGCGAUCAACGAAGCAUGCACGCUUCUUCCUCCUCCUCUACAGAACCUGGUAUCGGGAAUGGAUUCCAAUUCGGGUUCGGAGCUGGUUCUGGACAAAGUACCAAGACUCGAUCGAAGCCGAGGCUGGUCAAACUGAGGAAGAACGGAAGAAAAGUGAAAGGAACCUCUCUUUCCGGCGAUAUCCUCUCGGGUUUCAAUCCAUUUGCGCCGCCCAGUAAAGGUAAGUUGUGUUUUUUUCACAUUUAAGCCGUAAUUUGAUUUUCUUUGCAGAUUCGGUUUAUUGGAAUGUUUUGGUGUCUGUAGGUAGUCUCCAUAUGAAUAGUGGCAAUGAUAGAAAUGAUGGCGAGUCACCUGGGGAUAAACAUUUUGUCUUUGGGGCUAAUGGGAAUAGUUCUGGUGCAAAAGGUUCUAGUACUGGUAAUGCCCCAUCGUCUGAUGAGGAGGAAUUUAGCACACCUAUAGGUGACUAUGACUUGGGUUCGGAAUCCACUAAACAGCAUUCAGAUGGAGGUUUAGGAAAGCUUGGUAAUGAUAUUCCGGCAAACACCAGGCCGUGUAAUGAAAGCACACCUUGUGGUGCGGGAAAUGGGUUUGAUAGUGGUGAAAAUGGAAGCUGGAAAGAUGUCCAGAAUCCAGGUGCGUCUGAGGAGGUUUUUCGAGGACAGAAUGACAUAGACAAGAAUGCAUCGGAAAGUAAAUCUUGUUAUGAUACUUGUAGAAAGUCUAACAGUGUGCAAAAUGCUCAUAGUGAAAGUAUAGAUGAUUCUGAAUGGAACCUGCGUGCUGAGAUGGAGAAACUUAACAUCAGUGGUACCAGAGUUCAUGGUGGCAACGGCUAUGAGGAAGCAAGAAAAUCCAGUAACGCGCCUGCAUUUGUUUUUGGUAGCUCUGGAAAGGUUGAUGCUGAAUGCAAAGAUGUGGCAACACCAGGGCCAUGCGCUUUCAGCUUCAAUGGUUUUCAACAAAGUGAUAAUGCAGCGGAUAAAAGACCUACUUAUCAUUCUGAUACCACCAACAUAAACAACCUAACAAGCACUACCUUUAAUACAAGAACAGCCUUUGACGAUUUCAAAGUAGAUCCUUCUGUGCUUAAGAACAGUCUGUUUCCAGAAGUGAGCAAAAAUCUAGUACAUUCGCGAAGAAAUCGUUUAUCCAAGGACAAGAGAUCUAAGAAAGACAAGGAAAAAAUGAAACAGCAGGGUCCAAAUCGAUGUAACGAUCAGGCCUCUGUGGGAAUUCAGUCUCAAGAGAAACGAAGCUCCCCUGGAUGUGGCUCACCCAUGGAUUUUUCUCCUUAUGAAGGCGAGAAAGCCAGCUAUCAUUUUCCAACAGAAACUCCUCUGACAUCAAUUGAUCCCUCACAAUCGAGAGAACAUGUAAAUUCCCGCUCUAGCAAUGACUUCAAGGUUGCCUCAGCCAGGGAUCAUGUAAAUAGUUGUAUGCCGGAAUUUUCUUUCUCAGCUUCCAGUUCUCAGGGAAAAAUACCAAAUAAAAAGCUUGCAGCUGUAAGGAAAUAUAAGAGGAAAGUUAAUAACAGUUUUCCGAAAAACAAUCUUAAUGCCGCCAAGCAGAACAAUCAAGAGAAUCAACCUGUGAAUACAGGUCAAGCUACACAGGAGUCAGGCUUUGCAUCUGCGAUGCCUGAUGCAUGUGAGGUUUGGCGACUAAGGUAUCAUAUACUAUCUCAAGAACUUCCACACUGGUGCUUUUUGAAUACUUUAUAACAAUUGAGAGAAGUAAUGUUUUGUAUCAGGGGAAAUCAAGCCUACAGAAAUGGUGAUAUGUGUAAAGCUGAGGAAUGUUACACACAUGGUAUUAAAUCCUCCCCGUCAAGUGAUAAUUCAGAAUACUUCAUAAAGCCUCUUGCGCUUUGCUAUGGCAACCGCGCAGCAGCAAGAAUUUCUCUUGGAAGAUUGAGGGAGGCUAUAAGCGACUGUGAGAUGGCUGCUUCACUUGAUCCAAGCUACAUUAAAGCGUAUAUGAGAGCUGCAAAGUAAGUUUAAGGUGUACUUUUCUCGAGUCAAUUUGUUCUUUUAGCUUAAGCUCUACCUCCUCUUGACACCAGCUAAGGUUUUAGAUCGAUUUUGCCAAGCAAGUGUAAAUUCUAGCAAUAACGAUCACACUAUGUAUCUAGUAAAAUUGAUGAUAUGUUAAUUAGUGGAAUUGAUUUAUUCUCUUUUAUUUUAUGUUUGUUGUAGCUGUCAUCUUGUGCUGGGGGAACUUGGAUCAGCAGUGCAGUAUUUUAAUAAAUGCAUGGAAUCCGCCUCUAGUGUCUGCUUGGAUCGACGAACUACUAUAGAAUCAGCUGAAGGUUUACAAAAGGCUCAAGUAUGCAUUCUUUCCUCAGCUAGAUCAGUAUUAUACCAUGGUCUACUCAAAAUAAUUUAUGCGUUAUCAGUUUGGAUGUCAUAUAUCGGAUUUUUGUUCGUGCAAUAGUGUUCUUAAUCAGCACAGAGGUCUUUUGAACCAAAAAAAAAAUCAGCACAGAGGUCUGUUAAUGUCUAAUUGAACGCUUAUUUACUUUACUUACCGGCAGGAGGUAGCUGAGUAUACCAACUGUGCAUCCAUAUUUUUGGAGAAGAGAACACCCGAUGGUGCAUCUGACGCAUUGGUUCCAAUUGCAAAUGCCUUGUCAAUUAGUUCAUGCUCAGAUAAAUUGCUUCAAAUGAAGGCGGAGGCCCUGGUUAUGGUAAGUCGUCUUUAUAGUUCAGUUCUCAAAGUUGAAUUAUGCUUUCACUGAGCAUGACGUUCCAUGUCAAUUUUGCAGCUCCGACAUUAUAAAGAAGUGAUUGAGCUUUGUGAGAAUACCCUUGAGACGGCUAAGAGGAAUACUGUUUCAGCAGGGAUUGGUGGCAUCACAAAUGUUGAUGGAUUACAGUCUACGCAUCACUCACUAAUAGUUUGGAGAUGGAACAUGAUUUCCAAGUCGCACUUUUACUUGGGAAACCUUGAGAUGGCCCUUGGUAUAUUAGAAAAGUUACAGCAAUUGGGAUCUAGCCACAACGAGUAAUCACUUUGUCUAUGUUGUGCAAUAAUGAACUUAUUGGUACGCGUGUUUUCAAUUUAUUUGUGAUCCUUGCUGAAAAUCUAUGUUUUGCUCGCUAGGAAUCAGGAAGACUGUCGUGAGUCACCGGCUUCUUUAGUGGCCACCAUUACUGAACUUUUAUGUUACAAGGUAUGCUUUAUAAUGAAACUGUGUGGUAUCGUGUUGUCUUUAUCAUCAACAGUUCUGAUCAAUCCUUCAUCACUCAUACUGCUGAAUAAAAAUGUUUUCUUUUUUGGUGGUUACAUUUACCAGAGUUUAUCCCUGUGAUUGCAGAACGCAGGUAAUGAAGCUGUUCGGGCAGGAAAGUACAUGGAAGCAGUAGAGCAGUACACUGCUGCACUAUCAAGAAAUGUUGACUCACGCCCUUUUGCAGCAAUUUGUUUUUGCAAUCGUGCGGCUGCUAAUCAGGCGUUAGUCCAGUUUACGGAUGCAAUUGCUGACUGUAGUCUUGCCAUGGCUCUUGAUGAAAACUACACAAAGGUAUAUGGCAUUUUUUUUCGCUUUCUACUCAUGAACAAACAAAUUUGUAUAUAUCUUUUCCCGCUUAGCUAAACUGAGCUUAUUCCAAGAUUUUUCUAGUGAUAUUUUUUAGACAAGGAGAAUGCAUAAUUUUUUUCCUUGAAAUGUGAUAAGGUACACAAAGCAGUAUGUAACCAUCAAUUUCAUGGAAUGAGGGUUCAUAAAAAUUUCAAUCCUACUUGUCCUUUCAUUUUCAGGCAGUUUCCAGGAGAGCCACACUACAUGAGAUGAUUAGAGAUUAUGAUCAAGCAGCUAGUGAUCUCCAGAGGCUUAUCAGCAUUCUCGUAAAGCAAAGUGAUGAGAAGAGAAAAACGUCAGAUACAUCUGCUGAUCGUGCAAGCAGCAGGAAAGAACUAAGGCAGGCCCGCCAACGGCUGUCUGUAAUGGAAGAAAAAUCGAAAGAGGGCAUUCCUCUGGAUUUCUUCCUCAUCAUGUAUGCUCACUUUUCACAGUGAAAGUGAAUUAUACCAUUAUAGUUUAUGCUUAUAUUCAUGCUAUCUUCUAUUCUCGUUUUGCUAAUUUGCAGGGGAGUGAAGGCAUCUGACUCUGCUGCUGAUAUCAAAAAGGCUUACCGCAAAGCAGCUCUUAGACAUCACCCAGACAAGGUUAUCUGUCUUUUUACUUGAUGACAAUGUUGCAAAACAGUAUUUUACAGGUGCUGAUAUUUCCUUUUUGAUGUGUAUUCAGGCUGCACAGAUUCUUGUCAGAAGCGAAAGCGAAGGACCAUGGUUGAAGGAGAUAUUAGAAGAGGUUCACAAGGGUGCAGAUAGGCUCUUCAAAAUGAUUGGAGAGGCAUAUUCAGUUCUUUCUGACCCAACUAAGGUUCGCUUUCUCUUAGCAAUUUCCGCUGACAAACCUUUUAACGUGAUUAUUGUUUGUCCCCUAUGAACACUUAGGAAUAGAAUGUCCCACGACUUUUCACUGAUCAGAUUUUUGUUUUGACAGAGGUCGGACUAUGAACUUGAGGAAGAGAUUAGGAAAGCGAGGGCAUCUAGAGAAAGUUACAGAAGCAGAGGAAACAGAAAGGCUGCAGAAGCAAGUAGCCCUCCAUAUCAGUCAAGCCCAAGCAAUCGAUACUGGAGGAACAGCGAGAGGACAUAUCGAAACACGCCUUCUUGGUGGUAGAACGCUAAAUUUUUCUUGGUGGCAUAACUCAUAAGCUAUAGGGAUCUGCUGGGUUACUCCCAGGUGAGUUAUUCCAGAGCUACUGAAGUAAGAUCAUAAUUCUCUCUGCUUUGCGUCAUCCUCGCAAGCUCUCACUUUAAGAGGCUAUUCAGUGGAAAAAAACCGUCCUUUGAUCCCUAAAAACGACAGAGACGAAGUUCCAAAGACGACGAUGAAAAAAGCAAGAUUUUUGAGAGGGGUUAUUUUGCCUCAUCUUUGUAUUUGUACAUUUAGUCAAGUAUUUCAUAAAAAAAAUGAUUUUACCCUCCACAUUCAGAUACAACUGUUGUAAGGCAGUGUCUUCUCUGCUCAAGUAAUUUGUUCUACUUCCAAGCGAUAAAACGUAAAAUAAGCAAAAGAGUUUUGAUUUUUAUGCAGUGUACAUAACACGCUUGCAGAGUUUUGAGUCCAAAAUUGGCCAUCUUAGAUAGAUAUCUGAGUUCUUGUAUCUUGUCGAAGGAGGUAUGAUGCUCAGCUGUUGCAACCCUCAGACACUUCUUUCAGCUCAAAUUAUUUGUUAACACAAAUUAAGGGGCUACAGGGUCUAGAUUUAGAGAUGAAGCAGAGACAAACUUUUUUAUUAUUAUCUUAGGCAAAACAUCACACAGACCAGUUAUUGAACACAAAACAUGACAAGUCCACUAGCUUUAUUGAUUGAUACUAACAUUUGGACAAAGCCAAAGCCGGAAGCCACGCAGCUGGACUGAGCUAGAGCUCAAGGGCUUGAGCAUGGUGGCUAAUGUGGUCUUCGAUGAAUGUGGCAAUAAAAUAGUAGGAGUGGUCGUAUCCUGGCUGCAUACGGACUAAGAGCGGCGCAUUCACCUUUUUGCAUGCCUCCUCGAACUUGUUGGGCAAUAACUGAUCAGGGAAGAACUGGUCGUUUUCUCCCUGCAUUAGAUGGAGUUUGACAAAUUUAGCAUUAACUUAACAAAUCAGUGUUUUGGUUCGCAAGGGGAUGCACACCACAUUCCCUUUAUGUUAGUAAGCUACAAGAUUGCCGACACAGUGAAGACGAAGAAGACCAUGAUGUAAAAGGGUUUUACCUGAUCAAUUAGAAUUGUGGCAGACAGAUCGUUGAACUUUGAAAUAAGACAAGUGGCAUCGUAUUCCUGAGAUUCAAGAAAAACGCAGAGAAUGAAAUCACUGUAGUGUGGUGGCUAAAUGCAUACCAAAAUAACUUUCUAAGGUUCUUCCUUUACCUCCCAAGCAGCCUUGUUGUCACCUAGAUAAUUGGUGAAUGCCUUCUGUCCCCACGGGCAAUUUAUGGGAUUGGCAAUUGGUGCAAACGCAGACACGGACUGAAAUUGCCACACAUACAAAAAUAUUUUUUAAGAAAAUGAUCAAAGAGUAAGAAGUUUUGAGCUGAAACAUGUUAUCCACACCCCAUUCUAAGUUCCAGACGUUGUACUCACAGCGCUGGAGUGUCACAAGGAAAGUCACAUAUGUCUUAACGCACAGAAUAACAUAAAAAAUACUGAAAUUAGUACCUUAUACUUAUCGAGGUUCUUCAGGUAAAUAGUAAGAGCUCCAUGUCCACCCAUGGAGUGUCCAGAGAUAGAUGCUUUUGCUGUGUCCAGCUGAGAUAAGUUUUCACUCAGGAGUUUUGGCAACUCUUUGACAAUAUAAUCAUACAUACGCCAGUUCUUCCAUUUCUCCUGUGUAGCAUUGAGGUAAAAUCCAGCUCCUAAUCAAACAGGAAAGAAAGAAAGUUUAAAUACUAGUAAGACCAAACCAAUACAACUUGUUCCGUAAAAGAAGUGUGCAAAGCAGAGGUAUGUAACGUUGCAUACCUACACCGAAGUCGUAACUGUCUGCUUCGCCUUCAAUAUUUAGUCCUCCUACAAUUAUCAAAACCAUCACGGAUUAGCAAACGAAAAGACAAUAAAUUUUUUGGUUUGUUUAAACAUCAAGGGAAGAUGAUAAACCAGAGUAAAACCAGGGCAAAUAAAACAAAUGAAAAUAUUGUGGCUCACUUGGAGAAGUAUCUGGAGAAACAAGAGCAAUGCCGUGGGUAGAAGCAGCACGUUGAGCCCCGGACUUGAUGAUGAAAUUCUCGUCUGUGCAGGUGAGGCCAGAAAGCCAGUAAAGCACCUGUCAAUCAACAAAUUCGAGAAUCAUUUGUCUAAACAGCCAAUUAGUGGGUUUGAGUAGCAUGAUUUUGAACGAAUCAAGGCAAUAAAAAAUCCAAAAACAAUCAUGCAAAACUAAAGUUUACUUCUUAGAGAUAUGAAGUAAAUAUGGAAAUUGGGACAAGUCACAAAAGAUGCCCCUACUCUUUGUCUUCAUAAGAUUAGCAAAGAUAAAAGAGGGAAAUUGAGACAAGUCACAAAAGAAGUUCGUACUCUUUGUCUUCAUAAGAUGAAACUAAUACGACCAGACAAAGAAAAAGAAGUAUCGAGGUGGAGCUGAAUAAUGAAUUUUUCCCAACAACAUAAAUGAAUCCUAUUAUACUGUAGAUAAAAAAAAAAUCAAAUCUUUAUAUAGGAACCCGAAUCGAAAUAACUAAAAUAAGAAAUGAGAUCAGACACUAAUACGAAGAUAAAGGAGGAUCACAUACAGGGAACCUUUUGGAAGAUGAGGGAGAAGGAGGGAAGUAGACUGAGAAAGUCAUGGAACAUCCGAGUGUUGGGCUGUGGUGUUUGUAUCUUUUGUUGUAGCCAUCGAACAUCUUCGUGCUUCCGAUCUCGCUUAGCCCAGUAUCCAUUAUCUAUAUCUCUCUUUUUCUCACUCACUCACUCUCUCUCUCACUCUGCAAAUUCCGGAAGAAAGAGCAGAUGAUGCAGCGGAGAAGGAGAAGAAGAAGAAGAAAAAACGAUCGAAGGAGAGAGGUUUAUCGCUUUCUACAGUGGACAAGAGCCCACUGAAAAUAUUUCCACAUUAACCCAUUAGCAGCAUAGCCCAUUAAGCAAGCCCACCUGAGUAAUAAAGUCAAGAACCUCUCUACCGACCAGAGGUUUCGAUUUCAUUAAAUACGAAAAAAAUUGUAACGUGUGUGUGUUAGUGUAGCUGGACUUUUUUUUGUUAUUUGAAGGCGGAGGAGGUGCUGCCCAACUGUUCUUACAACUAUGAUUUGUUAAUGUUAUUUUUGUUCUUUUUUUUUUCUAGAUAAACAUAGAAAUCGUGAUAAGUAAUAUGUUAAAAACCAUCAAUCUUUAUCUUCUGAAAACCAUUGUGUAAAUAAAUGGACACUAGACAGACAAAAGAAACAUUGACGGAAAAUAAAUAUACAAAGAAAAUUAACCGUCUAAACUGCGUAGACGUCUUUGACAAAAAGUUGGAUUUUUGCAUGAACCGAUUCGAUUAAAAUCCGGGUACGUUCGAGUUAUAGAACACUGGUAAAAGAAUAAAAUAUAUCAGGGGAAAUCAAUUUCAUUAUAAAGUGUGUUUUUGUUAGGUGAUCAAAUCAUUUAUAUAUCAAAUCACAAGCCAGAUAAUGCAUGAAUUAUUUUGUUUUUUUGUUUUUCCUUUGCGGCGGUCCCAUUUAUUUAUCUUCUUUAUUUAUUAACUUGUGUAAAUAAAUAUAUACAUGUGAUUGUGUUUCGGUGUCUGAUAAAUGCUGGUAUAACUAAAAAUUCACCAAAAAGUUGUUCAGAUUGAAAAUCCAAUACACCCCGAAAAAUGGAUGAGAGUGUAAAGAAAAUGAAGAGACUAACUAAUACCAAAAAAAUGGUAGUAGUGUUUUUCUUGAGCCAUUAAUGACAGUGUACGAAGUUAGGCACCUUCCCUUAAAUACAACACUUUAAAGCAAAAUUAAACAAAAAAAAAUAAAAAAAAAAGUCUUUCCCUUUCCUCAACUGUACCCAUCAAUGCUUAUGACUCCAUUCCUCUCCCUUGCACAAAAGCUUGCCUCUGUAUUUAAUUUAACUCUUAUCAAAUUUUCCUUAUCUGCAUGCAAGUUUUAUGAUUUUUGUGAGUAGAUAUAGAUACUCAAUAUUUUGUCAUGCGUUUAUUUUUCUCUCUUGAUUUGGCAAUUCUCGUGAGUUGAUUUUGGAUUUAGAUAUAUUUCUUUAUAGUUGCCGACACGAAAGGUUUGUUCUUGACUUGUACUUUGUUUACGAACUUUCUUUUUUUUCUUGUUUGUUCUUGUUGGGUAGAUGAACAACUCAAGACGGAGCUAACAAAGUUUGUUUUGUAUUACCAUAAAUUUCAUUUAUUUUAUUCCAUAAUCUUUCUCUGGAUUUCUUUUUUUUCUGUCCGCAUUUCGUCAGGUUGCAGCAUUAUCUAUUUAAAGCUUUUUUCGGUAUCUAUUGCAUUAAUGUCCGGUUUUUGAUUUCCAUUUUUGUGUUAUGUGGCAGAAGAAGCUACAACAAAAAAAAAGAACAUAAAAACCUCAAUUUGUUUGGUGAGAAAAUUCUGAGUUAGCGAACCAAGAAAAUCUUAUUCUUUCUGAGCAAGAAGCUGAUUGGUAAUGCCCAAGUUGCUCUUCUUCUUCUUCUUCUUUUUUCUAUCAAAUCCUACUUGAUUUCUUUGUUCUCUAUGAUCCAAACCCAUAUAUAAAUCUAUAGAGGAUUACAUAAAACUCCAAAAAACCAUUUCUAGACAUUGUUCAUUGCCUUUGGUUUGUGUUGAAUUUCUCUGGUGUGGACUAAGAAAAUGGUGGGAAGCAUUGAGGCCAAGAGCCUGCUAUCAAACGGGUCUGUUCAACAUAAUGGUCUUAAUCUGGAGGAGAAACUUGAUGAUUUUCGUCGUCUAUUGGGGAAAUCAGACAAGGAUCCGUUGAGGAUUGUAAGUGUUGGAGCUGGUGCUUGGGGAAGUGUUUUUGCAGCACUUCUGCAAGAAAGCUAUGGAAGUUUCAGGGAUAAGUUUCAGAUCAGAAUAUGGAGAAGAGCUGGAAGAGCUGUGGAUAGAGCAACAGCUGAACAUUUGUUCGAAGUGAUCAAUUCUCGGGAAGAUAUCUUGAGGAGACUGAUAAGACGCUGCGCUUAUCUGAAAUACGUCGAGGCAAGGCUCGGUGAUAGGACGCUCUACGCGGAUGAGAUAUUGAAAGACGGGUUUUGUCUUAACAUGGUUGACACGCCGCUUUGCCCUCUCAAGGUUGUGACAAAUCUGCAAGAAGCUGUGUGGGAUGCUGAUAUUGUUGUUAAUGGAUUGCCUUCAACAGAGACACGCGAGGUGUUUGAAGAGAUUAGCAAGUAUUGGAAAGAGAGAGUUACGGAUCCGAUUAUUAUAUCUCUGUCAAAGGGUAUUGAAACUGCUCUUGCACCAGUUCCACAUAUCAUUACUCCAACAAAGAUGAUCCAUCAAGCAAGUAAGCUUCUUCUUCUUCUUGAUGUUACCCUUUGUAUUGAGUAUCUUGCUUAGUUCUGAAAAAUGUUAAAACUCUUUCUGGAAUUGGUUCUCAAUUUUUGGUGUUUGUGGUAUCAGCUGGUGUGCCGAUUGAAAAUGUGCUGUAUCUUGGUGGACCAAACAUUGCUGCUGAGAUUUACAACAAGGAAUAUGCAAAUGCUAGAAUCUGCGGAGCCGAGAAAUGGAGGAAACCACUAGCAAAGUUCUUGAGACAACCUCAUUUCAUUGUUUGGGACAAUAGUGAUCUUGUGACACAUGAAGUAAUGGGAGGUCUCAAGAAUGUGUACGCCAUUGGAGCUGGUAAGUUUCUGCGUGUACACUAGGAUUUAAGUGAUUCCCUCGGCUUUUCACGCAUUGAUCCUACUCGUUUGUCUUUCCAGGAAUGGUGGCAGCGCUUACUAACGAGAGCGCUACAAGCAAAUCGGUGUACUUUGCUCAUUGUACAUCAGAGAUGAUAUUUAUAACACAUUUACUAGCAGAAGAACCUGAGAAACUUGCAGGGCCUUUGCUAGCUGACACUUACGUGACCUUAUUAAAAGGGCGUAACGCGUGGUACGGUCAGAUGCUCGCCAAAGGGGAGAUAAAUAGAGACAUGGGUGAUAGUAUAAGCGGGAAGGGAAUGAUUCAGGUACUCCAUUCUAACUGAGAACAAUCCUUGAAAGAAGUUUGAUGAUUUUGUUGUCUAUCAUGCUUAUGUGUGAAUGUUGGAUUUUUGUUGAAUAGGGUGUUUCUGCAGUGGGAGCGUUUUAUCAAUUGCUUAGUCAGUCUAGCCUAAGCAUAUUGCACUCUGAAGAGAAGAAACCUGUAGCCCCAGUUGAAUCAUGUCCUAUUUUGAAGACACUUUACAAGAUACUUAUCACAAGGUAAAUAUAUGAAAUCUGAAGAAAGUUUCUACGUUUACAAAAAUUUGAUAGACAAAAAAAGGUUUGAUUUUUUUCCCGAGGGUCUGAUUUGGUGUGACAUGAUGGGAAAUCAGAUUUCUAGUUUACAUGAAUGUCUUGGAGUUUGUGAGACAUUGAAGUCAUCAGAAACUUGCUUCUUUGAUUCUCUAAUGAAUUCUGUUGUUCAAUUUUGUGUCUGGAUAUUGCAGAGAACAAUCUACACAAGCAAUUCUGCAAGCAUUAAGGGACGAAACAUUGAACGAUCCCAGAGAUCGUAUUGAGAUUGCACAGAGCCAUGCAUUCUACAGGCCUUCCCUUCUAGAUCAGCCUUGAUUAAGUCCAUGGCUCUCUAUAAUCCAAACUUGUUUGUUCUGAUUACGAAAAGAUACAACAUGAACUACUUGUGCAAACUGUAGAUUCUUCUGCGGUGAAACAUUAUAGCUUUAAUGGAAGGGGUAGUUUCACUUGUGUCAUGUCUUAUUCUUAUUCAGUCUCUAGUCAAUACGAUCCUUGUACUGUAUCCUUUUCUUUAUGAUCAAUAAAGGCUUUAUUUGCUCAAAUGAUUUACUGAAAGAAAGAAGAAAAAUCCUUUUUUUUUUCUUUUACUACGCAAAUAUCAACUUCAGUAUCCCAAUAAGCAUUCUAACUUUAGACUAUCCUGAAACGACUCUAAAAGCCAAGCAAGCUCCGUAUGGUUAUACAAGCUAAUGGUAGUACCAUCGAGUCCAAAAAACAAAGAGGACUGUUCUGUAAGGUCUAAUGUUAACUAUACCAGUGAGAUCGGUUAUGACUCCAUUUUCUGCUCUGUACAAUCGGCUGGCUGCAAGUUUAGCUGGUUGAUUAUCUGUUGAAGCAGAUCUUCUUUCUUGAGCUUAGAGUAAUGUGUCAUUUUCAGCUCCUUUGCUAUGCUUCUUAACUCCUUGCCUGUCUUGUUCUUCAACUCGCUUAUUGAGGUCACUGAGUCACCCAUGGUCUGCCCAUCUCUUUGUCUAAUUCGUUCUAUCAACUCCGAUGUUGAAUCUGAAAGCUGUGCUGGAACACUUGAACCCCUGCUGAGUUUAGAAGUUGACUGGGUUGAUUUUUUAACUGGAUCAAUAUCAAUCUCACCAGCUUCACCUCCUACUUUCGGCUUGGUGUUUCUGAUAAAACUUGUGUUCAUGCCUUUAGAUUUCCUCUGUCCCUUCUUUGUUAGGUCUGGCCCAGGCUUCAACAGUGCAUUGCUCUCUGCCUUUUGUCUUGCCACGGUAGGCGAGUUUACGAUCAGCUCGUCUUUAACAGCAGUCUUCACAGCUUCGGACUGUGAACUUUUGAUUCUAUCAUCACAUGGGGUUUCUCUGCCUUUCUCCGAUGCAUCACACAUCUCUAAGCGAGACUCUGUGGUAAAAGGUUCAGAAGAAGUUUCGAUUUCUUGCUGCUGAUCCUUCAACAUUUCUCCAUCUUCGUUUGUAGCAUUUGCCUUUUCUCUCACCUUCUCGGUGGUCUCUAAACCCAAUGGCUUCAAAGUAGAACCUCCAAUAUUCUCUCGGCUUAGCUCAGAUAGAGAUCUGUUCUCGGGGGCUUGUUUUAUAGGAUCAAACACUUGGUCAGUAACCAAGGAUGAAGGAGAAUGUUCCUCCGCUUCCUCACUCUUGCUUGCAAACACAGGGCUAGAAGAGAUAUCUGCAUCUUCUGCAACCUUUCCCUUUAAAAAAAAAAACACAGAAUUUUCACUACAAACAUCCGAGCUGCUCGUUUAGGUCUUUAGAACAAGAAGCACAAAACAAGAUUCCCAUGGAUGCAUGGUAAUGGAUUCAGAAAAGAAGCAAUCUUUACAUACCUCCUCAACUGUUAUUGGGUCAUUUGCUGAUGUCUCCUGAGGCUUUCUUGUUUCUGGGUCAAUUACUUGAGUGUCGUUACUAGAAUCUUUUGUCUCCUUAGUUUGAGCAUCACUGAUACUGGAUGUGUUUUCAUCCUCAUCGAGAGCCGAUUUUGCAGAACUUGUGUCAGCAUCUGGAGAAAUAGCACUGAGGGUCUUGUCCUGUUGAACACAUAACAGUAGUAGUCCUCAUCAAUCAGUGAACACAAAUCACACACAAGAAAGCCAGAAACUUUCGUGCAAAUUCCGCAAAUAACAUCAAAUCAGACUCUUACCGAAUCAGAAGAGACUAUUUCCGGCGAGUCACCGGCUCCAGAGGAAGCCAUAUCCUUUUGAAGCGAAUCCGAAACCUUGUCAAGCUCAUUGCUUUCAGUAUCUUGCUUCUUUCCGUCCAAUAUACGCCGCACUUGCUCACAGUAUUUUUCGUUCUGGUACUCUUCUUCGAGCACAUCUAAACACACCAUGGAAACCCAAAAAGCAAAAACCGAUUGUUCUCAAAGAGAAUCACAGUGAUGAUAAAGAUUCAAAGCAACCACAAUUCUCAGUCGAACCUGUUCUGGGAUCAAACCAGAAUUCAUAACCACGUAAAGGCUUGAAAGGGGGCUCCUCCUGCACAACUAAAAAAAGAAAAAAAAAAAAAAAAAAAAACAACAAGCAUUAUGCACAAGACUACAAAGAUUAUAAAACCAUAUAAGAACAUGACGAUUGAUAAAAAGAAAAAAACAAGUACCAGGUGGCGGACCCCAGAGAUCAUCAUCAUCAUCCAUGGUAAAGAAAACUGAAAGCCGCAAAAUUCAUCCUGUAAAAACCAACAUUUUCCUCCCACAUUAUAAAAUUCCGAAGAAAUUCUCACUUAAGAAGCAAUCUUUCACCAACCUCGAAACAAAAUGCGAGAAGAAACAACAAAAUUUACAGGAAGAUGAAGCGAGAGAGUGAAAAGACUCUAAACCAUACCGGAAAGAAACAAUCCCGCGGAAAAGACGAGAAGGAGUACGCCGAUCAAUGUUCUGAAGUUUAAGUGGGUUUCUAGGGUUCGGAGAAAGGUCGGCGAGAGAAUUUAGUGAGAAAGAGAGAGAAAAAGGCUGGGCAGUGAAAGCGACGAACACUCUGCAAAUAUAGAGAGAGAGAGAGUGAGUGUAGAGAGAGAGAGGUCGGUUAAGUGGUGAACGGGGAGGCUACAAAUGGUAAACCAACGGAGGCGCGUGGAGGGAAAAAAGUGUUCCCCGUUUCGCCGGUUUAGAAAAUCGUGGGGACCCACCUCAAAACUGAAAUCUCAACCGUCAGAUUAAUUGACUUUUCUUUGACCAUAGUCUCCGUUUGUACAGCAUGGCAAAUGGGGAUAAUGUUCGUGUGUAUACGAGUUACACGUAUGCUCUCAGAUGAUUUAUUCUUGAUCCAACGGUUAGGAAACAAUGACGAGUCUUAAUAAUAAAAUCUCGAAUGGCAAAACCGUAAUAAUAUGGAAAGGGUCCCGCGAGACUUGGGUUAUAUAUUUUUCUUUAUUGAACUGACAUCUGAGAACGACGUCCGUACAUUUGUUGCUUUUCCCAAAGAUUUUCUCUUCCGCGUGACAAAGAUUACAUUAAUAAUACGAUUAAGUAAAGGGUUUUAAAAAUAAAGCGUUUUUACUUCCAGAAAUAGAAACUAUCGUGUUGAAAGGUCCUUAAAAAGUUUAUGUUUUAAGGAACUUUUCGUAUAAUAUAAGCACUUUUUAAAAAA
RNAcentral lists this long non-coding RNA (94391 nucleotides) under Eutrema salsugineum. RNAcentral describes it as "long non-coding RNA (ESAL_LNC001989)". The stretch from base 1 to 298 matches the Rfam family "Plant signal recognition particle RNA". Lineage: Eukaryota; Viridiplantae; Streptophyta; Magnoliopsida; Brassicales; Brassicaceae. The record is from RNAcentral.